Molecule: long non-coding RNA, 155021 nt
Filed under: Malus domestica (apple)
Lineage: Eukaryota; Viridiplantae; Streptophyta; Magnoliopsida; Rosales; Rosaceae
Source: RNAcentral
AUUAGCAGUGCUGGGCUUGAACUAGCAAAUGUGCUGGUGACUUCUCUUCCCCUGCACCAGUCAUGGAACGCGGUUCUUGAUCAGAAGCAAAAGCUCCCCCCAGCUGCUGAUCCAAACCAAAAAAUGGCCUUGGACAUUAGUGAAACCAAGCACUCAAACACCACCAUCAUAUCUUUUCUUACUUCACCCGUCACGCUUCACGAUCAACAGCGAUGGUUUCGUUUACUCCCAAGAACGCAGAUUUUUCUCUCUUUGAGUUUUUGUGCGGCAAAAACACCCCAAGUUUCUCCAUCAAUGAAUUGGCAAUCAACUUCUUCAAAUUGAACCUCACAAACCUCGAUAUUUGGCGAAAAAAGGUGAGUAUUAUUGUCUUUCUGAUAACUGAUAAUGUUUAACCGCUUUGACGACUCUUAAUGUUAGUGAGAAACAGUUAAAAAUCAUAUUUAUAUUGCUAGAUUACUUUUCACUUAUUUAGUUUGGCUUCUUUGACAAACUGUUUAUGUUAACAAAAAAUGCUUACAAAUCCCUCAUUUAUAGAGUUAUAAAAGCCGGAUAUAUUAACAGUGGAGUCCUUUCUUUGUUUGUUUCAAAACCGAGUUUAAGUUUUUUUUUGUUUUUUUUACUAUGAAUGUAGUUUGAGGAACUUAUUUAUAAAGACGUCUCCGAAUUGAUUAUAUAGAAGUUCAGUAAUUGACCAACUUUUAUGUAAUAUUUCAGCUGGUAGAAAGCAGCAAAUCCUCACGGAUAGUUAUCACUGGACAUUCUUUUGGAGGUGCUGUGGCUACCCUUUUCACCCUAUGGCUGCUGCAAAGCCUUGACUUGUCGAAAGCGAAACGCCCCCUUUGCAUCACUUUCGGUUCACCCUUGAUCGGUGACGAACAACUCCGAAAAUGUGUGUUGGAAUUCUCAACAUGGAGUUCUUGCUUCUUGAAUGUAGCCUCCAUCAAUGAUCCUGUACCUAAAGUCUUCCUAACUUCGCAAGGGAGUGGUUAUAAGCCUUUCGGAACAUUCCUACUGUGCUCCUCUUCGGGUGGUUCUUGCAUUGAGGACGCUGAUGCCAUUUUGCAACUAUUGGUGGAAACCAGCUCUCAGUGUGUUCAAAAUCCAGUUCCGAAUUCAGGGACUCAGUUGUUUGAUUACGGAAAGAUUUUGAAUGAUCUCAAGACCAAGGCAUUGUUUAGAGAUGUCUUUGAGUUGGUUGAAGAGGAUAGAGUUCCACUUAAUGCUGGAAUUAAAACACAGUUGGCAGCAAUAUUAGGCGUUCUCAGCUCACAGGUAUCAAACUUUCAACAUGAAUAUCUGAUUUGAUGAUAGAUUUUGGGAAAUGGUUUCCGCACAAACCUGUGUAUUUCUAUCUCUUGAUUCUCCUUUGAUUUAUUUAAUCCAAAGACUAGAAAUAAACACGGGUGUGCAGGGGGAGAAUAUGAUUUUGCGGAAAUCACAUCCCAUGUUUACUUCUAGCUACUAACUUUUCUCUCAACUCCUUUUGUAAAAGUCAUUGCAGCAGCAACAACCCCACAUAAAAUUCGAGAGUCUGAUAAAAAAGAUGGUCAAUCACGAACGUAGACUAGCGAUGCAGAAGACGAAGGAUUACAGCUCCUUCUUGAAAUUGAAUGAGGUUAAAAAGUACAUGGCCAACAUGGAAUGGUACAAGAAGGAGUCCAAAGACAUGGGAAUUGGAUACUAUGACAGGUACAGAAACACGCGUUACCCGAGUGACAUUAAUGCCGAUGAGUUCAAGAAGAGGCUGUCAAUUUAUUGGCAUGACACGGUUACUGAAGCUGAGAGCAAACCACAGAAAGAAGGAGGCGCAAUGCGUAUCCGUUUUCUUUAUGGUGGAACGAAUUACAGAAGGAUGAUCGAACCGCUUCACAUUGCUGAGUACUACAGGGAAGGUGGAAAAAAUUACAAAGAGAAAAGGCCUCGACAUUUUGUUCUUUUGGAGCAAUGGUUCAAUGAGGAGGAGAAAAAGAAGAGGGAAAAGAAAGAGAGGGAAGAAAGGGAGAACCCGCAACAGCGCAGCGCAAGCAAGUCCAACCCAAAAGCGAACAGUGUGGCUUCUAGUCUGAAUGAUGAUUCUUGUUUUUGGGUGCACGUCGAGGAAGCACUUAUCUUGUGCGACGAACUAGCGAGUAAUCCACAUGCCAAGCAAAAGCUGAUCGAAUUUGAGUGUUACGUGCUGGAUACGCUCAAGAAUUUCGCAGUGACACCUGAUAUUUUCUUGCCGCAGAGCAGCUUCAUGCGAUGGUGGAACAAGUAUAAAGAGAUUGUGGGAAGUAGCUACUCCUCAGAACUCACAGAAGUCAUGAAGCGUCACACUUAUCGCAGGUAUGCCGAUGGGGUCUCAGUUCUUGCUGGUCUAUAAUCCAAGAUAAUUAAGUUUUAAGCAAUCAAUUAAAUCAGAUAAAGCAAGAUAAGUUUUGCUGUAUUCAUCACGAUCUUCAUAGAGAGAGACGUGCAGUACUUGCAGGACUUGUUGGUGCUACUACGUUUGAAUAUUUUUGUUUGUGGUUUCUUUUUGUUUUGGGCUCUAGCAUCUAGCUCUCUUGUAAGAAAAAUAAUGUGUGGGGGAGUUGUUUCAGUUAUAUUGUUGUAAUUUCCACUUCAUAAAAGUAAUGACGUUUGUUGUAUUUUGAUUUCACUAAGUUUGAGAACUACCCUAAUCAGCAUUUAUAAUAAGUUGAAAUUUACGUUUGUCGUGGUUUACGUUGUAUUACUCUUCAUAUACCUAUCAAGUACAAAAGCAGUAAAUACAUAUUUUAGCCAAGUGACUAAGUGUGGAACUGGGAUUCAAAGCUAAAGUAGAAUUACUUAUGUAUCCCAUAAUGUAUACCUUCUGAUGGCUUUUCACAUAGCACGCAACGUGUGAUUAAGGAACAAAAUGGUAUACACCUCGAGAUAGGUAAGUCCAUCAGCUAGUAAAUUAGCUUGAUGUAAUGUAGUCACGUGACGAGUAAGAACGAAGAAAUGAGUGUACAGCUUGGGACACAGUACAUAUAUAUAGUAAAACUACAUGUAUGUAUGCUUUGGGUGAGGCCGGCCAAGAGGGAUCUCCAUUUUUUUUUCAAAAAAUAGGAAUUAGUUGUGAGACUCACUCCACAUCGAGCUUCAACGGUCUGAACCGUUUAUUUAUUAAGAAGAAAUUAGGUUAUCAUCAUUCCUUUUGCUACUCCAUUAAUUAAAAUCCUAUUUUUUUUCAAUUUUUGAUCAAAGUCCUUGGGUAUUAAUAACAUCAUUAAUUAUUUCAAUAAUAAAAUAUUUUUUUAUUUCUUAAUAUAUUCAUUUAAUGUUAAAAAUGUUACAAUUAGUAUAUUUAUAUUUAUGACUAAAGUUUUUACCAUAUAUUUUUAGUUUUAGUUUGUACCCAUUUUUAAUUUGUAAUUCUUUUUUAAUUUGUACCAAUUUUCUUUUCAGUUUUAAUUUGUACCCAUAUAUUAAUUUCUUUUUGUGCCCAUAUUUUUUUAAAGUUUAUUUGUAUUUGUACCCAUAUAUUUUUUUUAUUUGUACUUUUUAUUUUGCUAAAUGUACCCAUGCUAAUUAUAUGUACCCAUUCAUGUAAAACUUUUUAAUCUUAAAAUGUACUCAUUCUUAAAUAUACCAAUUUGUUAUAUGUAAAAUGUACCUUUUUUAUAUAUAUAAAAUUUAUUCAAUUUUUUUCUAAUCUAUUUUAAACUUAUAUGGGUACAUUCUUUUUUCUUUGAUUUUAAAAUGUAUCCAUGUCAAGUUUAAUCGAAGAAAUUUACUAAUGUUAUUAAGCCUAAUAUCUUUUUUUUUUUUUAUGAUUUUGAAGAAUGUACCCAUGUUUUGAUACAAUAAAUUUUUUGGUUAAUUUUGAUGAAUGUACCCAUGUUUAUAUAUAUACACACACACAAUAGUAUAUUUAUAUUUUAAUAUUUUUAAUCCCACAAAUUAUGGUUUUUUUAUUUAAAAUCUCAUUUAUAUAAACAACUAAAAUUUCUAAUUUUUAAUUUAAAAAAUAUAGUAACAUACAUAGAAAUAAAUUAUCAUAUUAAUUUCAGGGACCUAGAUAAAAAAUUAAAAACUAAUAAGGUUUCAAUCAAAGAAUAUUCAUAAUUAAGGGCCGCAUCCAAAGUCUCCCUUUUUAAAUCUUGAUUUAUAGAUCAUUCUUGCAAAAAUUCAAGUCCGAAACCAUUUGCUAAUUUAAUUAUCACGAUAAAAUUUUAAUGUUUUAUUAGAACAAAACGUUCGUCAGCUCUUUGAACUCAAUUAGAUGCCUUAAAUAUUUUCGAUUUGGCUAAUAUUUUACAAAAUUAAUCUGGCACAUCCUGCCUCCACCAUAGCAAAAUAUUGUUCGCUUUGGGUCAUGCCCUCACGGAUUUGUUCUUGGGCUUCCACCCAAAACGCAUCAUGCUAAGAAGAGAUGAGCAUGUACAUAUAAAGCCAGGGACCAACCUUCACCCAACCGAUGUGGGAUCUUACAACCCACCCCCUUAGGGAGACCGAUAUCCUCGUCGGCACAUCCAAGCAGACGGUGAGUCUGGCUCUGAUUCCAAAUUGUCACAUCUCGCCUUCACCGUAACAAAAUAUUGUCUGCUUUGGGCCACCCUUCAUGGAUUUGUUCUUGGGCUUCCAUCCAAAACGUUUCAUGCUAGGAAGAGACGAGCAUGUACAUAUAAGGCCAAUGACCAACCUUCACCCCACCGAUAUGGGAUCUUACAUAAUCUAUGAAAUGAAACUUAAAAAAAAUACACAAUUCAAAUCUUUAAAAUUUGAUAUGGUGCCUUUCCCUUAAAAUGAGGUAGUGAUUUAGAUAGACCAUGUCAAUUUGCCAUGCCAAAUAUUAGGAAAGUAGAGUGUAGACAUGGGAAGAAAACCCAGCUUAGAUAUGGGACCCACAGGCACAUGCAGUUCUCAUCGAUCUCAAUAAUUUUCAACAAACCUUUAGAGCAAGUCCACCGGAGUGGUUUUUGCCCAGCACCCUGUCCAAAUAACAAGCUGAGGGACAGGGAAUUCACUUCAGCUCGUCGGGCUGCCUGGCACACAACCCAUGCCAGUCAACAAAUUAGCCCAUUUUUGACAGACCCAAGAGCCGGCCUAUUUGGCUGGCGCGUGGACUGCAUGCGCGCUUGGCAGCGAGUAGAAGACAAGCCGGCAGGCGCUGUUAGCCCACUUGUGCUGCAGCAACGUGGCUCGCUUAGAGCCGUUGGAUUUCCAACGGUAACAAAAAUUUAAAUUUUACUUUUAAACUGGACCUUUCGAUCACAGAUCAACGGUCCACGUUUUAUCCCCCUCCCCAAAAAAAGGGUCAAACGGUCAGAUUUAUAGCCGUUGGCCACGUGGCAGAUCAUGGGCUCUUGGAUUUGAAUAUUUUUCAAAUCCAACGGUCCAGAUUAAUUAACUACAUUAAAAUUAAUUAAAAAAAAUUAAAAAGUAUUUUUUUUCUAUAAAUACCUAACCCUCAUCUUCCACCUUACACCACAUUUCAAUAUUUUCUACACUUUCUACACUUUCUAUAAAUACCUAACCCUCAUCUUCCACCUUAGCGGAAAUCUAUUCACAAAAUAGUACGUUCGGAUAAUGACACGUGGCGUGACGAGAUUGGUUAAAAAUCCCAUCCGAAAUAAAACUAUUUUAUUUUUGUAUUCUUUUAGAAAAAAUUUAAAAAUAUUUUAAAUGGGCUGGGUGCCAGCGCAUUUUGUAGGGGUGGAGAUCGUUUGUGCCAGCGCAUUGUUUUAGGGGUGGAGAUGCAUUGGCCUAUUACUGUUCAUUGGAGUAUAUUACUGUUCACUGAAGUGGAUAAAUGGGCUGGGUGCUGGCACAAGGUCCUUAGGGGUGGACUUGCGCUUAUGUUUUGAUUCGAACAGUCUCCCACUUUCGAUUCUUCCAGUCCUACUGCAAUUGUCCUUUCGUGCUUUUUGCUCGGAGGGCAAGGAGCAAUUUUUACUCUUUACUUUAUAAGUUUAACCGCCCAUUAAAAAAAUAAUUUUUUUUUGAAAAUUAAAAUUGGUUUUCAGAAUUUUCUUUUCAAUUUUUGAUUUUCAAACGAAUCUUAUGAUGUUUAUAUGGGCAAAAUACAUUAACGUGUGCAUGAACAAAGAGGAGCACGUCGAAACCGAGAAAAAGUCUAAAUUUUUUUAUGUGGUUCAAUAUCUUAGUGAAUGAAGCGUUAGAUUUCUACCCAUGCAUUCUGGAUUUGAAAUCCUCCCAUUUUUUAAAUUAUUAUAAUAAUUUGAACAUCUCCUAAUAAUAUGGUACGAAUUUAUUGCUACCGUAAUAUUCCAAUCAAACAAAACAAUGACAUGUGUACAUUUUUCAAUACGUGACACUGACAUUGUAUAGUUAAAUUGAUCAAGGUGCUAUGUGGAAGAUGAUCAUCUCCAAAUCCAUUUUGUGGGAAUCCUAGGGAUUCUCACAUCAUAGCCAUUCAUCGUACAUCGUGCUUGUCAAUUUUCGUCGUGUACUAUUUGUGUUUAAUUUUAAAUAAAAAAAGUCAAAUGAUUUCUGACCACACACGAUGAAUGACUAAGAUAUGAGGAUCCUUAGGAUCCGGAUAGAAUCCAAAUCCGUACUACAUGACGAUAAAAUUGUUCUAUAUAAAUUGCUCUCUAAAAUUAGGUCGACAUCGUCCUUUUUUAAGUUGGAUACAACACACAAUUAGCCCUUGGAUUCGAAAAUACAAUUGGAUCGUCGUCAUUUAUACGAUUUAAUGGAACACUAGUCCAAAUUGGAGUGGGGCCCAUUUCCUUUCCAAUAAAAUAGCCACGUUGAUGUUGGACUGUUGGAUUAGCGACGUUGAUGAGCUUUUAGUGCGCUAUUUAGCUUUAACGUUGCAUAUGAUCCAUCACGUGACGAACAAUAUACGCGCCAGAUACAACGUUGUAACUUUUAACCUUUCUCCCCAUUAUCCACCUAAUUAUCUCAGCCUCCAUUUUAUGACAAUUUAAUAUCUACAAUCUUUUGCUAAUAGUUGGGGGGUUUUCUUAACUAAGAUGUUUGUGACUCUCUAAUGUAUACAAAAUUGUACAAGAUUAACCACAACCGUACAAUGAUGACUGAACUCUGAGUUCCCAAAGUGGACCACACUUAGGUGAUUCUGGAGAAAUUUAGGUGCAAUUGUCACACUGUCAAAUAAUGUUAAUCAGGUUUAAUAAUAAAAAAAUUAGUGUUGUCGAACCACAGCUAUACUGGAGGAAGAAAGUCCUCGUUAAAGGAGGGAAAAGUUGAUAUUGGUGUCACGCUCGACCUUGUCGAGGGGGAUGAAGGUGCGGUAGGUUUAAUACUCGAAUUAACCAAAGAGUGAUGUUAUCUGCACACCUUCUUUUAAGUCUCACACACUCCUUGUUAAUUUAUGUCACAUGAUCAUCUUUAAUUCAUUAGAUUCGAUGACCAAUUAUUGAGAGUUGUGUGUGAAAGAUAAAAAGAGGUUAGCAACACCCUUAACUAGAGGUGGUAAAUCAACAUGUUGGGUUGUUAAUGGUUACUCAUUAAGACUCAUUUAGUUUGAUUUCAGCUUACACCAUUAUCACCAUCACAAACCCUACCUCUAUAUUAUGAUGAUAUCAAAUUAAACGAGUCUUAACGGGUACUCAUUAACAACUAAAUGUGUUUAUCUCCACCUUUACACUUGUUGAUGCACAAAAUCGGGUCGAUCUUGGACCAACGUAAAUCCGACCGUGAAUCACAUAAACGCACAAGAACACAAAGAUAUAUCGUGGUUCACCUCAAGUUGAGGCUACGUCCACACUGGUGUUGAUUCCGUUUCACUAUGUAAAUGAAUGUUGAAUAUACAUGGAGGCUAUAGAGGCAGUGUUUACUCUCUUUGCUAUUCUGUUUGCUUUCUCGUUUCCCCUCUGUCUGUUUCCAUUUCUCUUUAAGUGAGUGUGAGGGAGCCAUUUUAUAAAAUAAGGGUUUCCUCCCAUCUUACAUGAAUCAUGGGCUAAGUAAUGAAGCCCAAAUACUGAGACCCAAUAUAUGGUACAACAUAAGUCCCCCAAGUCUUCAGUCAAGAGAGUCUUUUGGCUGGAGACUUCAAAUUCAAUCCAUGUGCAGGCUGAAAUGACUAGAUGUCGUUCAGAACUAGUACUCGACAUAAGACGGUGCUUAACAUGAAGCAAUAAUCAGCUAGAGGUAGCACACGUUGCGAGGCUGCUCGACUAGAGGCAAUGCUCGCGGCGAGGCGGUUGCUUGGCUGGAGGCGGUGCUGGUUACGAGACAGCUCAACUUGUGGCAUUCUUCAUUGCGAGUAUGCACUAAAUGUCAGUGUGUGCUCAUUAUGAGUUAACUUUCGACAUGACUCGGGUCCACUUGUCGAGUUCGCAUAUUGGGUCUAUGUGUCAAGUCCGCGGAUCAGGUCUAUAAGUCGGGUCUUUGAGUCGGGGCCAUCCGUAGGGUCUUUGAGUUGGGUCCGUAAGUCGAGGUUCGAGCUCAAAGGUGUCCAAUCUCGUAAGUGCCCGAAUGAAUGGGUGUCCAAGCACAUAGGUGUCCAAAUGAGCGAGCGUCUGAGCAAGUGGGUGUCUAAACGAGCGAGUGUCUAAGCAAGUGGGUGUCCGGUCAGACAAGAGAUCAUCGUUCGAACUAAAUCUUUGUCACCAUAAGCAUGUGGCUCAUCGAUCUAUAAGUUGAUCAGUAACAAUGUUGAUCAACGGAGUCCUGGCAAUAAAUAAUAGUAUAAGCAUGAAUGCAUAAUUAAUAAAUCAAUCACAGAGUUUGGCAAAAGUAUAAUGUCAUACUAUGCAAAUUGUGUGGUAAAUGACUUGUUUCAUAUGUGACAUAGUUAAUGACAUCACAGUAUCACUAGGCAAUGAAUAAAUAUUGCAUAAGUAAUUGCCUAAAUAUGUAGGUCAUUAGUGAAAUAUGAUAGAAAGCGUACUGAGCAUACGUGACUAUUGUAGCAUGUAAUCUUAAUAUAAUGACAAUGGGAAGACACACAAUAUAUUAUAUAAAUAUAUUUUCAUUCAAAUAAUGAGGAUAUCUAAUUUGGUCAGACCAUGCCACUAGCUAUAGUAAUUGUGGGGUGAUAAAAUAAUAAAAAUAAAGGUAUGUGGUAUAGUGGGUGUAAAGAAUAAAGAGGGUUUUAGGUGGAUUUGAUCAGUAGUCAUGUUGAAAAUAAAUAAAAUAUUUAAAUAAUGAAUUCAGUGUUCAUGAAUGAUUAAAGCUGGCAAGACUAAGGACAAGUGGUCUUGUAAUAAACAUUACAUAAUAAUAUAAAAUAUUAAUAGACAAUGACAUUGAGAAAACAUAAUGAUGGGUUUCUUUCAUGGCCGACAAUAUCAAAGGGGGAUAAUAAUAAAAUUAUUAUAAGCAAGCUUAUCUUUUUCCUGGUUUUCCCGUGGGUUUUUUUCAAUGGGAUAGUGGGUACAUGUCCUCGUGAAGAGCUACAAGGCACAUCAAAGCUUGGAGCUUGAAACCCAUUUGGGAUUUUGAGUUUGUGUAUAAGUAAAAGUGAAGCAGGAAAGCAAGAAGGUGAGCAGAAUGGUGAAGUUGGUGAACUUCGCUAUGGAUCCAACGGCUGAGAAACACUGAGGCUCUAUUUUCUCAUGCAGGUUUAGUUUGUAACAGUGAUGCUUAUGUUCUAAUUUAGCUCUCAAGAUCUGCACAGAAAAUGUAGAGAGAUAGAGAGAGAGAGAUGCGGUGGUGGCUAUGUUUCCAUCGUUGCUGCCGUGAUGGGGAGCUGGAACAGAAGACAUGGGUUUUGCAGUGAUUGUGCAGGUUUUUGGUUCUUAGGUUUCUACAGAUUCACGGUGGAGGUUGUGAGGUUUGAUGAAAAAAUGAAAGAGAACCAACAUAGCUUUUCGUGUCGUUUCCCACAGACGGCGCCAAAUGUUGAUGCACAAAAUCAGUGAGGACUGUGGUACAACAGAAAGUGUUAAGUUUGUGACCUUAGCUAGAUUGCUCCGGUCACUAGUGUGGAUAAGUAUGUAAAUGGAUAGAGACAAGGAAUCAAACUCAAGAUGUACGUGGUUCAUCCAGAUUCGCUACGUCCACGAAGUAUAUGAGUUCUCUUUAAUUGUGAAAGAUUUACACAAGUACAUAGGUUCAAGCUCUCAUUUAGUGAGUACUAGUGAAUGAUUUAGUACAAAUGACAUUAGGGAUUAUUAUGGGAGAAUGAUCUCCUUUUAUAGAAGAGAGUUUCUAGUUUUGUUCUGGCCUUGACACAUGUCAUGCUAUGAUUGGCCUUUGAUGUUGACACGUGUCGUCCUGUGAUUGGCCUCUUGGUGUUGACACGUGUUACGCUGUGAUUGGCCUCCUAGUUUGAGGGAAACUCUUCUGGGUCCUUGAUGGUAUAACGUUGACCAGUGCUUGGUAGUUUCGAGAUUGAUCAAGUAUGGUACAAACAACACUUAACCAAAUAAUGACGAAAGGUUGACAUUUCAUAUCGUCUUCUUUCAUAAGCUUGAUAGUCAUAAAAUAGAAAUAAGGAUCCUCUUCGAAUUAUCUUUGUGAGGAUCCCGAGGAUUCAUGAACUGUGUCCAUUCAUCGUACAUCGUGCAAUCAGAAAUCAUUUUAAAUUUUAUUAUUUAAAAUUGAACACAAACAGUAUUUAACAAAAACUGGCCGCAAGAUGUACGAUGAACGAACACGAUUCACAAAUUUUAGAAAUCCUCAUGAAGAGGCUUCAGAUUCAUAAAAUAUUGUAUAGAUAUGUGUUAGACCAAAAGCGAGGUAAUUACACUACACGACAAUGUGACAUUCAAAUUGAAAAAAUACUCAUUACUCUCAAGUCUAAAGAACACUUAGCUACACUCAAUCUGUAUCGUGACAUGGAUAAUGUUUUUCACACCUAUUUUUACUUUCUACAUACCUUGGUUAAGUUUUGGUCAUUGAUUUUUUUUUUCAAUUCAUAACAGAAAAUUAAGAAUGAUGGGUGAAAAGUAAAAAUAAAUAUGUGAAUAGCACUACCAUGUGACAAUCCUGAAAUUAAACUUUUCCACAUUGCAAUGCAUAAUUAGUCUUUUUAUGCAGUUAGAUAACUUUAGGGUUUACGUGUGAUUAAUUGAACUAUAACAUGAGGUGAUAAUGAAUUACUUAUCCACUUAACUCGUCAAUUAUACAACUAAUUUAAUACUUUACUUAAAUGCAAGUGACGUCUACAGUACUAGGCUCGGUCAAUGUAUGAUUGACUUUAUACAAUGUCACAGUCAUAGUGGUAUUGAAGGAAUUCGGAUCCUCACCGGAUUUUCUUUGUAAGGAGCUUGAAGAUCUGUGAAUCAUAUCCAUUCAUUGUAUAUCGUGCGGUCAUAAAUUAUUUUAAAUAUUUUUAUUUAAAAUUAAAUACAAACAGUAUCUGACAAAAACUAACUGCACAAUGUACGAUUAACGGACACGAUUUACAGAUUUCCAUUAACCUUACCGAAAUGAUCCGGAGAUGGACUCAGAUCCUCUCCGGAUCAUUUCCGUGGGGAUCCUUCUGACCUAUUAAUCUCAUCCGUUGAUACUAAUCCAACGGCCAAAUGAGUUUCGCGUCUUUUCUCUCUUUUCUCCCUUACGCUCUUCCCCUCAACCCUUCAUUCUCCCUCAAUUCGAAGCACCCGACCCGCUGCCACCAUGUUACGAACUGGAUUUGAACCAGCAUCCCAAAAUUCCCCGGAAAACUUCCAUUUAUAUUCUGAUCGUGACUAUGGUCUUCCAACCCAGCAACCCCCAACCUCCCCUGCUGCAAAUUGAAUAAAGUCCGAAUUCAAAGGACCUACAAAAAUAUCACUAAACGUACUGCAAAAAUUAAAGAUUCAGAGAUAAGAAAUACAAAAGUUAACAAGGAAUUUAAUUGGGGUGGGCUGGGGCUGAAGAAGAUUGAGAAGAUGCUGGUGUGGCGUUGGUGGGUGCUUCUAAGUGAGAGGAGAAAGAUGAAGAGUCGAGGGAAGAGAGAGAGAAAGAGGUGAAAAUAAUUUGGCCGUUGGAUUUGUCCCAACGGUUGAUAUCAAUCGGUCAAGAGGAUCCUUACGGAAAUGAUCCGGAGAGGAUCUGAGUCCUCCGGAGAUGACCAAGUUGGGUAUUGAAGGGCAGAAAAGUCGUCCUCACCCGCUCCAUAAAGUAGGGGUAUUUCCGUCAUUCCAUGUGCCUUGAUCCGAAGUUCAACCCAAAAUUUAAGUGGGCCGUCGAUUACUCCUAAGCACGAUUCCCGUGAUUGACGGUGGAUAGAGUGCCGCGUGGUUACUCCCUUCCCCACUCUGUCUACCCCCGGUAAAUCCAUCUCUUCUACGAGGGCACGAGACCUCACUCUCUAUUUCUCUCUCUCUGUCUUUCCUCCUCUGAGCUUCCAAAAUGCUCAUUUCUUCCUUCCGGCUACCGCCCGCCAGCUGAAGCAGUUGCAGAAGCAGCAGCAGCCACAGAGAGAAGCUGAGCAUGGCGGCAUUCCUCAUUGUCCUCCUCACAUCUCUCUACUAGCUCUCACCACCCUCCCCGGCGCCGAAUCCCGACUCUACACCAACUACUACCAAAAAUCGUGCUCGAGAUUCGCUCAAAUCGUCCAAGACACCGUCACAAAUAAGCAGAUCAUGAAUCCUACCACCGCCGCCGCCAUUCUCCGCCUCUUCUUCCACGACUGCCUCGCCAACGGCUGCGAGGCCUCCAUCCUCCUCUCCUCCACCCCCUUCAACAAGGCGAUGGAGAAGCUCGGCGUGUUAGGGAUUCAGACCGGAAGGCGGAGAGAGAUUAGGCACAGGUGUCGAUAUCAACCUCUCAAAGAACAGAGAAGCAGGAACUACUCGCUGUGCACCAGUUCAUAAAUUGGUCCAUCGCUGGUAUGCGUUUUAACUCUUCCCUAUUAGGUUAAUAUUUAUACUUCCAUUAUUUUCAGCAAAUGGUCUCUUGUCCCGGCUUACUUCCAUAUUUCUCGGUUUUGCUCCCACAUUUCUUGGAUUCCUGGGAUUGUAGGGAUCCCAAAAUCGUAACCGUUCAUCCUAUAUCUUCGGUUAAAUUUCGUUAAGUACUAUUUAUAUUUAAUUUUAAAUUUUAACGGUGCACUGGCCCUUGUACUCAUCUCGUGGGUACUAGUUGAAAACACACUUAUUUACUCAAGUAAGGUGAAAAGGUUGUCAAGUUCCUUUAGCGAUAUGGAGGAUAACGUCAUACUUGAUGGUAGAUACUCUCGGAUGUCUUUUGUGGCUUUAGAUGGUUUUAUUCAACGUUGCUUUCUUUGGAACGGGAAACUUUGCGAGUAUUGCAAGUUUUGGGAUUUCAUCAGUGUAUCGGUUCAUUACCGUCUUCAGUGUAAGUGAAGGUUGAACUUUCCUGGGCAUUAACGCUGCUAAGGCACACCUCUUGCGGUCUUCUGCAAUUUUUUGCCCUUUAUUCCUGCAACUGCUGAUUGCUCGUACAAAGUUCGAUUGAAAUUUAAUGAGAGUCAGAGCAAUGGGAUUUUCCAAGUGUUCCCCAAAGAUCUCACAACGUUCGAUUGAAAUUUUGGCACUCUUCUCACAUCUCUUGAUUAGUUGAUACGAUUUAACCAGUUAUCCCAUUUAGUUAUUCAUUGAUCGAUUUUGUAACUACAUUUAACCAGUACAUACUCCACUUUUGGCUGUCUGAAAUAUUUGAUUGGUCGUAGAUUAAAUGUUACUAUCUUCCAUCUCGAAACAAUAAAAGUUGGCCCUAUAUUGGGACAAAUUAUUGGCUGCGAACGACCAGACUACAUGGUUGUUUAAGAGCAUCUUUAACCGGAGUCCCAGCACUAUUUUUGAAGAAUCAUUUACGAACUUAAAGGGAAUAUACUUGUUCCCAAAAGAAAAUUAGUUCCAAUGGAGUGUCUUAUAGUAUAAUCUUUAAAUUUAGAUACUACGAAUUAAAAAAUCAUUGUUAAUUUCACAAUGAGAAACCUAAAAUAACUUUCACAACCGUUGUUUUCUCAUCAAACCAAAGAGAAAAGUAACGGGACCUGCCCCAUUGGAAGCUGCACAGUAUUUUAGAGUUCCAUCACGUGCUCACGUGCUAGGGACUUUCCCCGAAGAAAGAUGGUAAUCUACUAUAAAACCAAGAGUAAUGUUAUCUACAUACUUAUUUUACUUUUAAUACAUCCAUAUACAAUCCUUAAUUGUAAGGUAAUUUUGGCGGUCUCCGGGCAGUCCCUAUAUUAUAGGGAUUGGAGUUCCGAUCCACCGGAAGUCACCAAGUUCUUAACUUUAAGGAUAUAUGGUGGUAAGAACAAGUAUAGGAACAAACAUUGAAGAUGCUCUAAUUGCACGCACAAAACACCCAUUCUUGCCGAUGGUCCCACCCUGCGCCCCUUGCGCGCGUGCGAGCUUCCGAACUCAAGGAUUGCCCCUUGUAAUUGUAAAAGCAAAGAAUAGAAAAAGACGACCAUAUUGUACUGCUGGUAGGUGAACUGGGAAAGAAACAGAACGGUCGACGGCCAUACCCGAGCCCUCAGAUUCACUAGUUAGAUUACUUUGUAAAUUUCUUUGCAUCCUUCCGGAACGUUCAGUCGUUAAAAUCAGCAAUGUAUUAACCUGCUCCAAAUAUUCAUUGCAGGGAGCAAGAGGGAAUAAAUAAUGCAAGUGGGAAUAAUUAACCUGAAUUUUAACACGUAAACGUACAAAAGAAGACAAGGAAAAGCUUCGAGGUCUAGGGCCCUCCCUUUUUCUCCGAGAAACUUUCAGGAAUAAGUUGCGUGGACGACGACCUAGACUUUGCUGUGCAUCGUCGACUUGGGGGGAAGCUUCGUCGUGCGGCCUUUUGAUUGGUGAGACAAAGACGUCCAUAAUAUUUAAUAACGAUAGGAUUGAUUCGUAUUCUAUAUAAAGAGAGAUAUAUUGACCAUUCCGGUAUCCUCUUCUCUCCAUCUACUGUGUGUUUUAAGCAGAUCGGCAAAAGCUUGAAGAUGAACGACCGGUAAGUCAACUUCGACUUCAAACUUCUCCGAUCCUUGUUUUUCUUUGAAUCCUUUGCCAUGAUUUUUCUUGUGUUGUCUUGAUUGAGCGGAAAAUGGUCUGGAAUGGCUAAAAGUGUGUUUUUCAACUAUCAAAAGUUCUUAUGGUUGAAUCUGGCAAAAAAAACUUGCAAAACGCUUUUAGAUAGACGGUAUAAGCUCUUUUCGGAGAAGCAUGUGCUAUGUCCGCCCUCUACAAGCACUUCUAUAUUUUCAAGUGCUUUUUCGAAUAGCACUUGAGUAUUUAAUAAACAUUUCUAUAUGUUCAUAGUAAAAGAUAAGUGCUUAUGAGUAAAGUGAAUCUUACGAAAUACAUUAGCUUAAUAAUCGUCCUUAUAGUUUACCAAAUUGCAAUUUCAUUCUUACAAGUAUUUUGCUAAAGUGGCUUCGUUAGAAAUAGGUAGUAUUAUCUACGCAUUUAUUUUUACUUGUCAUACACGAGAGAGGAUCCUCGCCGGAUCCUCUUUGUGAGGAUUACGGGAAUCCUUCAAUCACAUCCGUUCAUCGUACAUCAUGCGGUCAGUUUUUGUUAGACGCAAAAGUUUCAACAGAAGUUUCAAGCAUGUUUGUUAUUAUAGUUGGAUGCUAUUUGCUUACACCCUCGAUUUAACUUUGCUUCAAUUUUUUGUUGGUGAUGACAGAAUUAGCAGUGCUGGGCUUGAACUAGCAAAUGUGCUGGUGACUUCUCCUCCCCUGCAGCAGUCAUGGGACGCGGUUCUUGAUCAGAUGCAAAAGCUCCCCCCAGCAGCUGAUCCGAACCAAAAAAUGGCCUUAGACAUUAAUGAAACCAAGCACUCAAACACCGCCAUCAUAUCUUUUCUUACUUCACCCGUCACGCUUCACGAUCAACAAACGAUGGUUUCAUCGUUGACUCUCAAGAAUGCAGAUUUUUCUCUCUUUGAGUUUUUGUGCGGCAAAAACAUCCCAAGUUUCUCCGUCAAUGAAUUGGCAAUCAAUUUCUUCAAAUUGAACCUGAAAAACCUCGAUAUUUGGCGAAAAAAGGUGCGUAUUAUUGUCUCUCUGGUAACUGAUAAUGUUUAAUCGUUUUGACAACUCUUAAUAGUGAGAAACAGUUAAAAAAUCAUAAUUAUAUUGCUAGAUUACUUUUCACUUAAUUAGUUUGGAUUCUUUGACAAACUGUUAAUGUUAACGAAAAACGCUUACAAAACCGAGUUUAAGUGUUUUUUCUUUUACUAUGAAAGAAGUUUGAGGAACUUAUUUGUAAAGACUUCUCCGAAUUGAUUAUAUAGAAAUUCAGUAAUUGACUAACUUUUAUGUAAUAUUUCAGCUGGUAGAAAUGUUAGAAAGCAGCAAAUCCUCACGGAUAGUUAUCACUGGACAUUCUUGGAGGUGCUGUGGCUACCCUUUUCACCUUAUGGCUGCUACAAAGCCUUGACUUGUUGAAAGCGAAACGCCUCCUUUGCAUCACUUUCGGUUCACCCUUGAUCGGUGACGAACAACUCCGACAAUGUGUGUUGGAAUUCUCAACAUGGAGUUCUUGCUUCUUGAAUGUAGCCUCCAUCAAUGAUCCUGUACCUAAAGUCUUCCUAACUUCGCAAGGGAGUGGUUAUAAGCCUUUCGGAACAUUCCUACUGUGCUCCUCUUCGGGUGGUUCUUGCAUUGAGGACGCUGAUGCCAUUUUGCAACUAUUGGUGGAAACCAGCUCUCAGUGUGUUCAAAAUCCAGUUCCGAAUUCAGGGACUCAGUUGUUUGAUUACGGAAAGAUUUUGAAUGAUCUCAAGACUAAGGCAUUGUCUAGAGAUGUCUUUGAGUUGGUUGAAGAGGAUAGAGUUCCACUUAAAGCUGGAAUUAAAACACAGUUGGCAGCAAUAUUAGGAGUUCUCAGCUCACAGGUAUCAAACUUUCAACACAAAUAUCUAAUUUGAUGAUGAUUUAGGGAAAUGGUUUCCGCACAAACCUGUUUAUUUCCAUCUCUUGAUUCUUCUUUGAUUUAUUUAAUCCAAAGACUGGAAAUAAACACGGGUGUGCAAGGAGAGAAUAUGAGUUUGCGGAAAUCACAUCCCACGUUUACUUCUAGUUACUAACUUUUCUCUCAACUCCUUUUGUAAAAGUCAUUGCAGCAGCAACAACCCAACAUAGAAUUCGAGAGUCUGGUGAAAAAGAUGGUCGCUCACGAACGUAAACUAGCGGUCCAGAAGACGAUGGUUUACAGUUCUUUCCUGAAAUUGAAUGAGAAUAAAAAGUACAUGGCCAACAUGGAAUGGUACAAGAAGGAGUCCAAAGACAUGGAAAUUGGAUACUAUGACAGGUACAGAAACAAGCGUUACCGGAGUGACGUUAUUGCCGAAGAGUUCACGAAGAAGCUCUCAAUUUAUUGGCAUGACACGGUUACAGAAGCUGAAAGCAAGCCCCAGAAAGAAGGAGCCACAAUGCGUAUCCGUUUUCUUUAUGGUGGAACGAAUUACAGAAGGAUGAUCGAACCGCUUCACAUUGCUGAGUACUACAAGGAAGGUGGAAAAAAUUACAAAGAGAAAAGGCCUCGACAUUUCGUUCUUUUGGAGCAAUGGUUCGAUGAAGAGGAGAAAAAGAAGAAGGAAAAGAGAGAGAGGGAAGAAAGGGAGAACCCGCAACCACGCAGCGCAAGCAAGUCCAACUCAAAAGCGACGAGUGUGGCUACAAGUCUGAAUGAUGAUUCUUGUUUUUGGGUGCACGUCGAGGAAGCGCUUAUCUUGUGCAACGAACUAGCGAGGAAUCCAGAUGGCAGGCAAAAGCUGAUCGAAUUUGAGCGUUACGUGCUGGAUACGCUCAAGAAUUUCGCAGUGACACCUGAUAUUUUCUUGCCGCAAAGCAGCUUCAUGCAAUGGUGGAACAAGUAUAAAGAUAUUGUGGGAAGUAGCUACUCCUCGGAACUCACAGACGUCAUGAGGCGUCGCACUUAUCGCAAUUAUGCAGAUGGGGUCUCGGUUCUUGCUGGUCUAUAAGCCAAGAUAAUUAAGUUUUAAGCAAGCAAUUAAAUCAGAUAAAGCAAGAUUAGUUUUGCUGUAUCGCUCAUGAUCUUCACAGAGAGACGGGCAGUACUUGUUGGUGCUACUACGUUUCAAUAUUUUUGUUUGUGGUUUCUUUUUGUUUUGGGCUCGAGCAUCUAUAAGAAAAAUAAUGUGUGGGGGUAUUGUUUCAAUUAUAAUGUUGUAAUUUCCACUUCAUAAAAGUAAUGACGCUCGUUGUAUUUUGAUUUUACUAAGUGUGAUAAGUACUACCUAAUUAGUAUUUGUAAUAAAGUGAGACUUACUUUUGUCGUGGUUUGUGUUGUAUUAAUCUUCAUAUGAACCUAUAAAGUACAAAAGCUUAAUCUUGUAAAUACAUAUUCUAGCAAUGUGAAGAGUGGAAUUAGGAUUCAAUGCUAAAGCAAAAUACUUACGUAUCCCAUUGUGUAUACCCUUCUAGUGCGUUUUCACACAGCACGCAACGUAUGAUAAGGGUGCGUUUGGUACGUGGGACGGGACGGGACGGAACGGGACGAGGCGUUCCGUCCCGCGUUUAGUGCGCCAAAAAUGGAUGGAACGGGCUGUUCCACGGGACAGGUUUUGGGUGUUUUUGCGUUCCACCUCCCCCCUGGAACGGGUUUGUUCCACGUCUGUGGAACACAAUGUUUUACCAUUUUAAGACAAAUAUACCCCAUGUCUUUUUCAAAAAUGACACCUUCGUUCCGUCCUGUCCCGUCCCGUCCCGUCCCGUUCCGUCCCGUCCCGUCCCGUCCCGUCCCGUCCCGUCUGCGUACCAAACGCACCCUAAAGGAACAAAAAGGUAUACACCUCGAGACAAGUAAGUCCCAUGUGCUAGUAAAUUAGCUUGGAUGUAUGGCUGGUUUGGUAUUGCUGUGCUUUGAAAAAAAGCUGCUAUAAGAAUAAGCGGCUGUGAAAUAAAUCAGCAGAGCGUUUGGUAAACUUUUUUGUAAAAGUGCUUUUGAAAAAAAAAGCAGUUUGAUAGUUGGUCUUUUCAUUAAAGGAGCACUGUAGUUCCGUGUGCUUUGAAAAAAAGCCAGUUUUCCAAAGCUGCAAAUAGCAGCUUCAGCUUUUUCUUUUGAUUUCAGCUUAUUCUCACAGCAGCUUCCAAAAUAAGCCAUUUUUUUUCAGUUUACCAAACACCUAAAACCCUCACAACUUUUUUUCAUAGGUGCUUUUUUUUAAGCACCUCACUCCCAAACUAGGUCGUAAUGUAGUCACGGGAAGCGUAAGAAACAAAGAAAGGAGUGUACAGCCUGGGACAAAGCACAUAUAUAUUUUACAACUACAUGUAUGUACUCUAUGGGUGAGGCAUGGCCUAAGGGGAAGGAUCUCCAUUUUUUUUCAAAAAAUAGGAAUUAGUUGUGAGACUCACUCCACAUCGAACUUCAACGAUCCGAAUCAUCUAUUUUGUAAAUUUUGAUUCAUAGAUCAUUCUUACAAAAAUUCAAGUCCGAAACUAAUUAUCACGAUAAAAUUUGAAUGUUUUAUUAGAACAAAAUGUUCGUCAAUUUUUUUGAAUUCAAUUAUAUGCCUGUUUGGAUCCAAAUUUACACCAUUGGCCCAUGCAAUCAAGGCCUUUGAGUGAGCAUAGCUCCCAACCAUCGGAUGGAAAAGUGAAGAUAAUUUUGUUAUUGUUGAAGGAUAAUAUUAUGAUUUUUAUCAUAAUAAUUAUCUUUUAAUAUGGAUUAUCUGCAUCUUCUUAAACCAGAUAAAUAGGAUGCGAAUUAUAUCCUAAGCAAGCAGUACAGUUCGAAUUGAUUUGGGAUGUUUGACGACACUUGGAAGCUAAAAAUGAAUUUGAAAUUCAUUUGAUCAGGAUGCAUGCAUGGAUGGGUUUAAAGGUGAUGGAAUUAUAUGAUGUGAUAAGCCUAGGAUUUGAUGGUCUUGGAUAAUGAUGAGAUAAGAAACUUAGGUAGGCUAGGCCUUUUUUUGCAUGGUGAUGGGCGUUGUCAUAUGAGUUUGGAGUGAUAAGAAUUGAUGAUGUGAGCACAGUAUGAUUGUCGUGUGAAAGGGCACUUCGAGAUUUCAAAGGGACACCUGUUGUUCCUCUUGUAAAAGUCCACAAGCAUAAGAAGACUAGGGAGAUUUUUGCCGAAAUAUAUUAAAGAUAAUAUCAGUUAUUGUUUUUUAGAGUAUAUUCGGAAAGAGAGAUUAUAUUCACACACCUCAAAUUACUUCUCCCACACCUUUUUAUUUUUUUAAUAUUUUCUACACACCACUAACACUUGAUAAAAAAAUAUUAAAAAAUUAAAAGGGUGUGGGAGAAGUAAUUUGAGGUGUGUGAAUAUAAUCUCCCAUUCGGAAAAGGCCUCUAUUGGAUUGGCGAUCAAGAAGACUUGCUAUAAAUACAGAGGCAGUGGCAACAUGAAAAGUCCUCAUCCAAUUCAACACACAAACUGCCAUGUACAAACUCUUGCUUUACGUGAAACCUUUCAACAACCUUGAGAUUUUAUUUUCUUUUUCCCGCUGACACAUCUUAAAUUUUAAUAAACAGCAUUGUGAAGGCAACCGGUGAACAUCUUCAGUUUGGAUAAACAGCACUGUGCCAUAGAACCAUUCGACCGCGAAGCACCUUCAGUUUGGAUAAACAGCAUUGCUCCGAGACCGACUGGUUACCUAUCCAAGUCUCGGUCAAGAAGGAUUUUCGAGUCCUUAUUGGCAGAUGUCAUCUCAUCAGCCUUCUCGACGAAGUGAGAUGUUACCAAGUUACUACAUUUAGCACCCUGAGAGCCGAAUUUGAUAUUGAACUUCGCAGAACUAGCAGCCCUUCAGGCUCUAGAACCCGAAGGCCGAGACGUGUUCCUUUCUCGGCCACAGUCGUGAGAUUUAGAAGUCAACAACACGCCCAACGCAACAUCAACUCAUUUUACUCACCGGUCGAGCUCGGCCGUCGAGUUGGCACGCCCUACACACAACCGAAGAACGUAGUUAGCUUUUUAAUUGUUCGGCCUGUGCGCCACGUAGGCUUGAUAGUUUUUAGGUUGGAGAAAUUAGGUUCACAUCCUUCUUUUUGCUACUCCAUUGAUUAAAAUCCUAUUCAUUUUCAAUUUUUGAUCAAGGUCAUUGGGUAUUAAUAACAUCAUUAAUCAUUUGAAUAAUAAAAUAUUUUUAUUUUUAAAUAUAUUCCUUUAGUGUUAAAAAUGUUAAAAUUAGUAUAUUUAUGUUUAUGGCUAAAUUUUUUAUCAUAUAUUUUUAUUUUUAGUUUGUACCUCUUUUUAAUUUGUACCCAAUUUUCUUUUCAUUUUUAAUUUGUACCCAUAUAUUAGUUUCUUUAUGUGCCCAUAUUUUUUUAAAGUUUUAUUUGUAUUUGUACCCAUGUCUAUAACGUCACGUGACAUUGUAUAUUUAAUCAAUUAUAGAAAAACUACAUAUGGUAUAUUUAUGUUUUAUGCCUAAACUUUGUAUCAUAUAUUUAUAUUUUUAGUUUGUACCCACUUUUAAUUUGCAACAUUUUUUUAAAUUUGUAGUAUUUUCUUUUUAGUUUUAUUUUGUACCCAUGUAUUAAUUUCUUUUAGUGCCUAUAUUAUUUAAAAAUUCAUUUGUACUCGUAAUUUUUUAAUCUUUUAUAUGUACCCUAAUUUAUUUAUAAUGUACCCAUUCUUCUUUAUUAAUGUACCACUUUGUUAUAUGUGAAAUGUACCAAUUUUUUUAACAUUAUGGAUACAUUCUUUUGCCAUUUAUUAUUUCUUAUUUUUACAUAGUUUUUAUCCAUUUAUUCAAGGGAGUUUUAACGAAAAGCCCACGGUACUGUUCACUUUAACGAAAAACCACAUUUUUACACUAAAAAGUCAAACCUGCUACUAUUCACUUUAGCCUUUAUUUUGUCCUUAUCGUUAAAACUCAAAGUUUUUAAGCCCUUUUCAUUAAUUUUCCUUUUAUUUUCAAUCAAAAUGUUUGAAUUUUUUUAUUGUAACUGUUUCUAAUAGUAUUAUAAUGAGGGAUUUUAAAUUUAUAGGAUUAUAAAUCUCAUAAAAUAUCAAACAAUUAAUGUCAAAACUAUAAAAAUAUAAAUAUUAAUUGUAAUAUAAUGAGGUGUACAAAAUCAAAGGACUUUGAUCAAACUUUGAAUACCAUUAUGGUUUUAGUCAAAGAAUAUUAAGGAUUAGAGACUACAUCCAAAGUAUCCCUUUUAGGUUCAAUAAUGCCUUAAAUAUUUUUUAAGGAAAACUAAUAAAAAAGGCUUGAAAACUUUGAGUUUUAAUGAUAAGGACAAAAUAAAGGGUAAAGUGAAUAGUACCAGGAUUGACUUUUUAGUGUAAAAAUAUGAUUUUUCGUUAAAGUGAACAGUACCAAAUGCUUUUCGUUAAAGUUCCCUAUUUUUUAUUUGACUAAUAUUUUACAAAAUUAAUCAAUGAAAAGCAACUUCAAAAAUACACGAUUCAAAUCGUUAAAAUUUAAUGUGGUGCCCUUCCCUUAAAAUGACGUGGUGAUUUAGAUAGACACUAGAAAUUAGGCUCGUGCGUUGCCACAGGAACCAACUUUUUCAGACGUAAUCGAAUGAAUAAAUUCAACACAAUUAUGAACAAACAAAGGGAUACAUAAGUGAAUGAAAUCGAUAAAAUAAGCAAUUUUGCUUUUAUAUACAUUCAAGUGAGUUGACAUAUAAACACAUUGUACAAUGAGUGGGAAGAAACUGAACGUCUUUGAUUAGAAAGAGAUGGUUUCAAAAAAAGUUCUGUUUCCUUAAGAAACAAAAGAAACAUUUAGUUCACAUAUAUAAUGUGUCAUGCAGUGUAGACGGCCAUUUCAACAGAUAAUUAAAAAUAGAGAGUGUUGAGGACUUGUUCAAGUAGUUAAUUUUGUAACCACAACUUUUCAAAGGCAAAAAUAAGCAGAAGGUUUGUUUCCAUACCAAACUGAAGAAACAGAUGCAAGCUACAGUUUACACAUAUUUUGCCCCUGCAGUUAAGACAGCAAAAUAUAUGCCCUGCAAUCUACGUACCUCACUUGUGCAACAUAUGCCUUACACUGGAAAAACAUCAAAAAUUGAAUACAAAUUUGUAAAUCAUGGACAGAUUUUGUUUUACAUUUUUAUAAUCAAAUCAAACGGCAAUGUAGCACGUAAAAUUACAAACUUGAAGCAACCAGAGAGCAAAAAUUAAGAUGUAGAGAUAUCCUCAAACUUGCAACAUAUUGUAUGGAAGCUAACCGUAGAGGUUUGUGAAGCAAACUGCGGCAUGAGUUGCAGUCAAUUGAACAAAAAUAUAGUAGUUCAACUAAAAAAUGCAUAUAAACACAUUUAAGUUAAAUAAAUUCAACACAAUUAUGAAAGGAUACAUGAGUGAAUGAGAUCGAUAAGAUAAGCAGUUUUGCUUUUAUAUACAUUCAAGUGAGCUAGCAUACAAACACAUUGUACAAUGAGUGGGAAGAAACUGAACGUCUUUGAUUAGAAAUAUAUGGUUUCCAAAAUAGUUUUGUUUCCUUAAAAAACAGAAGAAACAUGUAGUUCACACAAAUGUGUCCUGUAGUGUAGGCAACCAUUUCAAUAGGUAAUGCCAAGAAAAGGAAUUAAAAUAUUAGGCAUAUAAAUGCAAGCUUACAGAAACUUUGUUUUUGUACACUUUCUUCUCCCUUGAAUGACAGUUUGUUUCUUAUCUAGAAAAAUAAAAUGAGCAGGUCAAUGAUACUCACAUGUGCAAAAUGCUAAUCCUAUGGUCUAAAGCUAACUGAGUUUUUAAAUGUAAAAUCUCUAAUUUCACUGCAUUUGGAUUGAUCACAGUUCGUGACUUGUUAAACUUGAUAUCUCCUUGUACAUUUUGGGAACUUGACGGCUUAAAGAAGUGCUCAUAAAAGCAAAUUACACAAUAUCUACUAAAAAACUUAGAGAAGGGACUCAAUUAGUCAACAACCAGGUGCCUCACACUUAAAUAUUAAAGACCAAAGGGAGAAAACGAAGCCAAACUCUUAAAAAUUCGUUGGCACACAUGCUUCAUUGGCUCAAUUGAAUGUAUAAUACAAUAAUUCGAACAAUAGCUCAGAAACAGUGCUAAAAUUCCAUUAGCACUAAUCACACACUGUUGGAACAGAGAUCCUAGCAAAGCUACACCAAUUAAAUGACAGACUAAAAACCACAAACAGGAAAAAAGGAAAAACAGAGUUAUCAGACAGCAUGAUUCAAAUAUAAUUUUAUUAGGGUUUGUAAAAGCACAACUCAUCCAGCACUUCGAACACACCGUGGGAUUUAAAGACCAUAGAGUAACAUGUUGGAUUCAUCAUUUUUUGAGAAGAGACAAACCUUUCAUUUAAGCUAACACAAAUUACAUAUCAAAGGAUAAGGAGUACGCUCUAAGAACAGACGGAAAUAAAACAAACACAUAACAGACAUAACUAUCAUACCAAGAAGCCCCCAGACACUUACUAUUGGCUUUGAUAUCAGUUUUACAAUCUGCCUUUGAUAUCAAUUCCACAAUUGGGAAUUGAUAUCAAUCUUAAACCCCACAGGCUAUUCAUGUUUGAGAAGGCAUCAGACAUGCCCGUCAAAAUCAUUACCAAGCUUAGAUACUUUCAGAGUACGUGAAGUGGGGUCACUUACAUUCUGUAUCAAAAAACCUGACAGACGCCAAUGAAAUUUUAAUAGCGGAAUUGAACCUAAUUCAUUAACUGUGGUUCGUGCAUGGUCAUGAUGAUAUGAGGUGAAUCGCUCUCUAAAAUCAGAUCUCGAAGAACCCUAACAGAAGCCAACACCUUGGAUGAAUGAAUCACAUUUAAGUUGAAUAAAUUCAACACAAUGCAUAAAUUGCCUUAAGAUCUGCUAAACUGAAGUAACAAAAUGACAAAACUAUACAAAUUACAGACCAGAAACAAAGCUAUAGCUGACUGACCUUAUGCCAAAUCCCUCGAGCUCUUUUUCAAUUAGACGCUUGUGAGUUAUUGGCUUUAUUGCAUCAUGAACAAUUAAAAUGCAAUUGCAUGUCCUAGCAGUGCUGAUAACCAAAAUAUUGUUAGGACAACAAACGGUAUCAAAGUUUUCAUCUGAAGCUAUUUUGACUUUAUGCACACUGAGAUGAAGAACCAAUAUAUAUUAAUUAUACCUUUGGGAUAUUUGGGUGGUCAAGCUUAUGCCAAACAUCAACCUCUUGCUGAAACGACGCCCGAAGAGCAGCAGUUUCGGCUAUCCUCCCCCCAAUCCAAUAUCUUUAAUUUUUCACUAUAAUAUCAAGAAUACAUAAAGCCAUGAGAACAAUAUUGAUAAGAAAAAUACAGGAUAACCUACGGUUAGGGGUUCAUUAUUCAAUCAAAUAACACCGUUUUCUUACACUCAAUAAAAAAAUUUAUGUAUUUCUAAAUUUGUACAUGCAGUCACAUGUAUUCUUUUUCUCCAAUGAAAUAAACCCCCCCCCCCCGGAGUCUAAUAACGAUGAAAGUGAUUGACCCCAAGAACCCCAAACAUGCCAGUCCUAAGAACACAAAGCAUAUAAACAGUUAACCACACACUUAAGCACAUUUGCGUCUGCACAGUGGCCAUUUAUUAGGUCAUAAUACACAUGAGUAAACCCUAAAACACAAAAAUCAAAGUUACAAACUUUCAAUACAAACCAAUCGAGAAUGAAUUUAUACCACACAUUCUGGCAUAAAAGAAAAGAAAAAUCAAUACUAAUAUUUGACUGCAAGCAGAUCUUGUGGGACUACUACAAAUAAUAUAAACCAGUAGAUUUCCGUAAUAAAAUAUAACCACAGAUGAAUGAAGGGCUAUUAACUUAAUAUUUAGAAAUAACCGUCAGUCCCUAGCUAUUAUGCAUGCCACUAAUGAAAGGAGGGAUCACCAUUUAUUAAGGUACCUGGAAUUCACCAAUACCAGGAUAUUUCCAACCAUGCUGUUCAGGAUAAGAAGGAUAUUGUAGCUCUCCACACGGACCUAAUCCAACUUCAAUUUCUGAUAUUAUUCCUUCCUCAAAAAACUCAUCAAAUUCAACUCUGAAGCUCCUCAAGUGGUCGAAGUAAACCUGCAUUGGUUCCAUUAUAAUAUAACAAAAUAGAAACUCUCAGCAUUAAACAAUAAGAAUGCAUAGGGUCUGAUUCUUAGAGCAUACAAAUUCUUAGAAAUAUAGAACAUAUAAGUUGGAAUAGGUUUAGCAAUAGUUUCUUUUAAAACAUGAGUGGAACAUGUAAAAAAAGACAAAUAUAGGAAAGGAGAUAUGACAAUCCAUAGAAAUAAAAGACCAACAUAACUAAGUAAUUCUAGAAUACUAUACCUCAACAGCAGUGCGGCCUCUUAAAACCCGCUCUUUAUCAAUUCCCCAAGUGAGACAUUCAGUGUUGCGUUUCCCUUCUUUAUUAGUAAAAUAUAUAUAUCAGGAUUCUUUUGGCCCAUUUCUGUCACCCAGUGAGAAAGAGGGAUAAGUACAUCAUCCCCGACAUCGCCUCCACACUCGUGGAAUGACAUCACGACCUAAACCAAUAUACAGCAAGACAAUGCACACCAUAUCCAACAUGCAUAUUCAAAGAAAAUAUGUAGCGCAGAAAAUCUCUCUUUUUUGAAAUGAGUUUUAACUGAGUCUCACAAACUAAUUUACAAAAAAGAAAGCUAUCAGUGGGUUACUUUUCAGCAAUCUACUCAAGACUAUUUUUCCCCUUACCUAAGACAACAGUCAGAAUAAACUUAAUUUAUAUACAAUGCAAGCCAAAAGAAGCAACAAUUGGUAUUCAACCUCACUUCCAGAAAAUUACUCAAAAGACAAUGAGAUAAAGAGUUUCAAAAAUAUGAUGCAUAUUUCAAUCGAGCCUCAUUAACAACAGAAAAUACAGCAGCACAAAGCAUAACAGAAACUUGGAAAUGGAAAAGGAACCUGCAAUUAGGCUUCUUCAGAAGCAAAAAUGGCAUUAUGGAACCCAGAAUAAGAGAGAAUCACACAGAGAGAGAGAGAGAGUGGAGUGAGCCGGUCUGAGCAAAAAUAAAGAUACUGAGCUUUAGAAAGUAGGAAAGGAUGUUGUUACCAUCCACUAAUUGUAUUGUUCCAUUCAGUAAAGCAACCAAUGCAGUUCUAGGCUCAUAGUUCCUAUUCACAUUAACCCAAGAAAAUUGAGCUUCAAACUGAAAUUUAAAAUCAACAUUGACCCAAAAUACAACUUCAAAUCAAAUUUAAAAUUUAUAUUGGCCCAAGAAAUAAAAUUUGUUCCGCUUUAAACUCAGAAAUUCGAAACCAACCCAUCACCUAGAAAAGUACCAAACAGCAAAAGAAAAGGAGGAGAAAGGAAGACACCACAUUUUGCAACCCUUUGAGUUUUUGAAGUCUAAAUCUUUCCUCUUCUGCUUCUUCAAUGCUUAAAAUUUUCACUCACUGACUAUUGUCUGCCAUUCUUCUUUACUCGGCUUUAAAAAUAAUUUCCAUAGAAUAAAUAAGCAACAAUUUUCUAUGAAUAAAAAGAAGUGGUAAGAAUUCUCCCUCAGAAAAUUAAAAAAAAAAAAAAGAAUGCUCACAAUUUUGUCUAGCAAAUACUCCAGCUUUGUAUCUUCCUAACAUAGGAUUUAUUUUUUUCCUGUAAGAAAGAUUAUUCUCUUGUUGCCCGUUGGAAUAUAAGGGAAUGUAUAUUAUUUUCACAUUUGAAAAUAACUCAAGUUUCUUACAAUAAAAAGUAAAAUUGUUUGCAGUGUGUCUUUGAGUACUAACAAUGCGAACCCCAAGUGACAAUGCAAUUUCCCGUUCUAAAGCGAAGGAAAAAGAAACGAAAAAUUGAAGAAACCAGCCUUUUUGUUCAGUGUGAUGGCUGACAAUUUAUCUAAUGGGAAUAUGAAUAAUUGUGUUACUCGAUACAAAGUGCAAAUAAAAAUUGAAGAAAGCACUUGAAGAUGAAAUGAAGUGUGGGUAAAAAAAAAACAAAUGAAAAUUGAAAUUGAGAUAUAUGAACAAUGAAAAUUGAAAUUGAGAUAUAUGAACAUUCAUUCUUAGAGAUGGAAGGGGAGAGAACAAAAGAUACUAAUCAGCAUAUUGCCAACAUAUAUCUCAGAAACCACCAGAUUAGUUGUAAGGUAGAUUGUUAAAGCUGUUUGAGAAACUUUCGUCUACAAUAUUAUGAAGGAAUGCAAACUAAGUAAUUGGUAGCUGAACGAAAUUUUGGCAAGGAUUUACAAAGUAACUCUAUGAAAUUCAUCAAUAAAUCAUCUAUACAGACGCACAUGUUCCCAGUCACAAUGAUUAAAAUCUAAAACAUUUAUUCAUGCAUUCGUGCAAGGGAAAGAAUGGACUCAGCCUGGUUUCUAUCAAGUGUCAACAAAAGAACACAAUUCAAGUUGCACAAAGCCAAAUUAAAUGCAUAAGUGACAUAAAAAUUGAACAUACCGCAUGAUAGUCCUCAAUCUUCAUCAACCGUGAAUCAUGAAUUAUGGAUAUUAUUCAGACCACGAAUGUGUAAACCCUCCAAUUACGGUUGGUAAUCGGGUUCAAAAUAAUGUUUGUAGAAGUGUGCUGAUUCCUUGAAUAAAAAGCAGAGUCUGCACUAUUCUCACUUUGUCACCCUAAUCAAUUAGGUCAAAUAAGGAGCACAUUCAUCAUCCAUAUCAGUCCAUAUAAAAUACGCAAACAUUAAAAAAAAAAUUCAAUCUUGACCAUUUUUGCUAUGCGAAACUGACGCUUAAUUCUUUUUUAAGAAAUUAGCAUAAUAGUACACAAAAUUUACUUGAAUUUAGUCUCCAAUUGAACAAAGGCCACAACGAUAUAAGAAUUGAAUGAAAGUGGUAUACAAAAUCAACUCACAUCAUCACCACCCAUCAAAGGAACACGGAAUGUGGGGAUCAUCACAGCAGUUCCCAAGGCCAAAAUGUAGUGCUGGAAACCCAAAGCAAUUGUUUCCCCUGUUUUCAAAACAAAAAAUGAGAACCAAAUUGGGGAAAUUUUAAAACCCAACAAAAAAGUCGAGAUUUGGGUUUGAGAAAAGAUGAAUAAUAAAUGAGAAAAGGUGAAAAAUAAACAUACCCUAAGAGGGAUUUGAGUCAAUGCCUUACCCUAAGCCUUGGAGUUGGUCCAUUGCUGGAUGGCUUAUCUCUUCUGGUUUUGGAGCUGCCAUGGCUUCUGCCCAAUUCAAAACCCUUAAUCUGCCUCUAAAUCCAAAAGGGUUUUUACCAAAUGAAUCAAAGAACACUGAUUUGAGAGAGAAAUUCUCCCUGGGUUUUGUUCAAUGAAUACAAAAAUGGAAGUUAUUUUUACCAAUUUAGAGAGAGAUUAGAGUCUAUGACAAUGAAAAGCACAAAAGAGAAAAAGCUAAUGGAUCAUGGAGGUAAAAGAGGACUGAUGACCACACAACCCUCUCUCUUUCUGUCCCUCGAAUUGCACUCUCCCUGUCACCGCGGCCCAUUCCCUCAGAACCCUACCCCCAAAGUCCUGCUCAACCCUCUAGUACGAAUUGGACCUUUGCUCCACCCGAAAAAUAUUUAAAAUGUUCUUAAAUGACUACUUUCAACUAAAAGAGUAGAACCAAAUCAAAACCAACAACUUUCAACUAAAUUGCACAAAAGAGUCAAAAUUUAAUUGCUAUACAGAACUAUCGGUUCAAUCGAAAACAAUCAGAAUUCGAGACCCUACCUCCUCCAUUCUCUGAGAGCGAAGCCCUCCUCAGGCAGCAUCUCCGACGGCGCUGGCAAAAUGGGAUCGUCGGACCCGCCAAACCCUCCAUCAAAACCCUGACCGUUCGAUUCGGGCCUCAAGUAUCCCUACUGGUCGAAGCAGUAGCAGAAGAAGAAGAUGAGGAGGAAGACGAUGGACGUUCAUAAUCGAAGAGUUCGAAGGGAUUUACCUUUGGAUUCUUCGGCUUUCAGAUGGAGUUUGCUUGUGUGUGGGCCUGCAACUUCGUUUGCAGGCGUGAUGUUUCCAUGGAAUUUCUCUCGGGUUUACAUAGACAACAAAGCGAGAGAGAAAGCUUUUGCAGAAGGGGAAUUGUGUUUUGUCGAGGUUUUGAGUUGUAGGUAGAGCUAACGAAGGGAGAUGAGAGAGAGAAGUGGAGCGGCUAGGGUUUGAGUAUGGAAGAGAUGAAAAAUGGAGAGAGCACCUGUUUUGGCUGAAGCACGGCUCACCGAACGAAGAAUAAAGAGGCGGUGGCAAUUUUGUAAAUAACUCUCAAUUCACUGUUCAUUUCUACAGUGCCAUUUCCCAUGCUUUCUUUAGACUAAAGUAAUUGUCAAUUUGCCAUGCCAAAUAUUAGAAAAGUAGAGUGUGGACACGGGAAGAAAACCCAGCUUAGAUAUGGGACCCACAUGCACAUGCAAAUGCAAAUGCAGUUGUCAUCAAUCUCAAUAAUUUUCAACAAACCUUUAUGUUUUGAUUCAAACAGUUUCCCACUUUCGUGCUUUUUGCUUGGUGGGCAAGGAGCAGUUUUUUCUCUUUACUUUAUGAGUUUAACUGCCCAUUAUUAUUAUUAUUAUUAUUAUUUCGAAAAUUAAAAUUGGUUUCAGAAUUUUCUUUUCAAUUUUUGGUUUUCAAAUGAAUCUUAUAAUGUUUAUACGGUCAAAAUACAUUAACGUGUGCAUGAACAAGGAGGAGCACGUCUAAAUCGAGAAAAAAUCUAAAUUUUUGUAUGUGGUUCAAUAUUUUAAUGAAUAGAGUAUUAGGUUUUUACCUAUGCGUUCCGUGUUCAAAACUCUCCAAUUUUCUAAAUUAUUGUAAUAAUUUCGAACAUCCCUUAAUAAUAUGGUACAAAUUUAUAGCUACCGUAAUGUUCCAAUCAAACAAACAAUGACAUGUUUACAUUUUUCAAUACGUGACAUUAUAUAGUUAAAUUGAUCACGGUGCUACGCGGAAGAGGAUCCUCUCUGGAUCCAUUUUGUGGGGAUCCUAGGGAUCCCUACAUCAUAAUCGUUCAUCGUACAUUAUGUGAUCAGUUUUCGUCAAGUACUAUUUGUGUUUUAAUUUUAAAUAGAAAAAAGUCAAAUGAUUUUUAACCGCAUAAUACACGAUGAAUGAAAGAUAUGAAGAUCCGUAAGAUCCCUACAAUUUGGAUUUAGAUAGAAUUCAAAUCCGUGCUACAUGACAACAAAACCAUUAUAUAUAAAUUGCUCUCUAAAAUUAACUCGACAUCGUCCUUUUUUAAGUCAGGUAUAGCACACAAUUAGCCCCUGGAUUUGAAAAUACAACUGGAUCACCGCCAUUUAUACGAUUUAAUGGAACGCUAGUCCGAGUUGGACGGGGCCCAUUUCCUUCCUAAUAAAACAGCCAAGUUGAUGUUGGACUGUUGGAUUGGUGAUAGUGAUGAGCUUUCAGCGCGCUGUUUAACUUUAACGCUGCAUGAUCCAUCACACGACGGACAAUAUAUGUGCCAGAUACAACGUUGCACCUUUUAACCUUUCUACCCAGUAUCCACCUAAUUAUCUCAGCCUCCAUUUAAUGUCAAUUUAAUAUCUACAAUCUUUUGCUAAUAGUUGGGGGGUUUUCUUAACUAAGUUAUCUGCGACUCUAUAAUGUGUACAAAACUGUGCAGGAUUAACCACAAUCGUACAAUGAUGACUGAACUCUGAGAAAUAUUCCCAAAUGGACCACACUUAGGUGAUUCUGGACAAAUCUAUGUGUGAUUGUCACACUGUCAAAUAAUUUUAAUCAGAUUUAAAAAAGAUUUCGUGUUGUUGAACCAAAGUUGUAAGAGACUAGAGGAAGUCAGUCCUCGCUAAGGGAAGGAAAGGUUGAUAUUGGUGUCACGCUCGACCUUGUCGAGGGGGAUGAAGGUGCGGUCGAUUCAAUACUCGAAUUAACCAAAGAGUGAUAUUGUCUACACACCUUCUUUUAAGUAUCACACACUCUUUGUUAAUUUAUGUCAUAUGAUCAUCUUUAAUUCAUUCGAUUCGAUGACAAAAAAUUAAGAGUUGUGUGUGAAAGGUAAAAAGAGGUUAGCAACACUCUUAACUAGAGGUGGCAAAUCAACACGUUGGGUUGUUAAUGGGUACUCAUUAAGACUCAUUUAGUUUGAUUUCACCUUACACCAUUAUCACCAUUACAAACCCCACCUUUAUAUUAUGAUGAUAUCAAAUUAAACGAGUCUUAACGGGCACUCAUUAACAACUCAAUGUGUUGAUCUCCACCUUUACCCUUAACCAAAUAAUGACGAAAGUUUGACAUUUCAUAUCGUCUUCUCUCAUAAGCCUGAUAGUCAUAAAAUAGGAAUAAGGAUCAUCUCCGGAUCCUCUUUGGGAGGAUCCCGAUGAUCCGUGUAUCGUGUCUAUUUAUUGUACAUCAUGCAGUCAGAAAUCAUUUUAAAUUUUAUUAUUUAAAAUUGAACACAAACAGUAUUUGACAAAAACUAAUCACACGAGGUACGAUGAACGGACACGAUUCACGGAUUCCUGGAAUCCCCACAAAGAGGAUCCAGAUUCAUAAAAUAUGGUAUAGAGUUAGACCAAAAGCGACAUAAUUACACCACAUGGCAAUGUGACAUUCAAACCAAAAAAUACUCAUUACUCUCAAGUUUAAAGAACACUUAGCUACACUCAAUAUGUACCGUGAUAUGGAUAAUGUUAUUAACACCUAGUUUUACUUUCUACAUACCUGGUUAAGUUUUGGCUAUUGAUUUUUUUUUUUCAAUUCAUUCGAUGAGAUAACCAAAAAUUAAGAAGAGUGUGUAAAAACUAAAAAUAAGUAUGUGAAUAGCACUACCAUGUGACAAUCCUGAAAUUGAACCUUUUCACAUUGCAAUGCAUAAUCUUUUUUAUGCAGUUAGAUAACUUUAGGGUUUAGGUGUGAUUAAUUGAACUAUAACAUGAAGUGAUAAUAAAUUACUUUCCCACUUAACUCGUCAAUUAUAUAACUAAUUUAAUACUUUACUUAAUUACAAGUGAUGUCUACACUACUAGGUUCGGUCCACGUAUGAUUGACUUUAUACAAUGUCACAGUCAUAGUGGUAUUGAAGAAAUCUGAAUCUGGCGGGAUCUUCUUUAUCAGAUUCUCGGAGAUUCGUGAAUUAUAUUCGUUCAUCGUAUAUCGUGCGGUUAGAAAUUAUUUUAAAUAUUUUUAUUUAAAAUUAAAUACAAACAGUACUUGAUAAUUGAUCACAUAAUAUACGAUAAACGUACACGAUUUACAUAUCUCUAAAAUUCUCGCACCAUCUGGAGAGGACCCAGUUGGGUAUUCAAGGGCAGAAAAGUCGUCCUCCUCACUCACCUCCAUAAGAUAGGGGCAUUUCCGUCAUUCCAUGUGCCUUGAUCCGAAGUUCAACCCAAAAUUUAAGUGGGCCGUCGAUUACUCCUAAGCACGAUUCCCGUGAUUGACGGUGGAUAGAGUGCCGCGUGGUCACUCCCCCCCGGUAAAUCCAUCUCUUCUGCUACGAGACCUCACUCUCUAUUUCUCUCUCUCUCUCUCUCUCUCUCUGUCUUCCUCCUCCUCCGAGCUUCCAAAAAGCUCAUUUCUUCCUUCGAGCCACCGCCCGCCAGUUGAAGCAGUUGCAGAAGCAGCAGCAGCCGCAGAGAGAAGCUAAGCAUGGCGGCAUUCCUCAUUGUCCUCCUCACAUCUCUACUAGCUCUCACCACUCUCCCCGCCGCCGAAUCCCGACUCUACACCAACUACUACCAAAAAUCGUGCCCGAGAUUCGCCCAAAUCGUCCAAGACACCGUCACCAAUAAGCAGAUCAUGAAUCCCACCACCGCCGCCGCCACUCCCCGCCUCUUCUUCCACGACUGCCUCGCCAACGGCUGCGACGCCUCCAUCCUCCUCUCCUCCACCCCCUUCAACAAGGCGAAGGAGAAGCUCGGCGUGUUAGGGAUUCAGACCGGAAGGCGGGGAGAGAUUAGGCACAGGUGUCGAUAUCAACCUCUCAUAGAACAGAGAAGCAGGAACUACUCGCUGUGCACCAGAUCAUAAAUUGGUCCAUCCCUAGUAUGCGUUUUAACUCUUCCCUAUUAGGUUAAUAUUUAUACUUCCAUUAUUUAAGCGAAUGGUCUCUUGUUCCGGCUUACUUCCACAUUUCUCGGUUUUGCUCCCACAUUUCUUGGAUUCCUGGGAUCGUAGAGAUCGUAACCAUUAUUCAUACAUCCGUUUUCGUUAAUUACUAUUUAUAUUUAAUUUUAAAUUUUAAAUUUUAAAAUAAUUUUUAAUAUAUGAUGAACGGUUACGAUCGUGCGGGAUCGCUACGAUCCUUUUCCACAUCUCUUGGAUACUAGUUGAAAACACACUUAUUUACUCAAGUAAGGUGAAAAGGUUGUCAAGUAUCAUACUUGAUGGUAUAUACUUACAGCUGUCCGACGUGAGAAUUCCGUUAAUCUUUGUAAGUCCUUUCUCUUUUCUUUUUGGAAAAUAUUUAUCGGAUUGUUGGAGAAAUUUACUGAUAUACAUUGCCCAGUCUUUUUGAUAAUUUUACUGCUCAUCAGAACAAUCUUUUCUAGCAAACCCUACUGACAGUUUUUAUCGUUAUUAGGUCCGGAAUACAGGAAGCCGGAUGGAAAUUGGUAACAGCAUCAGCCACUUCGGAAUCAUGAGUGCUCAAGUUGUCUUUGUGCUUUUGCUCUUUGCUCUCACGAACAUAUAUACGAAAGAUAUCGACAUUGGUUCAGUUGACCGCUCCUCUCGGAAAGCAAUGUAGGUCGUGUUAAAUUGGGACUUUGGGCAUCAAAAUAAGUCACCAGUGUUCAGGAAAAGCGAGCAUUAACGCCGCUAAGGCGCACCUCUUGCGGUCUUCUGCAGUUUUUUGCCCUUUAUUCCUGCAACUGCUGAUUGCUCGUACAAAGUUCGAUUGAAAUUUAAUGAGAGUCAGAGCAAUGGGAUUUUCCAAGUGUUCCCCAAAGAUCGCACAACGUUCGAUUGAAAUUUUGGCACUCUCCGCACGUCUUGAUUAGUUGAUACGAUUUAACGAGUUAUCCCGUUUAGAUAUUCAUUGAUCAAUUUUGUAACUAAAUUUAACAGUACAAACUCCUUUUUUGGCUGUCUGAAAUAUUUGAUUGAUCAAUUAAAUGUUACUAUCUUCCAUCUGGAAACAAUAAAAGUCGGCCCUCUAUUGGGAGAAAUUUUUGGCCGCGAACGACCAUACCACAUGGCUGUCUAAAAGCAUUUUUAACCGGAGUCCCAUCAUUAUUUUUGAAGACUCAUUUACGAACUUAAAGGGAAUAUGCUUGUUCCUAAAAGAAAAUUAGUUCCAAUGAGAGUGUCUUAUAAUAUAAUCAUUAAAUUUAGGGACUACAAGUUAAAAAAUCAUUGUUAAUUUCAUAGCGGUUGAUCUAAAUGGUAAAAAAACAAAAUAAAACCCCAAAAAUACUUUCAUACCUCUUGUUUUCUGAGCAACAGACGAGAAAAGUAACGCCAUCUGCCCCAUUGGAAGCUGGUAUUCUAGAAUCCCAUCACGUGCUGGGAACUUCACCUGAAGAAAGUAGGGAUUCUAACAUAAAACUAAGAAUAAUGCUAUCUACAUACACAUCCCUACGCAAUCCUUAAUUGUAAGGUAAUUUUUGGGAUCUCCGGACAGUCCCCUAUAUUAUAGGGACUGGAGUUCCAAUCCACUGAAAGUCACCAAGUUCUUAACUUUAAAACAUACGGUGGUACGAACCAAGUAUAAGGACAAAUAUUGGAGAUGCUCUAAUUCAACGAACAAAACGCCCAUUCUUGCCGAUGGUCCCACCCUUCGCCCCUUGCUUGCGUGCGAGCGUCCGAACUCAAGGAUUGCCCCUUGUAUUUGUGCGCGCGUGCGAGCCCUCAGAUUCACUCGUUAUAUUCCUUUGUAAAUUUCUUUGCAUCCUUCCGUGAACGUUCAGUUGUUAAAAUCAGCAAUGUAUUAACCUCCUCCGAAUAUUCGUUGCAGGGAGCAAGAGGGAAUAAAUAAUGCAAGUGGGAAUAAUUAACCUGAAUUUCAGGAAGCCGAGGAAAAGCACCGAGGCAAAGGUCUAGGGCCCUCCCUUUUCCUCCGAGAAACUUUCAGGAACAAGUUGCGUUGACGACGACCUAGACUUUGCUGUGCAUCGUCGACUUGGUGGGAAGUUUCGUCGUGGGGCCUUUUGAUUGGUGAGACAAAGAAGUCCAUAGUAUUAAUAAUAACAAUAGGAUUGAUUCGUAUUCUAUAUAAAGAGAGACAUUGAUCACAUUCUGGUAUCCUCUUCUCUCCAUCUACUGUGUGUUUUAAGCAGAUCGGCAAAAGCUUGAAGAUGAACGACCAGUAAGUCAACUUCGACUUCAAACUCCUCCGAUCCUUGUUUUUCUUUGAAUCCUUUGCCAUGAUUUUUCUUGUGUUGUCUUGAUUAAGCGAAAAAUGGUCUGGAAUGGCUAAAAGUGUGUUUUUCAACUAUCAAAAGUUCUUGCGGUUAAAUCUGGCAAAAAAAACUUGCAAAACGCUUUUAGAUAGACGGUAUAAGCUCUUUUCGGAGAAGCAUGUGCUAUGUCCGCCUUCUACAAGCACUUCUAUAUUUUCAAGUGCUUUUUCGAAUGGCACUUGAGUAUUUAAUAAACAUUUCCAUAUGUUCAUGGUAAAAGAUAAGUGCUUAUGAGUAAAGUGAAUCUUACGAAAUACAAUAGCAUAAUAAUCGUCCUUAAAGUUUACCAAAGUGCAAUUUCAUUCUUACAAGUAUUUUGCUAAAGUGGCUUUGUUAGAAAUAGGUAGCAUUAUUCACGUACUUAUUUUUACUAACAAGAGAGGAUCCUUGCUGUGAGGAUCCUAGUCGGAUCCUCUUUGUGAGGAUAUGGAAAUCCUCCAAUCACAUUUGUUUAUCGUAUAUCGUGCGAUCGGUUUUUGUAAGAUAUUGUUUAUAUUCAAUUUUAAAUAAAAAUAAAUUAUAAUGAUUUCUGACCGCACGAUGUACGAUGAACAUAUAUGAUUGGAGGAUCCGCCCAGGAUCCUCUUGAGACCUACACCUCUUAAUUUUAGGGUCGGUAGAUCAAAUGAAGUGAGGAAGAUCAAUGAACAAUAAUUAACAAGGGUGUGUAAGAGGUGAAUAUGGAUUGGGGAAUAACACUUUGCUAGAAAUAUGAUGAAAUUUCUAUAGAAAACUAGCUUGUUUGAAACAUUUUUAAACCAAUUCUUAGUAAAAAUGCAAGUAAAGUUUAGAAAAGUACUUGCAGUGCUUCCUUGCAAAAAGCAAAUAGUUUUUUUAAGGAAACACUUCAAAUGUUUCUUUAUAAGUGCUUUUGAAAUCUAAAAAUAUUGUCACUAAAAAACGCUUUUAAUUAUUUUAAAAGUACUUUUAAACAUGUAAUUAAAAAUACUUUUGGUGAUUAGACUGACAUUUUCAGCUAUUUCAACAGAAGUUUCAAGCAUGUUUGCUAUUAUAGUUGGAUGCUAUUUGCUUACACCCUCCAUUUAACUUUGCUUCAAUUUUUUGUUGGUGAUCAUGACAGAAUUAGCACUGCUGGGCUUGAACUAGCAAAUGAGCUGGUGACUUCUCCUCCCCUUCACCAGUCAUGGGACGCGGUUCUUGAUCAGAUGCAAAAGCUCCCCCCAGCAGCUGAUCCGAACCAAAAAAUGGCCUUAGACAUUAGUGAAACCAAGCACUCAAACACCACCAUCAUAUCUUUUCUUACUUCACCAGUCACACUUCACGAUCAACAAACGAUGGUUUCGUCGUUGACUCUCAAGAACGCAGAUUUUUCUCUCUUUGAGUUUUUGUGCGGCAAAAACAUCCCAAGUUUCUCCGUCAAUGAAUUGGCAAUCAACUUCUUCAAAUUGAACCUCACAAACCUCGAUAUUUGGCGAAAAAAGGUGCAUAUUAUUGUCUCUCUGAUAACUGAUAAUGUUUAACCAUUUUGACGACUUUUAAUGUUAGUAAGAAACAGUUAAAAAUCAUAUUUAUAUUGCUAGAUUACUUUUCACUUAAUUAGUUUGGAUUCUUUGACAAACUGUUAAUGUUAACGAAAAACUCUUACAAAACCGAGUUUAAGUGUUUUUUCUUUUACUAUGAAAGAAGUUUGAGGAACUUAUUUGUAAAGACUUCUCCAAAUUGAUUAUAUAGAAAUUCAGUAAUUGACUAACUUUUAUGUAAUAUUUCAGCUGGUAGAAAUGUUAGAAAGCAGCAAAUCCUCACGGAUAGUUAUCACUGGACAUUCUUUUGGAGGUGCUGUGGCUACCCUUUUCACCUUAUGGCUGCUACAAAGCCUUGACUUGUUGAAAGCGAAACGCCUCCUUUGCAUCACUUUCGGUUCACCCUUGAUCGGUGACGAACAACUCCGACAAUGUGUGUUGGAAUUCUCAACAUGGAGUUUCUUGCUUCUUGAAUGUAGCCUCCAUCAAUGAUCCUGUACCUAAAGUCUUCCUAACUUCGCAAGGGAGUGGUUAUAAGCCUUUCGGAACAUUCCUACUGUGCUCCUCUUCGGGUGGUUCUUGCAUUGAGGACGCUGAUGCCAUUUUGCAACUAUUGGUGGAAACCAGCUCUCAGUGUGUUCAAAAUCCAGUUCCGAAUUCAGGGACUCAGUUGUUUGAUUACGGAAAGAUUUUGAAUGAUCUCAAGACUAAGGCAUUGUCUAGAGAUGUCUUUGAGUUGGUUGAAGAGGAUAGAGUUCCACUUAAAGCUGGAAUUAAAACACAGUUGGCAGCAAUAUUAGGAGUUCUCAGCUCACAGGUAUCAAACUUUCAACACAAAUAUCUGAUUUGAUGAUGAUUUAGGGAAAUGGUUUCCACACAAACCUGUUUAUUUCCAUCUUUUGAUUCUCCUUUGAUUUAUUUAAUCCAAAGACUAGAAAUAAACACAGGUGUGCAAGGGGAGAAUAUGAGUCUGCGGAAAUCACAUCCCAUGUUUACUUCUAGCUACUAACUUUUCUCUCAACUCCUUUUGUAAAAGUCAUUGCAGCAGCAACAAACCAACAUAGAAUUCGAAAGUCUGAUAAAAAAGAUGGUCACUCACGAACGUAAACUAGCGAUCCAGAAGACGAAGGUUUACAGUUCUUUUUUGAAAUUGAAUGAGAUUAAAAAGUACAUGGCCAACAUUGAAUGGUACAAGAAGGAGUCCAAAGACAUGGGAAUUGGAUACUAUGACAAGUACAGAAACAAGCGUUACACGAGUGACAUUACUGCCGAAGAGUACAAGAAGAAGCUCUUUAAUUAUUGGCAUGACAUGGUUAUGGAAGCUGCGAACAAGCCCCAGACAGAAGGAACCGCAAUGCGUGUCCGUUUUCUUUUUGCUGGAACGAAUUACAGAAGGAUGAUCGAACCGCUUCACAUUGCUGAGUACUACAAGGAAGGUGGAAAAAAUUACGUAGGGGAAAGGCCUCCACAUUUCGUUCUUUUGGAGCAAUGGUUCAAGGAAGACGAGAAAAAGAAGAAGGAAAAGAGAGAGAGGGAAGAAAGGGAGAACCCGCAACUGCGCAGCGCAAGCAAGUCCAACUCAAAAGCAAAGAGUGUGGUUUCUAGUCUGAAUGAUGAUUCUUGUUUUUGGGUGCACGUCGAGGAAGCGCUUAUCUUGUGCGACGAACUAGCAAGUAAUCCAGAUGCCAAGCAAAAGCUGAUCGAAUUUGAGCAUUACGUGCUGGAUACACUCGAGAAUUUCGCAGUGACACCUGAUAUUUUCUUGGCGCAGAGCAGCUUCAUGCAAUGGUGGAACAAGUAUAAAGGGAUUGUGGGAAGUAGCUACUCCUCAAAACUCACGGACGUCAUGAGGCGUCGCACUUAUCUCAAGUAUGCGGAUGGGGUCUCGGUUCUUGCUGGUCUAUAAGCCAAGAUAAUUGAGUUUUAAGCAAGCAAUUAAAUCAGAUAAAGCAAGAUUAGUUUUGCUGUAUCGCUCAUGAUCUUCAUGGAGAAAGACGGGCUGUACUUGCCGGACUUCUUGGUGCUACUGCAUUUGAAUGUUUUUGCUACUACAUGGAGAAAGACCAGCUUUCUUGUGAGACAAAUAAUGUGUGGGGGUAUUGUUUCAACUAUAACGUUGUAAUUUCCGCUUCAUAAAAGUAACGACGCUCGUUGUAUUUUGAUUUUCCCAAGUGUGAGUGCUACCUAAUCAGUAUUUGUAAUAAAUUGAGACUUACAUUUGUUGUAGUUUGCGUUGUAUUAAUCUUCAUAUGAACUUAUAAAGUACACAAGCUUAAUCUAGUAAAUACAUAUUUUAGCCAAGUGACUAAGCGUGGAACUGGAAUUCAAAGCUAAUGUAGAAAUACUUACGUAUCCCAUAGUGUUAUACCUUCUGAAUUCUGAUGCUUUUUUCACAUAGCACGCAACGUGUGAUUAAGAAACAAAAUGGUAUACACCUCGAGAUAGGUAAGUCCAUCUCUUAGUAAAUUAGUUUGAUGUAAUGUAGUCAUGUGACGCGUAAGAAACGAAGAAAUGAGCGUACAGCUUGGGACACAUUACAUAUAUAUUUUACAACUACAUGUAUGUAUGCUCUGGAUGAGGCAGACCCUAAGGGAGGGAUCUCCAUUUUUUUCAAAAAAUAUGAAUUAGUUUUGGAACCUACUCCAUAUCGAACUUUAACGAUCUUAAUCGUCUAUUUUGUAAAUCUCAAUUCAUAGAUCAUUCUUGCAAAAAUUCAAUUAGUCCGAAACCAUUUGCCUAUUUAAUUAUUAGAUUAAAAUUCCGAUGUUUUCUUAGAACAAAGCGCUCGUCAGUUUCUUUGAACUCAAUUAGAUACAUCAAAUAUUUCUAAUUUGACUAAUAUUUAAUUACAAGGAUAAAAUGCAACUUAAAAAAUACACGAUUCGAAUUAUUAAAGUUUAAUAUGGUGCCCUUCCCUUAAAAGCCUUCCUGGAUGAGAUAGUGAUUUAGAUAGACACUGUCAAUUUGCCAUGCCAAAUAUUAGGAAAGUAGAGUGUAGACAUGGAGAAAUUUUUAGUUGGGAUGAGAAUACAAAUGGUACACCACUUGUUUUAAGUAGAAAUUUUAUUUUUUAAGUUAUUAACAUUUUAGCACACAUAUCCCACUAUUUGUAUAGUAACACGUAAUGUACCAUCGCGUAUACCGAUCAUAUUGAAAAAUCUCUGAUAAACAUAGGAAGAAAACCCAGCGUAGAUAUGGGACCCACAUGCACAUGCAAAUGCAAAUGCAGUUCUCAUCAAUCUCAAUAAUUUUCAACAAACCUUUAUGUUUUGAUUCAAACAUUUUCCCACUCUCGUUUCUUCCGGUCCUACUGUAAUUGUCCUUUCUUUUUAAUCUUUAUAAGUUUAACUGCCCAUUAAAAAUAAAUUAAAAUUGGUUUCAGAUUUUUUUUUCUUUCAAUUUUUGGUUUUCAAACGAAUCUUAUGAUCUUUAUAUGGUCAAAAUACAUUAACGUGUGCAUGAACAAGGAGGAGCACGUCUAAAUCGAGAAAAAGUUUAAAUUUUUGUAUGUGAUUUAAUGUCCUAGUGAAUGAAGUGUUAGGUUUCUACUUAUAUGUGUUCCGUGUUCGAAACUUUCUCAUUUUCUAAAUUAUUGUAAUAGUUUUGAACAAUAUGGUACGAAUUUAUAGCUACUGUAAUGUUCCAAUCAAACAAACAAUAACACGUGUACAUUUUUCAAUACGUGACAUUGUAUAGUUAAAUUGAUCAAGGUGCUACGUGGAAGAGGAUCCUCUCCGAAUCCAUUUUGCGGGGAUCCUAGGGAUCUCCACAUCAUAGCCGUUCAUUGUACAUCGUACGGUCAAUUUUCAUAAGUUACUAUUUGUGUUUAAUUUUAAAUAAAAAAAGUCAAAUGAUUUAUGACCACAUAAUACACGAUGAAUAACUAAUAUAUGAAGAUCCGUAAGAUCCCUACAAUUUGGAUUCAUAUAGAAUUCAAAUAUGUGCUACAUGACAACAAAACCGUUAUAUAUAAAUUGCUCUCUAAAAUUAACUCGAGAUCGUCCUUUUUUAAGUCGGGUACAACACACAAUUAGCUCAUGGAUUCGAAAAUACAACUAGAUCAUCGCCAUUUAUACGAUUCAAUGGAACGCUAGUCCAAAUUGGAGCGGGGCCCAUUUCUUUUCCGAUAAAAUAGCCACGUUGGUUUUGGACCGUUGGAUUGGAGACAAUGAUGAGCUUUCAGCGCACUGUUUAGUUUUAACUCUGCAUGAUCCAUCAUGCGAUGGACAAUAUACGCUCCAGAUACAACGUUGCACCUUUUAACCUUUCUCCCUAGUAUCCACCUAAUUAUCUCAGCCUUCAUUUAAUGACAAUUUAAUAUCUACAAUCCCUUGCUAAUAGUUGGGGGGUUUUUCUUAACUAAGUUGUGUGUACUGUGUACAAAAAUGUGCAGGAUAACCACAACUGUACGUUGAUGACCGAACUCUGAGAAAUAUUCCCAUAGUGGACCACAGUUUAGGUGAUUUUGGAAGAAUUUGCAUGUGAUUGUCACAUUGCCAGUAAUGGUAAUCGGAUUUAAAGAAAGAUUUAGUGUUAUCGAAUCAGAGAUGCAUGAGACCGGAGGAAGGAAGUCCUCACUAAGGGAGGGAGAGGUUGAUAUUGGCGUCUUGCUCGACCUUGUUGAGGGGGAUGGAGGUGCGGUCGGUUUAAUACUCAGAUUAACCAAACAGUGAUGUUGUCCAUACAUCUUUUUUUAAGUCUCACACAUCCGUUGUUAAUUUAUAUCCUUUGAUCAUCUUCAAAUCUUUCGAUUCGAUAAUUAAAAUUAAUAGAUGUGUGUGAAAGGUAAAAUAGGGUUAGCAACACCCUUAACUGGAGGUGACAAAUCAACCAAUUGGGUUGUUAAUGGGUACCCAUUAAGACUCAUAUAGUUUGAUUUUACCUUACAUUAUUAUUACCACUACCAAUCUCACCUCUAUAAUUUGGUGAUAUCAAAUUAAAUGGGUCUUAAAUGGUACUCAUUAACAACCUAAUAAGUUGAUUUGUCACCUCUACUCAUAACCAAAUAGUGUUUAUUUAUAAGUGUAUCAUAAUAAUAAAUGAAAUAUUGACAUCUCAUAUCGCCUCCUCUCAUAAGCUCGAUAGUCAUAAAAUAGAGUAUAGACAUGUGUUAGACCAAAAGUGACGUAAUUAUAUUGCGUGACAAUGUGACAUUCAAACUUAAAAAAUACUUGUUACUCUCAAGUUUAAGGAACAGUUAGCUACACUCAAAAUGCAUCUUGACACAAAUAGUAAUAUUCACACUUAUUUUUACCUCUCACACAUCCUGAUUAAGUUUUGGCUAUUGAUUUUUUUCAAUUCAUUUGAUCCGACAACUGAAAAUUGAUAAAGGUGUGUGAAAAGUAAAAAUAAGUGUGUAUAUAACAUAAUCAUGUGAUAAUACUUGAAAUUUAAUUUGUUCACAUUGCAAUGCAUAAUAGGCUUUUUAUACGAUUAGAUAACUUCAAGGUUUAGGCGUGAUUAAUUGAAUCAUAACAUAAUGUGAUAAUGAAUUACUCAUCCACUUAACUCGUCAAUUAUACAACUAAUUUAAUACUUUACUUAACAAUUAUACAACUAAUUUAAUACUUUACUUAAUUACAAGUCACGCCUACAUUGCUAGGCACGGUCAACGUAUAAUUGACUUUAAACAAUGUCACAGCCAUCAUACUAUUGAAGGGCAGAACAGUCGGCCUCACUCAGUCCAUAAAAUAGGGGCAUUUCCGUCAUUCCAAAUGCCUUGAUCCGAAGUUCAACCCAAAAUUUAAGUGCGCCGUCCAUUAUUCCUAAGCACGAUUCCCGUAAUUGACGGUGGAUAGAGUGCCGCGUGGUCACUCCCUUCCCCACUCUAUCUCCCCCCGGUAAAUCCAUCUCAUCUACUGCGAGGCCUCUCUCUCUAUUUCUCUCUCUCCCUCUGUCUUCCUCCUCCACUGAGCUUCCAAAAAGCUCAUUUCUUCCUUCGAGCUACCGCCCGCCAGCUGAAGCAGUUGCAGAAGCAGCAGCAGCAGCCGCAGAGAGAAGCUAAGCAUGGCGGCAUUCCUCAUUGUCCUCCUCACAUCUCUACUAGCUCUCACCACUCUCCCUGCCGCCGAAUCCCGACUCUACACCAACUACUACCAAAAAUCGUGCCCGAGAUUCGCCCAAAUCGUCCAAGACACCGUCACCAAUAAGCAGAUCAUGAAUCCCACCACCGCCGCCGCCACUCUCCGCCUCUUCUUCCACGACUGCCUCGCCAACGGCUGCGACGCCUCCAUCCUCCUCUCCUCCACCCCCUUCAACAAGGCCGAGCGCGACGCCGACAUCAACCUCUCCCUCCCCGGCGACGCCUUCGACGUCGUCGUCCGCGCCAAGACCGCCCUCGAGCUCGCCUGCCCCAACACCGUCUCCUGCGCCGACAUCCUCGCCGUCGCCACCCGCAAUCUCGUCACCAUGAUGGGGGGGCCCUUCUACAACGUCCCCCUCGGCCGCCGCGACGGCCGCUUCUCCAAAGCCUCCGCCGUCGAAGGCAACCUCCCCCGCCCCGCCAUGUCCGUCUCCCAGCUCAUCCAGGUUUUCGGGUCCAGGGGCUUCUCCGUCCAGGAAAUGGUCGCCCUCAGCGGGGCCCACACCAUCGGGUUCUCCCACUGCAGCGAGUUCAGCUCGGCGAUCUACAACUACAGCAAGUCGGCGCAGUCCGACCCGAGUUACAACCCGAGAUUCGCGUCCGGGUUGCAGCAGGCAUGCGCGGAUUUCAAGAAAAACCCAACUCUCUCCGUAUUUAACGACGUUAUGACGCCGAACAAAUUCGACAAUGUCUACUUCCAGAACUUGCCAAAGGGGUUGGGGGUUUUGAAAUCGGACCACGCGCUGUUUGACGACGCAAGGACGCGGCCGUUUGUGGAGCUGUACGCCAACGACCAGAACCGCUUCUUUGGGGAUUUUGCCAAGGCGAUGGAGAAGCUCGGCGUGUUAGGGAUUCAAACCGGAAGGCGGGGAGAGAUUAGGCACAGAUGCGACAAGUCUAAUUAUUAAUUAAUUAAUUAAUUAAUUAAUUUACGAUUCACAUUUAAAUAAUUUGAAAAGGAAAAAAAAAUACUUUGUUUUAAUUUCUUUGUUUUUUUUUGGGUGCUUUUUUAAGUGCAUUUUGUGGUGAGAUCCAAUAUUUGUGAGAAGAAAUAUAAUCUGUAUACAUGUUUAUUUAUUUAUUUUUGUUAAGGGGAUAUUUCAUAUUUGUUGAGCUUAAAUAUACAUUUUUUUUUGUGAAUUCUGUAAACAAAAACUUGCGUCCAAUUUUCUUCAGUAGUGUUGGUUUUAUGGUAGAUCCUCGCAUUGUACACUAGUGCCCAUGUUUGAAUGACUUGGUUUUGGAAAUUGUGUGGUUUAAUUAAGGUAAUGGGGAAAUGCUGUAACUUGAUUACCUAUAGAUUUGUUUUAUUCAAUUGAUAUAUGUUCAUAUAAUGUAAAUUACCAGAGUGACUUUCAAACUUAUGUGUGAAGAAGAGAAAAGCUUCAGCACGGACAUUUCAACUAAGUUAUUCAUUAGCACCUUUUAUAUAAGCAUGAUAUCGCUUUUUAUUUUCGUCACACCCGACCCUAUAUUGCUUAGAACCCGUGUCAAUCAGCUCUAGGAAAUCGUAGAUACAGAGAAAUAACACAAUGUUCUAGCUAAUUUAGCUACAUCAAGUCUGUAAUUACUUGGGGAUUUGGUUUAGGGGAGAGUGUUUGUGGAAACACGAUGGCAGCAAAUGGCAUAGGUGAAUACAAUUAACUAAUUAACUAACACUACAGCUCUCAUUAAAAAUAAGGAAAACUAAUGAAAAUGGUUUAAAACUUUGAGUUUUAACGAUAAAGACAUAAUAAAGAAUAAAAUAAAUAAUACCAUGAUUAAUUUUUUAGUGAAAAAAUGUGAUUUUUCGUUAAAAUAAACAGUACUUAAGAGUUUUUUGUUAAAUUUUUUUAAAAAAUAUUAUAAUUUAAAGAUGAACAAAUUAAUUGAAUUUUGUCUAUUCUUUACGUCUUAUUCGAGAAUUUAUUUAUUUAGUUUAGAUGUUCUCUAAAACAAGAAGAAAUUGAUUUAAAAUGGUCCGUAUGCAAAUUUGCAUGUGCAUUGAGUAAUUUAUGUGCCAAAACUCGGAUUUUAAAUUUGGGAAAACAGCUUCUCAUGUCGAGGAGGGGGGCCGAGGAGAAGGAUCUGACUGUCGGUCAUGUGGGGUCUGAUUAUUAUAUGAAUAAUAUAAUGAUUGUUCUUCCGAGAAGCCUUGUUCUCAAUCAUGCGGAAGAGGGUACUCUCCAGAUUUUUUUUCCGGAAAUUCUAGAAAUCUUCAUAUUUUAAUCGUUAAUCGUAUAUCGUGCGAUCAGUUUUUAUUAGUUACUAUUUAUGUUUAAUUUUAAAUAAUAAAAUUCAAAUGAUUUUUUAUCGCACUAUUUAUGAUGAAUGAUUAAAAUAUGAGGAUCCCUAAAAUCCCUUCAAUUUGAAUCCGGAUGAAAUUCAAAUCUCAUUUAUUGAUAUCUUGGGCACAAAUAACAUUUAAAAAUGUUCGGAAUUAAUCUCAUAUUGAUAAAAGAAUGAACAUUUGAUGACUUAUAAGUAAGUUAAGCUAUUUUUCAUAUUACCAAUUGAUUUUAAAGUAGAAUCUUGACUUUUUUAUGAUAUCAGAGCAGGUUGACACACGUGUGAAGUCUAACGGCCACACAUGUUCUACAUCACUUACUUUUGAUUGUCCACAUGUUUGGCUUAAAAAUUUGUCGCACUUGAAAGGGUUUGCGACAAUGUGAGGAUAAAAAAUCCCACAUCAGGGAGGGACCAAACUAUACAAAGACUUAGAAAGGUAAAUUGUUAUUUAAUCCCCCUAAACUAUCACGUGAGUGUCAAUUCCCCUUGAAAUAUUUUUUCAGCCUAUUGACCCCCUAAACUAUGUUAAAGUGGUCAAUUCACCGCCUGACGUUAAAUAUCUUUAACUCCAUCUAAUUUUUUGUUAGAAAGUGUCAUGUGCUUGGCACAUGACCACCUUUUUACAUUUUCUAUCUAAAUCUUUACAAAGAAAACAUAUAAAACAAAUAUUAAAAAUAAAAAAAAAACAUACAAACCCUAAACUUAAUCAUUCAAAAUAAUAGAAAAAGUAAAGUAGAAAACCCAACCCCCAAAUCCCAUUCCCUGCUAGCAACCUUUCCCUUCGCAUUUUGCCCGACACCCCACCCAGCUUAAUUCUCUCUCUCUCUCUCUCUCUCUCUGAUAUACUUUCUUUCCCUGUUCGCUUUCAUGGAUCAUGACAGCGCCUGAAAUUUCAUGAUGGGCGUUUUUAUUGGGGGCGUGGGGGGGGGGGGGGGGACGGGGCGGGUGAUGCGGCAGGAGGUGGACGGAGGGCGAUGGAAGUGUAGGCGGACUGAGAUGAGAUUUGAUGAUGGGCAGUUAUCCUACCCUUUGAAAUGACAUAUUUGCCUUUAAUUUUGAAGGCAAUUUGGAUGGAACUCAAAAAACUUAACUGAUGGGGGCAAAUCGACCACUUAAACAUAGUUUAGGGGUCACUUGGCUGAAAAAAUAGUUCAAGCAGAAAAUUGACACUGAUAGUUUAGAGGGUUAAAUGACAGUUUACUUUAGAAAAAAUUGUCUACUUUUCAUAUUAUCAAUUAAUUUUAGGGAACUUUAACGAAAAGCACCCGGUACUGUUCACUUUAACGAAAAACCACAUUUUUACACUAAAAAGUCAAUCCUAAUACUAUUCACUUUACCCUUUAUUUUGUCCUUAUCAUUAAAACUCAAAGUUUUCAAGCCAUUUUCAUUAGUUUUCCUUUAAUUUUAUGAUGAAACCUUAAUUUUCUUCUUCGAUCGUUGUAUCACAGCUAGUUUGCUUCAAUCCAAUUGAAGUCAAUGACUAUUUUCAGCAUGGGCUCCAUCAAAUGGAAUAAAGGAUCCUAUUCAGGUUUUAUUUGUGAGGAUUCAAAUAAUCAAUUAAUUAUGUUCGUUUAUCAUACAUUUUGCGAUUAAAAAUUAUUUAAAUUAAAUAUAAAUAAUACCUGACAAAAGUUAACCGUACAAUAUACAAUUAAUGAAUUCGAUUAAUUAAUCCUUCAGAUUUCCACAAAGAAGAUCAAGAGAGGAUCCUUGUCCCCAUCAAAUAUCAUUUUAAAUGCAAUUGUUUUAGGGGUGUGCUAUCCACACAUCCCUUUUUAGUUUUCCUACACCUCUUGUUAAUUUUUGUCCUUUGAUCUUCUUCAAUUCAUCCGAUCUAACGGUCAAAAAUUAAAAAAAUAUGAAAGAAGUAAAAAGGGAUGUGUGAAUAUCAUAUUUUUUUUUUUUAACAGAAUAUCAUUGGAUGUUGAAACUCGAAAUCCAACGAAAGUUGACUACAGAUGCGGCAUCCAAAGCUAAGCUGAAGAUUGGGCCCACUACUACUAAGAAGAUGUGAGGCUUGGUUGGAUGGUAAAGAUGGCCCAGGGACUAUGGUGGUCCGGAUUGGCCAUCGGGCUUGUCUAAUAUUAACCUGGACUGGACUCUUUAGUCCGGCAACCCAUAACUUUACAAUUAUGCUUUGUUCGGGUUACGCUUGGUUGAACGUUCGUUCUCUCUUGUUCGUGAUUUAGUAAAAAGUAAUUCACUAUUUCACUAACAAGGUACUCUUUAAAGAUUAAUAAAAGAACAUAACUCUUGUCACGUCAUAUACUUUUAUAUGUAAGUUAUGUCAACCCACAUACUUAAAGUCGAAAAUGUCACAAGUUCAAGCCCUGCAUCACAAACCACAUAAUGUGAAGUCGCACACCUCUACAAUCAAAAUCCAAAAACAUAAAGUAAUUGUACACAAUAAAAAUGGUACUCAACAUCUCUCUUCUUAACGUCGAACGAUAUUUUAAAUAUAGAACCUCCUAACAACUUUCAAAUUUGUGAAGAAAAUGAGACUUCAUUAUGCUUUUGUUAUAAUUUUAAAACUAUUAAACUAUGCGAUUGAUAUUCUUCAAAGAACAAUACUUGGUUACUCAAAGAUGAGUAGGAGCUCAUACUCAAAAAAUUUCAAAAUUGUUUGCUAUCAAUUUAUAGAAUUUUGUGUUUAUGAUUAGAACCAUUCAUAUUAUAAAUUAUCCUAUAAAAAUCGCCUUUGUAAAAAAUCAAUUAAAACUAAGGUCGUUUAAUCAUCAAAUUUUUUAAAAAUAAAUGAACGGUAUUGGUAAAAGCAUUAUGAACCAUUUAUGCAUUUGCUACAAUAGAUUGACUAAACGACCUUAGUUUUAUUCUUUUUUUUUUUUGCGAUCUUUAUAGUGUGAUUCAUAGUAUAAACAGUUUUGAUCAUAAAUACAAAGCUUUAUGAUUAAAAUACUAAGAAUUUUGAGUAGAAGUUCCCACUCAUAUUUGAAUAGCCAAGUAUUGUUCUUGUUUAAAUUGAGAGCACAUGAACUAAAUUGAAAGCACUCCAAAAACUAUAAUGCCGAAAAACUUUUAUCCAAAAAACUGCCAAAUUAUGUACUCAAAAUUCAGAUGAGUUGGCACUCAACCCGCCUAACCCACCACCGGUUUGACACCGAGUUCGACUCCCAAACCCCGAGUCGAGCAAUUCCUCCCAAUCCACUUCUUCUUCUUCCUUCUCUUUCCCUCUCAUCAUCUCCAACAUUCUCCUCGCUUUCUCCCUCGCCCGUUCGCUUCCCUUUUUCUCCACCUCUCUCAACACCCCCACCACGCCCGCCGUCUUCGCCAACCCUUUGAACCUCAAACCGCCGUAACUCAGCCCAUACAAUGUGGCCACACAACUCUCUUGAGUCGCCUUCGAGUCAAACUCGUUUCCCCUUAACACACUCACCAAACACUCCACCCCACCCGAAUCCAACAAUGCGGCCCGCCCGUCCGCACACAAACUCAAAUUACACAAUAUGAGCAAUACCCGACCCGUCAUGUGGCCAGACUUUACCAUUCUCAACAGGACCGGAACCGACCCGAGCUUAACCAACUUGGACCGGUUGCUCUGAACUAGUGAGAGGUGGUACAAUGCGAGUGCCGAGUCAUGCCGAGUCCGCUCGCUCUCGGACCGGAGUAAGUGCAGCAAAGGCGGCAAAGCGCCCAAUGCGCCAAUCGCGGUCUUGCAGUCGUCAUCAAGUGCCAAGCUGAAGAACGCACCGGAAGCGUGUUCCUGCGCCUCACGGGAUCCUGCCUUGAGCACGUCGAUCAGAGGAGGGAGGACUCCUGACCGUACGAUCUUAAUCUUGUUUGACUUUUCCAGCGAUAGAUUGACCAACGCUGCGACGGAGUCCACCUGAACGGCUGUGUACCUGGAUAUAAUCAGAGGGCGGAGGCCGGAGAGCAACCGCGGGGUGCAGAGUCGGGCCCGGGCGUCCUCUCUGGUCCGCGUGAUCUUCCUCAGCGAAGCCAGGGCCUCCUCGAUUUCGAACACGUGGCAGCUUCUGAGCUUGAUCGAGAUUUCGUCUUCUUCUACAGAGCGGGACGGAUUACUGUUGCCGUUAACGGUUAGGAUUUCGUUUUCGGAGAAGGAAGACGACGGAGAUGAGUAGCAACUCGGCUGAGUUGAGAACGGGAGAGGCGGAGCCGCGGUGACCGAUUCAUCGGAGCUUGAGGGGAAGUGACUCGAGCGCCGCGUCAGGUCGGUGGCCGCGUGAAUGAAAUUCACAGUAGGGGUAUCCUUAACACCGUUGAUCAGCAACUGAUUCUCCGAAACUACGACGUUUUGGGGGUUGGUUUCGUUCCGGGAAGCAAUGGAGGCGCGGACGAGCUUCUCGGCGGAGGCGACAUCGAGGGGCUUGGGAGGAUCGACCGAGGACUUCCGGCACCAACUGAGAAUGGCAGAUUUGAGAGCGAGGUUGGAGAUUACGGAGGAGAAAUCGGGCGGCGGAGAGUCCGGGAGAGCGGAAGUGAAGCUGAGGGACUUGCAGGCCUGGAUGCAGGCGCGCUCGAAGGUGUGGCCGGAGGAGACGAUGACCGGGUCCGCCAUCAGAGAGCCGGAGAUUGGACAGAGGAACUCUUUGGGAGCUUGCGGCUUUGAAGUUUUCGACGGAAUUGCCGACGACGACCUCUGAAAAAGCUUCCAUUUCCGCCGGGGACUUGGGCUUGCACUGCUCAUCUCCGCCGCUCUUUCCGGCGUGGCGAAAGCCCAUUCGUUCUCUUUUGAUUUAUGGACCAUCAGCUUCAACAUAGCUUCCUGAAACUCCAUACCUGAAAAAAGUAAGCUACUUUCUUCAACUCUGUAUUAUGGGAGUGAAAGUUCCGAGCUUUAAGCUUAAGUAAGGAUUAUGCCUAAACCCCAUGAUCCUUAAUUCAAAUUUAAGCGAGUUUGAGAGGCCUAAUCCGAUGGGAUUAUGUUUUGGAUAAUUUGGAUUAGCAGAGAUAUGGGGCUUGCUUGAGGGUAGAGUUUGGUGGGGAUACGGCGGGAGAGGGAGAGGGAGAGAGAGGAUGGUUGGUGUUGUUUGUUUGUCUGAUGGAGGAGACUGGGAAAAGGAAUGGGAUUCCGAUUCCUCUGGUUUGGAGAAAAUAGCCCGAAUCACAAAACAAAUGCUGGAGCUAUAUCAGCAACACAAUCUCUGGUUUUUCUCCUGUGGCUUCGCUUGUGUUGUAAGUAACUCAUUUCCCUUGUAGAGUGUGCUUCCCUCGAGCUUCUCACGAGUGGUUAAUGAAUCGACACCCUCUCUGUAUUUCUGUUUUCGGAGUUUAAGUACUAGGGGAUUCGGGCCCUUAGAAAAAAAGAUUUAGACCUUAAUUUGUGUGAGGUGCGUCAAUAAAAUGAGUUAAUAGAGGUCGCAGACUUUAGAAUAAAUGGUUUGAAUCUCUUGGUUCUUGAGUUUCAAACACAAAGAUUAACGGUCAAACUUUUUGACUAAUUUCUUAAAAUUUUAUAAAUAAAGAAAAACUGUGGGGGAAGAAUAUAUAUAUCCUUGGAGCUUAUUCUUUGAUUAAGUACCAACCCUAGUCUGUCACAAGCCAACCCAAUAUUCCACCCAUCAAAUUUUAUUGCAAGGAAAGUCUAAAAGCUAAAACACCUUCCUUAGGCUAAAUUAUACUAGAAAGCAAAGGACAGUGUAAAACAAGUGAUUCUAAACAUGAUGGAUUCUAACACGUAAACGAGGGUAUAUCGUCUUAUCAUUAUCUAACUUAAUCGCUUUUACCUUGUGUUUUUUUUAUUAUGUGACGAAAGAGAUAUUGAUAGCAUGUACACCGGUAAGUACCAAGAACGCUCCUCCAAACAGAUGUUAAUCCGUGAAUCAACAUAAGCUAAGAGAAUGGUUGAUGUGGAAAUAUCUGGACCAUCCAUCUCAUUGCCCACUUCUGCAGACAAAUACAUGCUGUUACAGCCGUUUGAUCCCACCACUGAGAAAGUUUGAAGGAAAAAGGUACUCUCUCCUCCUUACUUUGCAUGGAGACGGAGAAGAAGAGCUCCACUUUCAUCAUUAUUUGUAUAUACUUAAUAGUUAAGUUUGUGUAGCCAUAAAAAUACGCAGUUUCUUUACCAGCGUUCUAGGCUGGAUAAUAUUAAUAUAUCUCUUUCUUCUUUACCAAAGCGUGGUUUAUACCCUUUUUCUACUCAAUACAAGGAUGAUGGACCACCCAUCCUUCACAUAAAUGAAGAUUUUUCAAAUGCGCCAGAACACGGGGCAGUAUACUGUACACCAUAUAUUAUUAUACAAGUGAGAAAUUUUUUUAUUUUUUUUAUUUUUUAAGUGUCCCUCUACUUGUAUAGUGUAUAUGACGUAUGUACUCAUUUUUUGUACACUAAAAAAUCUGUCUGAUAAAUUAGUUUUUUUUUCUUUAUCCCUUUCCCUUUGUUAGAUGAUAAAUUAGUGUUUUUUCCCCUUUCCCUUUCCCUUUGUUAGAUGAUUAGAUCUAAGCCAAGUGCUUAAUUAAUUUCAAAGAUUUGGGAUUAGUUUAUGUUAAUAAUUGUAAUUAGUUAAGAGAGGUAAUCUUUCCAUUUCUAUCGGUUGAACACAGCUUUCAUGUUUGCAUGGGGAGAUCAGAUUUAGACCCGUGAUUUGGUUGUUGCCCACCUUCUUAGUCUGAUUAAGAUUGGAAGUUGCAUGUUUUUAUUUAAAUACAUAUGUAUUAUUUUAUGAAUGUUGUUUUGCUUCCAAAAUGGUUUUCUUCUGAAACAUAUAAGAAAGAUUAAUUAUCUUCUUAAUUACUUGGCGUAUUUCGGAGAGUAAUGCCCUAUCUUUCGAGGUUAUUUUCAGACCAAAUGCUUUGGUUGCAUUUCUAAAUUACAUGCACUUUUCACGUAGGGAAUGCUAAUUUAUAUACAAUGACAAAACCUGAAACAAAAAAAGCUGAAGAAAAUGAAGAUUUUGAGCUGUGGUUUUCCCUGGCACCCAACAAGGAUGCAUGAUUGCAUGCUUUAAUCAGAACCCACCAUUUCACACAGGGAUAACUUUUUCAGUGUGUCGGGAAUAUGGUCUGAUACAUCAAGUAUUAUAAUACAAGUUGUUAAAUUUUACUUCAAGUACUCAACCACUUGUAUCAUCAGACUUAGUGUACUAACAAAUGUUCCUGGCACAAGGAAAAAUCUCUCCAGGGCAAGUUCUAUCCGUGGAGAAAUUUUUCGGGAUCACUGCUUGGUAUGUCAAGUGUCGUAAUUUAAGUGGUUGAAUUUUUUUUUCAAGUAUCCAACUAUUUGUAUUAUAACACUUGAUGUACCAAACCGUACGUGUUUCCGGCACGCUAAAAAAUCUCUCCUAAUCGGUUCUUUUGCUCUAAUAAUCUUUCCAUUAACAUCCCAUUAUAGAGCAGCAUAUCUUGGUGGCACUGCCAAUAUACACUAAUCUAAUAUCUUACAUUAUAUUAAGUACUGAUUUGGUAUUGAGGUGCUUUUAUAAAAGUGGGUAUAAAAAAAGUUGAGCUCAAAAAGGUGUUUGGUAAACACUUAAAAAUAACUUAUUUUCACAAUUUAGGAUGAAAAAAAAGCUGAAAAAGAGAAGCAACAAAAAUGAGCUUAUUCUCACAGCAUAUAAUCAGUUUUUUUCUUUCAAAACACAGUAAUACCAAACCAUUCUUAAGUUGGAUUUGGACAUGAAGAAUUUUGGUUCUUUCGUCCUCUUUUGAUGUUAAUAUGAUAUAUUAUAUGUGCCCAUCGAAUUAGAGAACGUUGAUGUGAUUUAAGCUUUAUGAAAGGAAAGGAAAGAGUGUUUUGUUCCAACUUUACAAUUUGGCACCAACCUUUUUGUUUGCUUAUAUAAUCUCUAGUGCUGCAUGGCUUUUGCUCUUUUGGUUCAUACAAUCAUAGCCAUAGGCUUAGGUAGGUCAGGUCACCACCUGCAUGGUAAAAAGCGCUUUGGUUUUUAGUUUUUGUCUAAUCCUUCACGUACAUGUUUUCAACUUUGAUGGAGAGGAACUUCUCUACCCCCGUCUCGUUCCUUUCCUGCCUUUCUUCUUACGUGACGAGAUCAAUUAUAGUAAGAUACCGAUAGAGAGGGGAAUGAAAAUUGACACAGGGAUAGAGAAGUAUUUUCCCUUAUUAAGGAUAUAUCCCUGCAAUGAGUUUUAAGCAAUAAAAAGAGUAUAGGUUAAGGGUAGUUCGGAUGUAAAUUUGUGGGGCGCAGGGAAUUGGAUUCUCAGAAGCAAUUUGUAAACAAAAAGGGAAAAAGCACGUUUGCUCCGCUUUGACAAGUGCUAUUUCAUAGUGGGCUAAAACGCCGAGGACUUGGCUGGGUUAAAGCGAUGUCAUGGAUUCUAGUUUGAUUUGGGCAUCAAAACAAAGAGAAUCACUUAUUGGUGGGCUGCGAAGUGGAUGGUAGCUCAGGUCCAGUAACUUUUUUGGGCCCAUACCCAUCUAGUAACUUUCUCACUCGAACUUUCUUCGCUUCCAUUCUCAUUAUGCAUCGUUACUUUGAUGUUUGGGGACUUGGAUCCUCUCUUGAGCCCAAGGAGAGGAUCCUCCUGACCAAAUGAUUUGGGCCGUAGGAUUUCAUCCAACGGGUAUAAAUAGGGGGUCUCUUUAAAGUUAUAAUAAUUAUAUCCGUUGAAUUUUCAUCCAACGAUCCAAGUUCUUUGGUUAGGAGGAUCCUCUCCUUGGGCUUAGGACAGGAUCCAAGUCCGAUGUUUGGAACCAUUUACUUAUGACAUCACCCUUUGAAGGCCAAGUCUGCAAAGAAUCAACGAAAUUAGAACUCGUUUAAUCGUUCGAUGAAUGCUGUUAAAUUUAAGUGUUUAAGUGCGAAACAUAGUUUGUGGUAAAGAGAUCCAUUCAUUGGUAACAAAAAGAAAAAACGUGAACGGUGAUUGGAUUGAUGAUAAAAUAGAAUCUGAGGUCUCGAACAGUGAUUCGAUUGAUGAUAAAGAAAGAGAAUUCUUAGUUCAAUUCUCCACCUUAACGACCUAAAAAAGGAUUGAUCAAAUUCUAUUGAGUCAUACUCAUAAACAAAACGAUAUUAUCAACACUAACGAGGCAGGGGAUUAUGUUAAGUUUUAUAAUGAGCUAGCUAUAAUAUGGUUCAAAUUCGUCUUUGGCGAAAAUCGACCUCUCACUUUACAAGUGAGGAGGGAAUACCACUAAACCAUAAUACUAAUUAGCUUGUCUAUUUAUUAGAUAACCGUUACAAGAUUUAAUUAAUUUUUUGCUCAUAUAAUUUUUAAAUAGUUUACUAGACAUCUUGAUCAUCGAACAACAUUUCACGAUGAGUUGGAGAGCUGAAGUGAAUUGAUCGAAAAAUACGUUGGGGGGAUGUAUGUCCUAAUCCUCUUUGUAAGGAUUCCGUUCAUCGUAAAUUGUACAGUCAAUUUUUGUCAAGUACUGUGUAUUUUCAAUUUAGAUAAAAAAAAUUUACAAUGAUUUCUGAUCGCACAAUAUAUAAUGAACAAAUGUAAUUUAAAAAUUUUCGAAAUCUUUACAAAAAUGAUCCGGGGGAGAAUCCUCACCCUUUUGCAAGGAUGGUCCAACUCCAACAGGUGGGUGGCGUGGGUCCUUUCGUUCCGUGUCAGCGUUUGCGAUGACGCGUACAAACUACAAAUUGUAGGAGCGAAGGAAGGAGCAUCGUGCGACACCGUGUGGAAUCCGAGUCAAACCUGGCUUUUGGCUUUAGCUUUUCCCGCAAGCCAACCCCUGAACCGACCCCUCUCCCUCUAUAAAUAAAAUUUAAAUUCCCCCCUUUUGCUUACGAAUUGUGUUUCUUUUCAAAAUUUAACAAACUGAAAAAUCAAAUUACGAUCAGGAUGAUGGGAGGAACAGAAGCUUUUCCGGAUUUGGGUCGACACUGCCAGCUCUCCGAUUGCCACCAACUCGAUUUCCUCCCCUUCCAAUGCGACGGUUGCCGUAAGGUUUUCUGCGUUGAGCAUCGGUCUUACAAGUCCCACGAGUGCCCCAAAUCGGACCACAACAGCAGAAAGGUGGUGGUUUGCGAAAUCUGCUCCGCCUCCGUAGAAACCACAGGCUGCGACGGCGAACAAGACCACAAAUUGCUGUUGCAGAAGCACGCCAAGUCCGGGAAUUGCGACCCCAAAAACAAGAAGAAGCCCACCUGUCCCGUUCGCCGGUGCAAGGAGACUCUCACCUUUUCUAAUACCAGCACCUGCAAAACCUGCCAGAUCAAGGUCUGCCUCAAGCACCGGUUCCCGGCCGACCAUGUUUGCAGGAAGCAAACGGCAGCUCAGCCGUCGUUGCUGGCGGGUAAUGGCGUCAGCUGGAACGACAGGUUCAUGGCUGCUUUUGCUUCGAGGAAAGGGAAAGAAUGCGGGAAGAGUGAGCGGGAUUCCAAGUCUUCUGCUUCGAGUGGGCCAUCUGUUCGAGCGUAUUGAGAGAUUGUUCAUAUGCUUCUGCUGGGUUUGUUUAUCAUUCCGCAGUUUCAUGUUUCUUCGAAACAGCGUCGUUUCGUUGUAAUUCUUUUAACUGGUCAAGAUUUUAAGACCCUUCAUCAUUAAUCUACAAAUUACGAUUCAUACUUUGAUCCAAUUGUAGUACAUUAAAGAACGUUGGAGUAAUCCUCUGUAACUGCAAAUCACAGUGUUACGAGUAUUUUAUGUACAUGCAAAUCACAGUGUUACGAGUAUUUUAUGUACAAAAGUACACCUACAAAACGAGAAACUGAUGUGCAAUGAACAAAUAACUAAAGAUUAAAUUUUGUAUAUAAAAUACAACCGCACAAGCCCUAUCGAAGUUAUUCAACCUAAUCAACCCCUCGCAACCGCUAGUAGAUGAGUUUUGAAUGAUUGAGGUUGCGCUUAAGUUUGACUUCUAAUCAAGAGAUUGUGCCAUUGAGUGAGAGUGGCUCAAAUCAAGGUUCUUUUUUUGCCUUAAAGAUAAGGACUUUACUUAUAUGGAGAACUGUAACAACUAAAUGACAAGGUUGCUGAAAGUACGAAUGACUGAGGAAAUUAAAUGACUAGAAAUGAAUUGUACAGAAAUGUAUUUAUUUAAAGUACAAAGCAUUUUAAGUACAAAGGGAUGCCAAAUACAAGGUUUGAGCUUGUUCGCGAGGGAUCGGGCAAGUUGCUCUCGUCUUGUAGCAAUUUCUGGUGGUUUGGGGAAUGACUUUGAGGGUUGUAAAUAAAACUACAAAUGAGAUUGAUACUACUAGUGAGCAGCAGAGCUAAUAAAGAAGGAAAGCAAAGGAUGCUUGGCUAAAGCUAAAUGUCUACAAGGAGAUUGAUGAGCUGAUUUGAGUAAGUUGAUUUGAUUAUUUGUUUGAGUGUCCUUGCCCCCGUUGUCUCUUCUUCCUUUUAUAAGCAAUGUAGCCCGACUGCUGUAACUUUUGCUCUUGCCCAAAAGACUUGGAGGGUAGUGAGUUGUCAACUUUCUUACUUGCAAUGCAAAUGAAAAAUGUUCUUUGGCUAAUAGUAGGUUAAUCUUCAUCACUUGUCACUUCACUUAUAGACACGUGCACGUGGCUUAUGUCUCUUGGCUGAGAAAGCCUUAAUUUGCUUAUGGGUUUAAUGCUGGGCUUCGGGUAAGUCCCCUUUUAAUUGGCAUCCUUGGACUUUCUUUUACUUAAGCCCAAUGUUCAAAUAUUAACCAAAAUAGUGCUCCCUUUAAUCAUUGUUGAGUCUGCCAAUCGAGGCGUUAAUAAUGAUUAAACCAUCGCCGCAUGCCUUCACUCGGGAUUUGCACCAUUUAAGAUGGUUGUUGUUUAACAAAACCUUUGCACUAACCCAUCAUGUCCAACGUUAACUAACCGUUUACUAUAUAAUGCUCACUUAAACCCUUCGGCCAACUACCUUAGCAUUCCCAAACCUUCGAAUUUCCAGAACUUCCCAGAUUCUUCAACUUUCCCAGUACUCUUUUGUUCUUAAUUCUUGCUCCUAGUCUUAACUUUCUUCCUAUUCUUCCUUCAACUCUACUCAGUGGCACCCAAAGUUGCUCGAACUCAAUCUUCUUGUGAGACUGGUGAGGGGAUUUCCACCAUGCUGUAACAUCUCACAUUGCCCAGGGGAGUGGAUCCUGUAAGCCUUAUAUAUAUAUAUAUAUAUAUAUAUAUAUAUAUAUAUAUAUAUAUAUAUAUAUAUAUAUAUAUAUUCUCAUCUUUACCUAGCACGAGGCCUUUUGGGAGCUCACUGGCUUCGGGUUCCAUAGGAACUCCAAAGUUAAGUGAGUUCGCACGAGAGCAAUCCCAUAAUGAGUGACCCACUAAGAAGUUCUCAUGUGAGUUUCUAGAAACAAAAUCAUGAAGGCGUGGUCGGGGCCCUAAGCGGACAAUAUCGUGCUAUGGUGGAGCCAAGCUCGGGAUGUGGUGGGGGCCCGGGUUGGGACGUGUCAAUUUGGUAUCAGAGCCAAUCCUUGGUCGGAAGUGUGCCGACGAGGACGUCGGGCCCCUAAGGGGGGAUGAUUGUAACAUCCCACAUCGCCUAGGGGAGUGGAUCCUAUAAGCCUUAUAUGUAUAUUCUCAUCUCUACCUAGCACGAGGCCUUUUGGGAGCUCACUGGCUUCGGGUUCCAUUGGAACUUCGAAGUUAAGCGAGUUUGCGCGAGAACAAUCCCAUGAUGGGUGACCAAUUGAGAAGUUCGCGCGAGAGUAAUGUAGAGGAAGCUACAUGGGAGUUAGAGAAAGAAAUGCGUACGAAAUAUCCAGAACUUUUCAUUGUUUCGGGUAAGUUUAAAUUUCGAGGACGAAAUUUCUUUUAAGGAGGGUAGAUUGUAAUAUCCUUCGUUUAAUUAAGAGUGAAGUGUGAUUAUAAUUGUUUUUAUACAAAAUUUUAGUCUACUUAGUUUUUAUUUGUGUAAUAGCUUUUAAUACUAUACUUUUUAUUUAUGAGAUUUUUUAUUAUUGUUAUUAUUAUAAUUGUUUUAGGGUACAAAUAAGGAUUUAUUUUUGGGUAUAUCAAUGAAAUAGUAUUUAAAAGUAAAUAAAUAAAUAUAUUUUACAAAAGAAAGGAAAAGAACGUUCUUUCACGUUCUUCCUUUCUGUGCAAUGGAAACAAAGAAGCUGGGAGGAGGUGGCUCUUCCACAGCUUUAGGAAAGAAAAAAAAAUUAAUAAAAAAAAUUCUUCUUUCUUCUUACCCAAAUCGGAUAGAGAUUAGGAAAUCUUGUGAUAAGUCGAGAUUUGAUUGAUCAAAGGAGUGUGUUAUAGAGAGUUGCUCAUCUCCUAUCGCACUAAGGAGUGUGUUCGGUAGAGGAUGAACUGAGAAGAGACACAGAGGUCUAGAAGCAGGAGGUGGAUGGCCUAGGAAGCUAGGUUUUCAUCAUGACUCUGAUAGGAUUGAGUAGGAUUAGAGAAACUAUAAAAGGGGUUGCAGAGAAGUGGGAAAACAUCAGAAAUAAAAAAGGGGGCAGAGAAAUUGAGAGAUAGAGAACAUGAUUUUGAAGGAAGGAUUUAGAGAUUUGAAGGGUAAAUUUCUUGUUCCUUGAUUAUUUAGAUUUUUCAAAUUUAAUUUCCUUAGUUGAAUUGAAAUUGCCAUGAGAUAUAUUUGGAGUUCUUAGUUUUAUUUAGGGUUUUCUACUGUUCAAUGAACCAAUCUGAACUUGAAUUAGAGUUGGGUAAUUCGAAUUGGGUGUGUAGAUCAAAUUUCUUGAUCAAGGGUUUGUUUCAAAAGGUUAAUUUCUUGUUAAUUUUGAGUCAUGUUAUAUUUGGGUGUUGUAUACAUGAUUUUUGGACUACCUGGAAGUAUUUCGGGUUUUGUUAUAUGAACUGGAAGUGUACUAUCAUGUAAUAUGCAGAAAAUUGAUUUUUUUGCAGAGAAAACUCAAGUUUCGAGUAGCCUUAUUUUGCUCUUAAUUUAUAGGUCUUUAUGUGCUCCUUUAGAGAAAAUGUUUUGUGUUUUGAAAAUACAUAUUUCCAUGAUCGUAACCCAAUUGUUUUCACUCAGUUCCGUUGAGUUUUGAUUGAUCAAAACCUUAUUUAAACUUGGGUCGUGAGCUGCCAAACAGCAGCAGAAAACUGGGUUUCCAGUUUCAAGACUCCAAUUUUCUUUUGGCAUAACUUCCAAUUUAGAGCUCCGUUUUCUACAAAACUUUAUAUGCUUUUAAAGUACAGAACACAAACUUCAAAACCCAUUCAAUAUUAUAUGAUUUGGUUUAGUUUUGAAUGUUCGAAAAGGAGUCUAAACUUGGUUCAAUAGUGCUGUUUUCUGCAGAUUUUGUCGAGAUGCAAAGUACUGUUUUUACCACACCUAAUUUCUUUUCCAGAUUCCUUUCUAGUCUUCUUUAGUUGAUUUGAGUGACAUUAUUUGAGUUAUAAGAUUCCAUAAUUUAUGUACUUUCUUUAGAUAAUAUCAAUUUUGUGAUUGAACACUUAGUUUGGUUUCUAAUGUGUUACUUGUGUUUGUACUUUUGGUUGUAUUUUUGUGUUCCGAUUAGGUUCUUCAGAGGAACAAAAUUAAUCGAAUUCAAGGUAGGGGGUUCUGGGAAACCUUCUAUAUGUAUUAAUUUAAUUAUUUCUUACUUAAGUACACAUACAAGUUUGAUAUACUUAUUGAAUUCAAAUUGAAUAUGAAUAUUGUUUCUUGUGGUUGUUUGAGUAUAAAUGUUUGAAAUGCAAUUUAAAUCUAUGGUGUGGGAGUAAAGUUUGAUUGUUGGAAAGAACUUCGGGAAUCUAAGGUUGUGACUAUUAGUUUUUGUGUAGUUGAGCCAAACUUUUAGUAGGUACCAUGUCUCAGGCGAGCCCACAGUGCACAGAUUCUUUAAGGGUAAUUCGGAACUGGAGACGAAGAGUUUAGGCAAGAUGACUCACAAAAGGGGAGUUCGGGAAUGUUUAGGGAUGGGGGUUAUUUCAUAUAUUUAAACACUCGGGAUUAAGUGAUAUAAGUACGGAAUAGGACGUACAAGGUCUGGGUGUUUAGUUAUGUGGAUUAACGGGUAUAGUUAAGGCAUUUGCAUUGCAUUCUUACGCAUUGUUCUGAUUUUGGUUUUAAUACUGCUAUAUUAAUUAUACUUUAUUAUUUUAGUAAUGAAGGUAUAUGUCCCUACUGAGCUUUUUAAGCUCACCCUAACGAAAUUUUGCAGGUACAGAAUCAGAAACCUAAAAGUCUGCUUGCUGUCUGUUGUGUAACUAUGUAUAAAGAAAUAAAAAGAUGAGCUUGUUGGCUUUUGCUCUCUUGUUUGAAUAAAGAAGUACUUUUGUGUGAACUCUGAGUAGUUCAUAAGUUGUAAUUUUGGCUAAAACUUUCAAUAAUAUGUUAUUCAGUUCAAUUUGAAUUUUAUUCCAAGAGAGUUAUACAUGCUUUUAUUUCAAGUCACAUUCAUAAUUAUAUUAGUUAAGAUUAUAAUUAAGGUGUGAUUCGCGUUCUGAACCAAGGUUUACGUUAAUCCUUGGCUUGGGGCGUGACAAUUUGGUAUCAGAGCCAAUCCUUGGCCGGAAGUGUGCCGACGAGGACUUCGGGCCCCUAAGAGGGGAGGAUUGUAACAUCCCACAUCGCCCAGGGGAGUGGAUCCUGUAAGCCUUAUAUGUAUAUUCUCAUCUCUACCUAGCACGAGACCUUUUGGGAGCUCAUUAGCUUCGGGUUCCAUCGGAACUCUGAAGUUAAGCGAGUUCGCGUGAGAACAAUCCCAUGAUGGGUGACCCACCGAGAAGUUCUCGUGUGAGUUCCUAGAAACAAAACUGUGAGGGCGUGGUCAGGGCCCAAAGCGAACAAUAUCGUGCUACGGUGGAGUCGAGCCUGGGAUGUGAUGGUGGCCCGGGCCGAGAUGUGACAUAUGCGCCGUUUGUCAAUGACCUUUAUCGCCCUCGGGCAGGCUUGCAUACUGAACUUUUCUUCGAGGAGAGAUGAGUGCAUGGACAUCUCUAAUAUGUGCCCUCAAUACCCUUGAACCCUGUGGUCAAACCUUGGCCCUUCAGAGGAUGGGCAAUGGACUUCAUCAGGUAAAUUUACCUAGCUUCUAGCGGGGGGCAUACAUUCAUAAUUGUGGCAACAGAUUACUUCACUAAGUGGGUAGAAGCUUCAGCUGUCAAAACUAUCACCUCAACUGUAGUAAAGAAGUUCAUUGAGACCAAGAUCUUACACAGAUAUGGGGUGCCCGAGACAAUUGUCACAGACUGCGGGCCAUCUUUUAUUUCAAAGGAAGUAGAAGAAUUUGCAAGUAAGUUCAAGAUAAAGAUGAUCCAAUCUAGUCCUUACUAUCCCCAGUCAAAUGGUCAAGCAGAGGCCAGCAACAAGAUCUUGGUAAACAUUAGUAAAAGAAUGGUGGCAGAUAGUCCAGAGAAGUGGCAUGAGAAGUUAGGAGACACUUUGUGGGUUUAUGAUAGGAGCAUAUUUAUGCGACUUAGUUAGCUUGUUCUUGUGCAUUUGUGUUGUUAUUUCUUAGUUAAUUAUGUAUUUUAAGCUAUUUUCGUGUGUUUGUAGGUCAUAAUAACAAAGUUGGCAAGAAAGUGCAUUUUGGAGCAUUUUAGAGCAUUUUUGAGCCAAGAUUGGAUAGUGCAAGCAUGGAGACAUGAGGAUGGACGUUUUUGAAGAUUUGAAGGCUAAAAAUCAGCAUGUGUGUGUGCAAGUGUGUUGACCUACAACUCCAAACAUCCACCCACUACACCCAUUACAUCCACUCAUUACCACAACACUCACACACUACACCUAUUACAUCCACUCAUUACCACAAUACUCACCCAUUACACCCAUUACAUCCACUCAUUACCAAACAUCCACCCACUACACCCAUUACAUCCACUCAUUACAACCACCUAACACAUUCACCUACCACUACACCCACUCAUUUCAACCACCCAACAACACUCACCCACUACACCUAUUACAUCCACUCAUUACAACUCCAUACACUCCUCUCCCUAGCCUAUAAAUACAUCCACCCUUCACCAUAACAAGGGAGAAGAAAACCAAAGAGAACACAAUCCACCCAUCCACCCUUCACCAUAACUCACCUAUAUCCAUCCACCACCAUAAUUUACCACUCAUCCAUCAAACCACACCUUGUGCCGCAACAAAGAGAAGAAGGAGGACCCUUGGACGUGUUUGCCAUUCAAGUUGGAUUGUUGGAGCGUUUUUAGGUGUUUUCUUUCUUUUGUUUUCAAUGUCUAAAUUUGUUUAUUUUUGCUUUGUAAGUAUGAGGAACUAAACCCCCCUUAGCUAGCGGGGAAUUCGAAACCAUGUUCAUGCUUGCAAUAUGGUUUGAUUACUAUCAGUUGUGAUUCAUAAGUUGUGAAUUCAAUUUACUUAUCCAUUUGAAUUAAAACUGAUUUGUGUAUGUUGUUUGAGAGUGCACGCUUAAUUUCCAUGCAUAAAUAUGAUGCUAGGAUAUAAGGGAGUUUCACCUAAUCGUUAUGAACUUAUAUUCACAAGUAGUAAAUGUUGUUCGUCACAACCGUGUUAAGUAAAUUCUUGGCAUAAGUUUCAUGCAAUUCAUAGUUACAAGUGUUUCGUCAAUGCUUAUGAUUUUCAUAGAACUUAAUGAUUCUUGCUUGUAUCUCUAUUAUGCAAUUCAUGUAGGGAACUUGUGGGGAAUGCUUUGGGUUGUUGUAUGCAAUAAUCCAAUUCAAUGAAAUUAGGAAAAUCUGAGGAUUAAUUUAAUCGUACCUAAUUAAUUUGGGGUGUUGAGGUUCAUGGUUUAUUGAAAAGCAACUGGAAAUCGUUUUAUAUGCAAGUGUGUUAUGUGUGGAGAAAGACCUUCUAGCUAGCCCAUCAUCCAUUCAAAUCACCAAAUUCGUCCAAAAUCUGUUUUAAGUCUUUAGUUACUUGUUUUUACUUAAAUUCAUCCAAAACCAAAUCCCCCUUUACUUUAAAGUGUCUGUUAGUUAGUACUUAUUUUAGAUGGUGUUUUUAAGUGUUUUAAGUCAAGAUAAAAUCAAUUUUCGUCCAAAGUCAUUCUUAGUGUCUAGUUUGAAUCUAAUUAGUUGUUUUGAGUUCUUUGAGUUUAGUUUAGUGUUUUUAACUUUGUUUAUAUGUUUUUAAGUCAGUUUAGAGGUUAUUAGCAAGCCCUCCUAAUCCCCGGUCCAGAACGAUCCCUACUUACAUUCUUUACUACAAUUGAUAUAAGAGGGUUUAAUUUGUGUGUUAAGUUAAUUUUCGCAUCAAAUUUUUGGCGCCGUUGCCGGGGAUUAGCAACUUUGCUAAUCCCCCGUUGUUUCUUUUUAUUUCUUUUACGUGUCUUUUGUUUUAGUUACUGACUUUGUUUCUUUUCGUGUCAUUUGUUUUUAGUUUCUUAUUUGGUUUUGUUUUGUUUAUUUUAAUUUUUGAUAUUUGAUUUAGUUCUCUUUCUUUGAUUUAAGAUACUAAAGAAGUAGGACAUGGAUUUUGCUAGCAUGCACGCUCAAUUGGCAAAUCUUACUUCUCCAUUGUGGCAGUAUGCCGAAAGGACCACAAUGCAAAGUGUCCCUACAUUUGGUACGUCUUAUAAGCAAGGAUAUCAAGCCAAUCAAUGUCCACAAAGAGAUUGGAGUGAUCAUUCAAACUCUAUGUGGUGGGAAGCUCAACAAGUUCAACACAAAGCAUAUUGGCAGCCAUAUGAGGAGUUCUAUUCAAGACCUAUGCAACCACUACAACCUCAUAUACAAUAUGCCCAAUCAAACUCAGAUUCGUCAAUAGAUUACAAUCAAAUUCUUAAUGAAUUAAACUCUUUGGUGCAGGGCUCACAACAAGAAGAAUAUUUGCCGCCAUCGAAGGAGUUCUAUCACUGGCCAUAUAAACCAUCACAGCCACCACAACAAUCUGCCCAAUUCAAUUCAGGUACGUCUUUGGAUAAUGAUAUGUUUAAUAAGUUACUCACAUCUUUGAACCAGGAAGUAGAAAAUCAAAACAAAGAGAUGCAAAAUCAAGCCAAGAAGACGGGUGAAUUGGAGAAGCAAACUGGGCAGAUUAUGGAGUUCAUGGCACAAAUUCAAGAGCAAAGUGAACUCCCCAACUCAACUAUUGAAAAUUCGAAGGAAGAUUUUGAAAUCCAUCAUGCUAUCACUUUGGGAAGUGCUAUGGAGGUUGGAGCUAACCUAAAAACAUCCAAACAUAGCAUAGAAGUGGAUGAGGAGCUGCUGAUUGAGGAUGAGGAAGAAGACAUACACACGAAAAUGGUAGAACAACCCUUGCCGCAACCCCCUAAGCCCUCUAAACCACCCACCACAAGUAAGGACGUCCCAAUUUCAGUUCAUUCUAAUGUUAUUCCUCCGAACAUCCAUUUUCCUUGCAGGUUUUUGAUUCCCAAGAAAGAAGAGAGUAAAAAAAACAUCGUGGAAGCCUUCUUAAAGGUGCAAAAUGAUAUUCCAAUUCUUGGUGCAACAAAUCAAGUUCCAGAUUGUGUUGAAAUGUUCAAAGGACUUUGUACACCAAGAAGAAUGAUUCAAGAGAAAGUAGUGGCUGGAGAAGAUGUAGAAUGCAUAAAAGAGGAUGUGAUUGAGACAACCAUUCCUAAAGAAGUUGAAUUCUAUGACACGGGACAAGUCCCAACCAUCACAUUCAAUCUGGCCAAGUCCAACAUCCCUGAAACUUUCAAAGAAGUGGUGUUUGUCAUUGAGUUCUUGUUAGACAAAGCAAGUAAGUCAUCUUCUCCAAUUUUACAUACGUUUUCCACUAACUUGCUGAUUUUGAUGAUUCAGGCACCCACACUAGAAUUUACACCAUUGCCCGAUCACUUUAAGUAUCACCUUCCAUUUGAAGAUCACUUCCAUGCCAUGGGACCUAGAUGAGUGUGACUGGAGGUAUCGUCCGGCUGCAAGACGUUAAAGCAAGCACUUAUUGGGAGGCAACCCAUGUAUUCAAAUAAGGAAGAUUUUUGAAUUGCUCCACAAUCAGUUUUGCGUUUCUAAAAACCUUCCUAUUUUUGUUGUUUUAUUUUGCCAUGAUUGUCAUUUUUAUUUGUUGCUUGUUUAAUUGUUUUUAGUGUGGGUUUAUUUUUGAAACACUGACAGUUAUGCAAAGUAUUUUUACAUUCAUAAAAAAGAAAGGAACAUUAAGCAGAUAAAUACAAGAGGGAGCCUUCACAAAGGCUGCUUAGGAGAAGUCUCAGUAGUCGGCGGAGCCUCAGCAGUCGGCGGAGCCCCAGAAGGAUGAGGCAUCGGAGGUUGAUCAUUUGGAGCUUCAUUACACGGUACAGCCCCAGAAGACGAAGGCAAAUGUUGUUGGAACAAACCCACAAACCUCCGAUGAUCAAGUAAAAUCUGACCAUCAGAUUCCUGCAUCUGGUCAAUUUUCCUCUUCAUGUUUGUGGCAUAGUUGUGUGCGAGCUUGUGCAACUGUUUAUUCUCAUGUUUGAGCCCUUUAAUCUCCUGUUUGAGACUCAUCACUUCAGCCGCCAACGAUUCAACUUGACGGGUUCGAGCAAAUAGGCGUUGGCCAUGUUGGACACAGAACCCUCACACUGCACACUAAGAGCCAGAGACUCCUUAACAGCCAACUUAUCAGACCGUUUUGAAAACAGUCUGUUAUCUUUAGGAGUGACAAGGUUCCGGGCCACCACCGCAGCAGUCAGGUCAUUCUUCAUCACCGAAUCCCCAACGGUAAGGGGACCAGUAGGGGAUAUGAAAGAUGGGCGCCAUAUGUUGUCUGGAGAAGGUGGGACUGCCUCUUCACCAAGGUUCAAGUCAAAACGACAAUCGGAGGGGCCAGACAUUUUCAGAGGUGUUAAAGAAAGAAGAGGUCGGACAAGUCAAGAUCGUAGAAGUGCAAUAAGGGAGUUUCUACAGGCAGAAAUUCAAGUGUGCUUUGAACGUUCUGCGUACCUCUAUAAAAAUCAGCACUCGAUGGGAUUUCAGAGAUCGAAGAGACGAGCUCAGAAAUCGAAGAGACCAACUCAAAAAUCAAAGAGGCGCUAGCUUUCUCAAAAGCUGGGCUUACUUAGAAACCACGGCCAAUCUUCUUUUCCAGACGUGUCAGCAUCUGUCACAUGCAGAGUAAGCUUUGCGAAAAUCACGGGCAGUUUGUCGAAGCGUCGAUUCCAACCAUCUGUUUUUCGAGACGUGUCAACAUUUGUCACAUGCAGAGUAAGCUUUGCGAAAAUCACGGGCAGUUUGUCGAAGCAUUUUUCCAGACGUGUCAACAUCUGUCACAUGCAGAGUCAGCUUUACAGAAAUCACGGGCAGUUUGUUGAAGCGCCGAUUCCAGAUAUCGAAGAGGCACUUACUUUUCCAGACGUGUUAGCGUCUGUCACAUGCACAGUCAGCUUUACAAAAAUUACGGGCAAUCUGUCGAAGAUCUCUUGUGAAGUAGAAAGCACGUUAAGUUUACUAUUCAAUCAUCCAACGGUUGCCGACAAGAGUGAAAGAACAGUACCUGUUAUUAUUUCCUAUAAAUGUCGACCUUCACCCUCCAUGGCAAGGCAGACAUACAUUACCUUCCGUCAUCUCCGAGAAUGCCUUUCCAACAAACCCUCUCGAGUCACUCAGUGUUCCUUAUUCCUUGGGGUACCUCUGCAAACAACCCAUUCAAAGCAAAAGUAUUUCAUAUCAUGAAGGUUGAAAGCAAGAGUAUCUCAUAUCAUGCUUUCUCCCUGUCCUUCUCAUUGUCGUUGUUUUAAGACAAGGAGAAAGAGAGCAAUCAGCCAGCACUUGGUAUCAAUUUUCCGAUUUGGAACCGACUGCCUGGAACCCCUUCCUGAUUGCUUACCUAGCCUUGCUCUCGAGUACUCAUCUUCAUCAUUUUAUGCUUCCUCUUCAUCUACCAUAUCUGCCUGAGGAACAGAUAAGGGAAGUGAAAAUGAUACCUCGAAGCAUGUGGAGAUAAUUUGCCAAUUCAUCCUCAGCUAAGGACAAGGAGAAAGAAAGUAAGAGGUGGGCACUUGGAAAGAUUGAAGAAAGAAACAGACCAACACCUUUACCUCGUGCCUUCCCGGCGUGCAGAAGAAACAAGCAAAGAAGAAUGCAGACUGCACAAUCAAAUCAACCCAGCAGAAGGAGUCUGAUUUGAAACCAAGGAACUAUCAUAUUCCUCGCUCAGAAUUCCAAACCAGUUCGAGAUCAAAGCUGUGGAAAAAUAACAAGAUCAUCUAUCUCCAAAACCAAAUUUGCGUUCUUAAACUCUACUCUGUGUAAUUUUUACUUUGCCAUACUUGUCAUGUUUAUUCGUUGUUUGUUUGUGUGAGUUUAUGCUUGAAACAUUGAGGACAAUGUUUGAUUUAAGUGUGGGGGGGGGGUAACCAUUGUUUUGCAUGAAAUUCGUAGGAGUUUAUCACCCAUUACUUCUAGUGUUGUUCCUUGCUGUUUUAAGUGUUUUAAGCUGUUUUGGAGUGUUUCAGUGUGUUUUGACAUAAAAAUCCGAAAAUCUCAUAAAAAUUUGAAAAAUUGUUUUUGUAUGUUUGUUUGUGUCUUAGGGUACCUUCCAACACAAUGAUGAGGAUUUGGUUUUUAAUUACAUGACUGUUAAAGAGAGUUAUAAACAUGGAUGAAAAUUUGAUUUACUCUUUGGUGUAUGCUUGGUUGUGGUUAUAAUUUAUGAAUUCACAUGCAAUCAUAAAAGGAAAAAUCAGUUUUUUUUUGCAACAUGCUUGAAAGAAGGAACUCAAACUAACGUUACAUCCUUGAGAGACUUGGGCCUAAACGUUUAUUUGGAGAGUUAUUAAUCUGUGCAGUUUUUUUUGUUUUCUAAAGUCGUUGCAUGAUCUCAUUAUUCUUUGCUUGGUUGCUACUUAGAAGGCGUUUCAUCAUUUAGUUCCAAAUGCUAGAACUCAUGCCUAUUUCAUUCAAAGCAUGUUUUUGAUUUGCAUAACACAUAUUCAAGAUGAAGUUGUUUAGUGAGCCAAGAGCCAAAAAGCCUACCCUGUUCAUUAUGUGUUUAAGUUUAACCCCGUUGAGCCUUGUGUAGCCUAUGUUCUUUGUUAACCCACACUAUCCUCACCUAGCCUAGAUUAGGACCAUCCAUACCAUUGUUCUUGAAGCAUAGUAAAACAUAAUUUAGAAGGAAUUCCUUUUGUUGAACUUUUGCAGAAAAACAAGUGUGGGGGAAGUGAUUCUUGUGUGUGUGUGUGCGCCAAAGUCCUUAAUAAGGCACGGGUAGAAAGAAAAAGAAAAAAAAAAGAAACAUUCGUGGAAAAUAGAAUGAAAAGAAGAAAAGUGGUGAAAAAUAGCUCUAAAGUGUUGUUUGUUGAAGAAAGGGUCCAAAACAUUGAAUUCGGCCCUAAGUACUGCUUGAAUCUUCCCGUUGUGUUUAAAAGUUAAUUUCUGCAUUAUUAAGUAAAUUCCAAGCGUCUAUUUCAUUACGUUGCUUACUAUUGCUUUUAGAAUGUUUGUUAUUCCUAUCCUUUUUUUGUUAGCCAUUACCCCCAAGCCAUGUUACAACCCUUAACUUCAAUCUUGAGUGUUAUGUGUUUCAAUUUGUGGAGUUUGAAAUUGAUAUGAGCAUAUGGUGUCACUGGUUCUCGCAUCUAAGUAGUAGCAUUCCAUUCAUGAGAUCAUAUAAAUACAUGAAUUAAUAAUUCCAGAAAUUGCUUCUUUGUUGAAAAACAUAUGUGAGUACUAGUUUUCAUGUUUACAUCAAUCUUCUCACAUAUACCUAGUAUAGGGAGUGUAGUAUGAAAUUCUUGUGUGAAAAUAAGAGUGUAUCUAGUAAGGAAUUGAGGAAAUUCUCAAGGCAUGUUACUAUAUUCAUAAUGCUGUUUUAAUUGAUUAAAUGUGAGCUAGUGAAUGGUGACUAUGAUUAAGUAUGCUCGAGGGUAAGGAAUGCUUAAUUCUAUGUAAGUGGUGAUCUUUGGCAUGUCAUGUUUCAUUGAAAAUCCCUAAGGCAAAUGUUGGAAGGUUAGGUUAUGUUUUGUUUGUUUUGUUUCGUUUUAUUUCUUUUGUUUUACUCGAGGACUAGCAAAAGCUAAGUGUGGGGGUAGGAGCAUAUUUAUGCGACUUAGUUAGCUUGUUCUUGUGCAUUUGUGUUGUUAUUUCUUAGUUAAUUAUGUAUUUUAAGCUAUUUUCGUGUAUUUGUAGGUCAUAAUAACAAAGUUGGCAAUAAAGUGCAUUUUGAAGCAUUUUAGAGCAUUUUUGAGCCAAGAUUGGAUAGUGCAAGCAUGGAGACAUGAGGAUGGAUGUUUUUGAAGAUUUGAAGGCUAAAAAUCAGCAUGUGUGUGUGCAAGUGUGUUGACCUACAACUCCAAACAUCCACCCACUACACCCAUUACAUCCACUCAUUACCAAACAUCCACCCACUACACCCAUUACAUCCACUCAUUACCACAACACUCACCCACUACACCCAUUACAUCCACUCAUUACAACUCCAUACACUCCUCUCCCUAGCCUAUAAAUACAUCCACCCUUCACCAUAACAAGGGAGAAGAAAACCAAAGAGAACACAAUCCACCCAUCUACCUUUCACCAUAACUGACCUAUAUCCAUCCACCACCAUAAUUUACCACUUAUCCAUCAAACCACACCUUGUGCCGCAACAAAGAGAAGAAGGAGGACCCUUGAACGUGUUUGCCAUUCAAGUUGGAUUGUUGGAGCGUUUUUAGGUGUUUUCUUUCUUUUGUUUUCAAUGUCUAAAUUUGUUUAUCUUUGCUUUGUAAGUAUGAGGAAUUAAAACCCCCAUUAGCUAGGGGGAAUUUGAAACCAUGUUCAUGCUUGCAAUAUGAUUUGAUUACUUUCAGUUGUGAUUCAUAAGUUGUGAAUUCAAUUUACUUAUCCAUUUGAAUUAAAACUGAUUUGUGUAUGUUGGUUGAGAGUGCACGCUUAAUUUCCAUGCAUAAAUAUGAUGCUAGGAUAUAAGGGAGUUUCACCUAAUCGUUAUGAACUUAUAUUCACAAGUAGUAAAGGUUGUUCGUCACAACCGUGUUAAGUAAAUUCUUGGCAUAAGUUUCAUGCAAUUCAUAGUUACAAGUGUUUCGUCAAUGUUUAUGAUUUUCAUAGAACUUAAUGAUUCUUGCUUGUAUCUCUAUUAUGCAAUUCAUGUAGGGAACUUGUGGGGAAUGCUUUGGGUUGUUGUAUGCAAUAAUCCAAUUCAAUGAAAUUAGGAAAAUCUGAGGAUUAAUUUAAGCGUACCUAAUUAAUCUGGGGUGUUGAGGUUCAUGGUUUAUUGAAAAGCAACUGGAAAUCGUUUUAUAUGCAAGUGUGUUAUGUGUGGAGAAAGACCUUCUAGCUAGCUCAUCAUCCAUUCAAAUCACCAAAUUCAUCCAAAAUUUGUUUUAAGUCUUUAGUUACUUGUUUUUACUUAAAUUCAUCCAAAACCAAAUCCCCCUUUACUUUAGAGUGUCUAUUAGUUAGUACUUGUUUUAGAUUGUGUUUUUAAGUGUUUUAACUCAAGAUAAAAUCAAUUUUCGUCCAAAGUCAUUCUUAGUGUCUAGUUUGAAUCUAAUUAGUUGUUUUGAGUUCUUUAAGUCUAGUUUAAUGUUUUUAACUUUGUUUAUAUGUUUUAAAGUCAAUUUAGAGGUUAUUAGCAAGCCCUCCUAAUCCCCGGUCCAGAACGAUCCCUACUUACAUUCUUUACUACAAUUGAUACAAGAGGGUUUAAUUUGUGUGUUAAGUUAAUUUUCGCAUCAGUUUACAGAACCUCCAAGAGGGCAGAAACUGGAACUACUCAUUAUAUCUUAACCUUCAGGCAGGAUGUUGUACUCCCCAUGGAGAUUAAUGUCAGUUCUAUUAUAAUUCAAAAUCAGUUUGGGCUGCAUAAUGAAGAAUACAUUUAGGCUAAGUGUCAAGGAGUUGAAAACCUAGAUGUAGCCCAAAUUGAAGCUCUAAAUAAAAUUCAGGAAGAGAAGAGAGCUGUUGCCCGAGCAUACAAUAAGAAGCUGAAGUUGAAAAACUUCAAGGAAGGAGAAUUAGUUUGGAAAGCAGUUUUGCCCUUAGGAGCUCAAGUGAGAUGCUUUAGGAAAUGGAGUCCUACUUGGGAAGCUCAUUUUAUUAUUCACCAAGCACUGGAUAAAUGAGGAUAUUACUUGGCAGAUUUGGAAGGAAACUUGCAAAGACAUACAGUUAAUGCUAAGUUUCUAAAGAAAUACCAUUAAACUCUGUGGGAUGUUAGAAAUUGUUAUAUUGAGAAGGGUUAGUUAUCUCAAGGAAAAUUAAAGUUAGAUGGUGCAGUAAGACUUCAAUGUAAAGCAAGAAGUGAAAUAAGUAAAGAUGAAGAAUACUUUUAUUUCACAAAAAGGAAGUUACAAUGGCCCUAGCCUAACAGAUUUACAUCUUCACCCAAAGUAAUUAUUCUGGAGUGGUAAGUUUGCAUAAUUAAAAAUUCUGGUAGGCUCGGCCAAAACAGUGCUGCUAUUAACAAGUUGAGACUCAGCAUCUUCCAGUUCCAGAUUUGCCUUCUUCACUUCUUCAAUUUGUUGUUGAAGUUUGCCAAGGAGAGUCACCUGUUUAGACUUCAGUACAACAAGUUGCUCUUCUAACUUCUGGAUCUCAGAAGUUACCACAUUGAUCCUCUCCUUCGUUGCUGAACCUUCAUCUACCAGCUGUUGAAUAUGAGUUGAAGUACUAGAUUGUUUCUCCUUAAAGCACCUCACUUGAUUGGCUUGCCUCUCUGCCCUCUGAUGUUGAUCCCUCAAAGCCCUCAAGUUCUCAAAAUAAGAGAGGAAUGAUUCAUAUUGAGCUUUGGAUAGCUGAUUAGCCUUGAACAAAUCAAUAAUAGCCUUCUCCACGUCGUGGAGAGCCUUGAGGUUAAAGGAUGCUGAGAAAUCCCUCAUAGACCACUCUUGGAAGACUCGGCGUUGAUCUUGAAGGCCUGAAGACUCAGAGGGAUGCCUUGAAGAUCUCAACUUUGUCUUAAGAAGCUCGAACUCUUUAAAAAGCUCAGGCAAAGAUGUUGUUGUAGAGAUAGGUACAGAGGAAAAUGGUAGUGCUCCUGCUCCUUCAGAGGGUGCAUCAAUGGAGGAGGUCUCAAUGGAUGAAGGAGCCCAAGAUGUAGGAGCAGUGGUGGUCUUGGUUUUAUUCUUAGGCCUAGGGAUAUGAAUCCCUAUGACCCCAGAAGCUAAAAGAGGUUGUGGAAGAUCAGAUUUAAGUAUCAAGGGUGGGGGAGAUCUGCCCGAGCCCUCUUCAGAGCCCUGUUGGAAACCAAGGAAAACAAAUUAAGAAGAAAGAUUACAAAUCAGAGCAUACAACAGGAAGGCGAGAAAAGGAAAAUUGAUAUACCUGAAGCCUUGGAAGAAGGAGGAUGAGUUGUGACACUUGGAUGCUGAGAGGGAUCAUUCACACUUGCAAGUUGGGGGGUGUUGCCCGAACCUUCAACAGAAGCCUACAAAGGUCAAAAAAAAAAAAAAAAAGACAAGUGUCAGUAAUGUGGUUUGAGGAAAAUAGAAAAUAAAAAAGCUUAAGUAAUAGUAUACCUGAGGUUGGGAGAUAGGCACUUUUGAUGCCACGACUGUAUCAGUAGAAACAGCCCCAGCAGCCUGUGGGCUAGUCACUUCUGAGACCACUGGGAUAUCAGGGACUAUAGGCUCCCCGAAGGCUGUUGCAGCUAGUUGCUGUGACUCAUGCCCUGGGAAGGACUAAAGAAAGAAAAUGGGAUAAGUAUAAAAGAAAGAUAAGGCUUUAAACACAGAAUGUCAAGACAAAACACUCACCGAAUUACUGUUGUCUUCCACAAAGUGCAGCAUCUCCCCACUUGACGGGUCAAAUUGAGAAGUAGGAGCCACCACCAAAGAAGGAGAGGUUGAAGGAAUAGAAGAAGAACCUUGCCCGACUUGAGAAGCGAGCUCUCCAACCUUGGCCUACAAAAAGUAAAAGUGUUAAAGCUCUGAAAUUGGUGAAGAUACAAGUUUAAGGAAUGAAAAAGAGAUAUACCUUUGAAGGCUUAGCCCGAGAGGGGGAAACAUGCUUUGGUCGGGCAGAAGGAGAAGAAGCCUCGGGCUUAAUGGACCCCUCACCUCUAAUGUCCUAUAUAUAUAUAUAUAUAUAUAUAUAUAUAUAUAAAGAGGAGAAAGCAAGUGAGGAGAUAGUGCAGAUAUUGAGAGAGAGAAAUCUGAAGAAGAAAUGAUCUUUGAAACUAUACCUCCAAUUCCUUGAGGGUAGCAUCAAUAACGGGCUUGUCUUUUUUAUAUAACUUUGCUCCCAAUGGCUCCUCUCUUGAGACAACUGUGGGCUUCUUGGUAGCUUGAGGUCCUGAUUUCAAAGAAAAAGGAGUGGUUAGUCUACUGAGAAAGACUGAAACUAAAUAGGAAAAGGACAACUUACUAGAAGCCCUUUGUUUUUUCCUACCCGCCUCAGGAGCAUGAGCAACAGAAGACCUCGAAGAUUGAGAGGCUUUGGAAGCCUGUGCCCUUGUCUUUUUCUUAGUUGGAGUUGCUUGCAGACCAGGGAUGGAGAGUUGAGCUUGAGGUCGCUCUUCGGGCUCGGACUCUGAAGAUUCACUACUUGCAUUUGUUUCAAAAGUAUAACCAGCUUUGUCCAAAUCAUGCAUAUUUUCCUUCAUAUGUUUGUCCCAUACUAGAUUAACCCCCGUUUUCUGCAAUAUCGUAGAAAAAUCAAAUUCUGGAAAAAUUAUAUCAACUUCAACUUUAUCCCCGACUUGCAAAUUGAGCUUAUUGUUCGAUAAUUGUCCCUGCCAAAGAUAAUUGUCGUCAUAUAUUAGCUCCUCCCAAUCUUUAUUGCCCAUGCAGACCCGUAACUUAGUACGCUUGGUAUUAUUUAUAACAGUAAUGGCAAGAGGAAGAGGAGGAUGAACUCUAUUGCCUGAGCGGUUAUAGCAGAACAAAGUUAUCCCUUCAAAAUUAUGAUCAUUGUCACUUUGGCGAAUAUCAAAACUGACUUUAUUGCCAUUGUUGACAAACAUAAACCAAUUAGGAAGAUAAUUCCCAUGGAGGAAAAUGCCACCAAAUCCGCAAGAAGUCCAUCCCUAUAUAUACAAUGCAAGUGUCAUAUAUAUAUAUAUAUAUAUAUAUAUAUAUAUAUAUAUAUACAUGUACAUGUGCGUUUGUGUGUGCAUGCGCACGAUAGGAAGGAAAUGAGAGAGAGAGAGAGAGCGAUACCUACCUGUAGGAUGUUCUUCCUGAAAUCAGCAGUGAGAUUGGUGCAACUUUGCAUAUCAAUCCAUGUCAUGGAGUUUAAUGACUUAUCCAACCCUGGAACCUCAGUGAGUUUCGGAGAAUCACUUAAAUGCAGUUCUCUCAUAUUUGACAUUUUCGAAAAAUUGGGCAUUGUUUCCAAUGCAGAGCAAUGAAACGCAUACAGAAAUUUCAAAUUUGUUGGUAAACCAAGCAUUCUAUGAAGAUAUCUGCAUCCACUUAACCGUAGAGUUUCAAGCUUUGAAAGACCGCUGAGAUCGGGAAGGGUGUGAAAUUUAUUCCCUUGAAGAUCCAAUUUUUGUAAAGAAUUUAAACUCCCAAGAUCCUCAGGCAUUUCGUUAUCGGCUAAUUCGCAAAAUGAGAGAUCUAAUUCUCUUAAAGAGUGUAAGCCAUGUAACGAAUGGGGCAAAUGAAGAGGCAACCCCAACGGUUGCACUUGCAUAUUCAUUCGAGAUAAACGAGCGAGAUUCUUCAAUCUUGACCUUUGAGAUAAAUGAUUGAGACUCUUCGAUCCUAACCUUACCGAUAAACGAGUGAGUUUCUUCAAUCUUACCGUGGAAGGUGGUACUUGUCUUAUGCCUGUUAAAUCUGCUUCAAGUAUUCUCAAUGAGAUCAUCUCCCCUAAAUUCUCAUGCAAUUCUGUGAAUUUUGAACACCCAUUAAGACAAAGAGUCUCAACAGAUUUUGACUUGUAGAAAUCCCCAGGAAGAGAAAUAAGCAUGCAGCAUCCUUUAAGGUUCACCAAAGAAAGUCUUUUAAGAUGACCAAUGGAUGGGUGAAUCUCGGACAACCACUCACACCCUUCCAAUAUUAACUCUUCAAGAUCUGGGAGUUGUGAAAAGUCCGGUGAUUUUUUUAAGUGAAGGGAAUGACUGAGAAUAAUGAUUUUCAACUUCUGAAGAGACUGUUGCACAAAAUUAAAAGAAAAUUGAAAUUAAUAUGCAAAAGAAAGAUGUUAUAAAAAAAAGAGAAGAAAAUCUAAAAUCAAACAGAAACAGAACAUCAUCAUGUGUAAUUGAUUGUACCUUGGAACCCUCCCAAACUUGUACCAGUUUGCUGCCCUGCAUGUCUAAAACAACUAGUUGUGGUUGAUUUAAAAAGUUAUCUGGUAUGGAAUGCAAAGGGAAUCCACGCCAGCACAACCAUAUUAACUUUUUGGGAAGGUGUUUGUAGUCUCCAGUGAGGCCUACGUAGUUGAGCUGAAGCAAUCUCAGUUUCUUCAUAUUGGCAAAUGCUUCUGUACUGAAACUAGCAUUGUUAGAGCUGAAGCAAUCUAGAAUUAGUCCUUGAAUUUCUCCAGUUCCCUGUUAAACAAAAGGUUACAUAAUGAGUAAUAAAGAUGGGUAAUCUGCAUAUGAAAAAUAAUUUAAAAAAAUAAUUUGCAUAUGAUUGUCUUUGUAUGAUGCAUUAAUCUACAAAUUUAUUUAAAAAAAUACUUACAGACAUGUCUGUCAAUACAUCUGUUACUUCUUCAGGAUGCCACAAUCUACUCCAUUUUUCAGGGGAACUAGGGGAUUCUUCAGAAAUGAUUACUCUGCCCAUAUCUCGAAGCAAAUCAUGCAUCCUCAACUUGUCUUCAUCAACAGUUACAAGGCAACGUUCACAUAAGACACUAAUUCCUAUUUUUGCAGAAAAGCCACAUCCAUCUAGUAUUUUUGUGACAUAGUUCUUGUCCAUUCCAAUAAAGAAACAACAUAUAUCAAGAAAAAUAGCCUUUUGUAUAACAUCUAGCCCCACAAAACUUAUUCUGAGUUUUUUUAGAAUUUCUCCUUCAGGAAUUUUUUCCAAUUUCUUCAGUUGGCUUUUCCAUUCUUCUAAGGCUCUAUCAACUAGUAAAGAGCCUAAGACUUGUAGUGCCAAUGGCAAACCUCCACAAUAAGAAAUUACAUUUUUUGACAGUUCAUAAUAUCCUUCAUCUGGACAACUAUUCUCAAAAGCAUGCCAACUAAAGAGCUCAAGAGCUUCUUCAUCAUUCAUUUUAUGAGCCUCAUGUACCUUGUCCACCUUCACUUGCUUUAGUAAAUGCUCAUUCCUUGUUGUAAUGAUAAUUCUACUUCCCGGACCAAACCGAUCCCGAGUCCCAACAAUUGCAUCUAGUUGGUCAAACUUAUCUACAUUGUCAAUAAUGACAAGUACCCUUCUAUGUUGGAGAUGUUGUUUUAUAACACUGACCCCUGCAUCAACGCUGCUAAAAUUUUGAGACUUGGGAGGUUGUAAGAUGUCAAAAAGAAACUUUUCUUGCAAAUAGACCAAACCAUGUUGGCUUGCAAUGUCACGAACGUCAACAAGGAAACAUUUGGAUUGGAAGUUACGAUGAAUUUGGUUAUAAAUGGCUUUGGCAGCUGUUGUUUUGCCCAAUCCACCCAUCCCCCAAAUUCCAACCAUGAGAACAUCAUCUGAUCUACCACUUGAAAGAUCAUUGAUAAUAUCUUGAAUGCGAGAAUUGAUUCCAACUGGGUGCUUGGCCACAUGUAAUUCGGUUGUGUUGGGGAGCAAUUCCCAAAUAUUCUCAUAAAUAAUUCUCCUAAUAAGCUUUGCUUCAUGCCUGAAAACUCAACUAGUAAGUAAUACAAAGGGGGGUGUAGACUUGCAGUGACUUACUAUUUGCAAAAAUUAAUUAAUCAGAAGAAAAUAUAGACUUAUUUUAUUAACACCCCACAUAUUGUUGAAUACACCUCACAUACUUAAUACACCUCAUAUUUUCUCUUUCAAUUAAAAAAUUUAUUAAUCUACCACCCAUAUUUUUUCAUAAUAUCCUCACAAUCCACACUCUCAAUAUACAUGCUACAUUUUCUACGUACACCUCACUCUCUUCACAUCUUAGGUUCAAAUACAUAUAUUAUGUAUUUAUUUUAAUUUUUUACACCUCACACUAUUCACAUCUUCAAAUUAUGAGGUUGUUUUGAUGUUGUUUCUCCUUAUUUUCAAAGAACGAAAAUUUAGAUUUGAGAAUUCAUGAUUGACGAAAAAAAAUUUGAAAACCACACGAGAAACAUGAAAACAUUAUUCAUAUUUUUUUGAAACGUCGAUUUCAUGUUCCAUUUGUUAAAAAGAAAUUUUUUUAAUCAACGUGUUUUUAGUUCCAUUGAUUAGAGUUUUGUUUUACAAUGGAUGGUGAGAGUGAUUUUUAGAGUUAAAUAAGAUAAAUAAUCUUAGGAUAUACACGUUAAAAGUGAUUUGGGAUAUAUUUAGAAAUUUUUUAUUUUUUUAAACCUAUGAGGUCAAAAUUGUCAUUGCAUAUGAGGAUAUAAAUUAUUUAAUAUUAAAUUUUAAUGUGGGUGUAUUCAAUAUUAUGUGGAGUGCUAAUAAAAAAAAAGCUUUUUCUUUGUAGUGUCCAUUAAAACGUUUCAAAUAUGGAAAGGCGGAUCAUAAAUAACAACAAUAUUAACCAAGUAAUAAAGGAAAUUAAAGUUCAAUAAAAUAAAGGGAUUUUUGAGCAUUAAACCUUGAAAAACAUAGAAAUUUAAAAAAAAAAUGGUGUUAGAUUACAUAUUAAUUUUAAACCUUUGAAGUGUACUUUUAUUAAAAUUCAUAUUAAAAUUUUGUUAUUUAAUGUCUCCAUAUUAAAAAUUACAAAGGUGUACAAAAAUGAUUGUACCGAUACAUAUUAAAUUGACUUGUUUGUACCGAAAUGUCUGUGCCUAAAUGUUUAUAACGAAAUAUAUUAUAAUUUAUUAGUAUGCCAAAAUGUUUGUACCUAAAUAUAUGUACCGAACUAUACUAUAUUGAAUUUGUGUACUUAAAUGUUUAUAACGAAAUAUAUUAUAAUUUAUUAGUUCUUCAGCCAUUGCUGUGUCAAAGAAUCCAGUUUUUAUCAAAGGUUGAAACAUAUGAAGAAGAAGUUUCAUUUCAUCAGGGAUGCAAUUCAAGAAGGGAUCACUGAUUUGCAAUACUGCAAGAGUGAAGAGCAGCUUGCUGAUAUCUUCACCAAACCAUUGGUAAAUGACAGGUUCAAUUGCUUGAGAAACAAGUUAGGAGUGAUUUCACUUUAGACCCUAGAAGGGAUUAUUAGUUGUUAAGGUCUAAACUGACUUAUUUAGCCUUAAUUAAUAGUUUGUUGAUGUGGCAAGAGGUUGUUAAUGUUCAAAGGCUAAGAUUAAUUCAUUUUCUCUUAGGCUCAGAUGUGAGCAAGUGGCAAGGUCUCACAGGGCUUUGUAAUAUACGGUUGGAUGAGCUCAUACGUUCUUGUAUAUUCCCUCAAGCCUAACGGCUAGUUUUGUACUGUUGUGAUGAAUGAAUAUACACACACAGAAAGCAUGCUUUGUGCUCUACGAGAUAAGAUCCAAAGUUUUGCAUCACCUUCCUAAUCCACCACUAUUCCGCAUACUUGGCUUCUGAGCAUCAACUUGUGCCCAAGCUUUAGAAUUAAAAUUUUGGGGAUACUCACUUCCGAGACAUCUUUUUCCCUUGAAAUUUCCAUCACUUCUUCUCAAAAUCAUCCUAGCAAACAAUCCCUUUUCUAAUUCAAAUUGGCGCGGUGUUUCGGUUGGGGUAUGAAGGGGUGGUGGGUUGUGGCGCGGAGGAGGGUGCAGUGGAGAGAGUAAGGGGAGGAAAGAGGAUGUAAAAUAUACUUUUAUCAUGUGGGCUAUCUUCCAAUUGCCUUAUCAUCAUAGAGACUAUUUAUCUGAUUAGGCCUAUGAUGAUUAGUGUAUUUAUCUGAUCAGCUUCUCUCAACUCCGACACCACCUAACGGUUCUUGUUGAGGCCAAAUCUUCAAACAAAAGGUAUUCAAUUUUAGGGAUUUAGGAAGAGUAACUUAGGGUUUUUUAGAUUUAGGGAAUUUGGGUUAUUGAUUUGCUGCUAGGGUAUAAGUUCUAAAUAUUUAGAUUUUGUGCUAUUCGUGAAGAUGUGAUAAAGUUUUCAUUUCAAUUAUAGAGAAGAAAAUGGGUGGAGAUGCAUAGAGAAGUGUGUAGAUUAUGUAUUGGUUUUAGAUUCAAUAGAUGGGACAGAGAGCAAAGAAAGUAUGGGUUGCAGAUUGUGUGUGGAGAUGCAAAGAAAGUCUAUCACUACAGAAUUUGUGUUUGUUUCUUUCCAUCUGAUUCAAUUCAAGUUUUUAUUUAUUUAUUGUGUUGGAUAAAAAAUUCAUGUUUUGACCAAAAAAUUAAUUUUUCCAUCUCAUUCAGUUCAAGUUAAUUUUUCCAUCUACUUCUUCAUUGGAUAAAAGGUUCAUGUUCUCACUCGGCAAGGAGAUAAUACAUAGAUACAGUAAUUUGUUCCAAAGGGCCCGUGGACACGGCUAGAACCGGCCCAUUUGAAAUGGGUCGGGUAAGGUCCGGUUCCAAAUUCAAAAAUUCCAUUACCCGUCCCGGCCUGCCAUGUUGCAUUUUUAAACGGGCUAGGUCCAGUUCCUCUGAAUUUGGGCCCGACCCGUCCCGUGCCCACCCCUAAUAUUAACUACAUUAAGGAGAGGGAGUGGAUUUAACCUCACAAUAAGCUAGCAAUAAUGUGGUUCAAAUUCGUUUUUGGCGAGAAUCGAACCUAAGAAUGUAUUACUAAGUGAUGAACAUUUAAAUUGAACCAAGGGACUAAACUCCAUUUUGAAUCUUUUACCAGACAUUAAUAUAAACUUUAUUUUAAUUAAGAAUUAAAAUCUAGUUCUACAUAAAAUAAAUGGUUACCCGUUGUCAAUGUUUUUGAGAUCUUGACCGGACAAGUUUGCAGCCUGAGUAAGAGCCUCUCUCCAUUGCUUCACCUUUUUCUUCUUGUGUUCGCGUUUUAUGUCAUCUUUUUCUUCACGGAUAUCCUCUUCGUACUUCUCAAAUAUUGGGGCUAAACUACCUUCCUGCUUCCUGAUGUCUGAAGCUUCAACAUGAUAGAAUAUUGGCAAAACAUGUCGCCCCAGUUGGGAUCUACACUCCAUGAUCUUCACCAGCUCGUCGAGACACCAACUUGAAUCCGCAUAACUCUUUGAGAACACAAUAAUAGAGAUCCUUGACUCUUCGAUUGCCCGGAACAGUUCCUCUUUUAUUUCUUCCCCUCUUUUCAGAUUGUCAUUAUCAAUAAAGGCUUCGUAGUCCUUUUCUUUCAGUGCUGCAUGGAGAUGGGCCGUGAAGCCCUUGCGUGUGUCUUCGCCUCUGAAGCUCAAGAACACGUCGUACUUCCAGAGUUUUGAGGAGGAUGAUGAAGAGGAGGCUCCGUGGGCUGUCAUGGUGGUAUCCACCAUUAUCGCACUGCAGUAGUUCAGCUCACGACCAAAAACAAAUGGCAAUGGUUGUUUUUGUGUUGCCGAAUGGACGAGGCUGAAGUUUAUACAAAAAUGCCUAGUUAAGCUACUUCAGUCUACAAAAACAAAAAGUCAUCCAUAAUAAUAUAAAUCUUGGCAGCUAAAGUUGAGAAACGACCGAGUCCUGGUUAGGGGAAGGGAAAGAGGCAGGAAAAAGAUCAGGAAAGAAACAAACGCAAGUUGUAGAGACUAUGUAUUAUAAUAUAACAACAGCUAACAAUAUACACCACAGCAAGCAAUUAAUGCGAUUCGAUCCUUUUCUGGACGGAUUUCCCAAAUAUUUCAUGGAAAAAAAAAGAUUAAUUAACGAUUUAAUCAAGCAAUUGGAAACUUUAGCAUAAAAAUACGAAAAUAGAAUGAGGAACACAAAAUAGGGAGAGAAAUAAAGACCUUGAUUCGAAGAGAAAUGGUGAAGCCCUAAAUCGAGGUGCUUGGUGCAGAGAAGAGAGGCGAGGAGGGAGACGGGGAGAGCAAAAGUCGAGAAGGUGGGGUUUAGAGUCUGAAACGGUGGGGAAGCAUCUAUAGCAAAGCUGGGUCGACAUAUAAGAAAGGGCAAAGUUGAAAUAACAAAAAAGAAGCAGGGGUGAAAAUGGAAGAACACUGUUAAUGAACAGUGUUUUUGUGUGUUGGGUUUUAGCAUAUGUAUAAUGUCUUAUAAUAUAACAACAGCUAACUAUAUACACCUCAGCAAGCAAUUAAAUAAUAAUGUUAGAAAGUUCCAGCAGCUAGUGGUUAAUUACUAAUUAUUUUAGAAGUCAAGUUGUAAUUAAUUAGUAAUUUGCAUAAUUACUCUAGAGAAGUUGGUGAAGGUGUAACGGGAUUGGGAAUCUGAGAAAUUACAGCAAGCUUGUUGGUGAGACGCUUCUUGCAGAUAGUGUAUCUAGUGAUGGAGGGAAAUAUAAUGUGUAGAGGAGUGGUGAAUUGGACAUGGGACUCCGGUUGGAAGAAAGGAUUUUCGAGAAAUGAAGCGGAGGAAGUAGUGAACGAGAAACACAAGUGAUUACACAAAUUACGAUAAUCUGUUCUAAUUUACAAAGAGGGAUCAAACUAAGUUGCAAUAGGUAAAUUGAUUAAAAAAAAGGCAGCCUAGAAGAUAAAGAAAUUGAGGGUCACCGGAGUAAACGUAGAAGUACUAGGUGUAUUAGUGGUCUCAUAAAUCAUUCAAUCAUAUCGAAUUGCAAUUCCAGUGUAUUUUCUUUUCUCUUAGGAAAAGUCGCACAAACUCGAAACUAACCAACAAUUCGUUAAUUAUAGAUUCUUGAAGAAAAUCAAGAACCACAACAAAAAGGAGAUCCAAACAAGCUAAUAAAACUAUUUAUUAAAUCCCAUAAAAUAAAACUUUUCAUUAAAACCCAUAAAAUAAAAAGAACAACAAAAUGCAGAAUGCAUAAAGAAAACCAAAAUUCAUACUCUAAAUCAAAAGAAUUGACAGCUCUUACGGAGAGUGGAAAGAACAAAUCAUUUUCAGGUACAAUCAAAUCAAAACUAUCUUUCACCUUCUACUAUCCGUAGAAAGACAACAAAGCUUAUGUGCCAAAAUGCAGCACAUACUGUGUUAAGAUACGGGUAUCCGACUUUUCGAGUAGGCUUCAAACUAAAUUAGGGAUGACAAUAGAUCGUUUUUAGGACAUAAAUGUUAUAUCUAUUCAUAUAACCAUGAAAAUUAACCAUAUUCAUAAUCACAAAUUAACCAUUGGAGAUUAUCUAUAGCAUACUCACCGAGUAACGGAUUCUUAUCACUUAACGGUUAUAUUCAUCUUUAUUAAUGCAAAAAAAUUAUUAGUUAAAGAAGCAAAUACAACAGCCACUAUGAAAGAAAAACAAAACAAAUGAUCAAAAAAUUUCAAUAAUUGUAAAUAUACGUAUAUAUUAUAUUAAUUAUGUUAUGUUAUAUUAUGUUAUAUUAUGUUAUAUUAUAUUAUAUAUUUCCGGACGGAUUUGGGGAUGGGUAUCAUUGGGGAUCCUUAUUAAUAACCAUGUUGAUAACCAUAGCUAAGAGCAACUCCAGCGGAGGCUGGUUGCUCGAGCGACAGGCGAGGACAAAGGGCCCGAGGGCCGAUGGAGAGAGGUCCAGCGGUGUGGAGGCCGAGCGACGGUGGGAGCCCGAGCGAAGGUGGGGUGGGGAGUCGACGGGCCUAUGGCUCGAGGGCUUUGCAAUUUUUUAUUUUUUUUGUGUCAGAGAGAGAGAGCUUUUGUAAUUUUUUAUUAUUUAAACAAACAAAAAAAACUAUUAUUUUAAUUGUUUAUUGCCAGGUGGAGGGUUCCAAUGGUGGAGAUGUAAAUGGCAAUUACUGUUCAUUAAUGGUAGUUACUAUUCAUUUAAGGCAGUUACUGUUCAAUAAGGUGGAUUGAAUAGUUGAUUGUCAGGGGGAGGGCUCCAUGGGUGGAGUUGCUCUAAACGGGUGAUAUUGAAAUACCUAAACCCAAGUCAAGCUCCUUCAGUCAACAAAAACAAAAAUUUAUGAUAUAAUAAUGUUUGCGUAUGACUUGAGAAACCACCUACUGCCAGCCUUGAUGUUGCAGUAAAAGACAAAGAGAGAGUAAAGUAAUGGAAAGAAAUGAACUCGAAAGGACAAAGAUAAUUCAAAAGAUUCUUGGCCGUGAUUACAGCUAUUCAAACAUCAAUAAUGCAUUAUUUUAGAUUAGAAAUUAAAGCAUUUGAGAAAUAGCAUGACAACAACUACAUAAUUAUAAACAAAAGUGAUUAGAGAAAAGACCAAAUGUGAAAGAAUAAUUAAAAAUGCAAGUGGCUCUUUAUUAUAGUGGUAAAAAUGAGUUAAGCCUUUACAUAAUGACGUAGGUUCGAAUCCUGUAGGCGGCUAAUUUAACAUCCAAUCUAAAAUAAUCUAUCAUUUGACACAAAAAAAAUAUUAAAAACAAUUAUUCAAGGUAAGCGGUAAGUUAUUUACAAAAUUUAAACUUAAGACCAUGAUGUACUAGAUUAUUAUAUUACCUAUUUAGUGGUGCUCUACUGUACUUAUUAAGAAUGGACCACUUUUAGGCCCCACUGCUAAAAACUAUUGCAAAAUGCGCAUUAGGAUUAAACAUCUGUUAGCUAUCUUUCCUUAAUAGUCAAAUGAACCAUAUAAUACACCCAAAUGGAUGCCAGAUAUGCAUAUAUAAACAAGAGUUUUUAUCAUAAAAUGGUCACUGAGAUUGAUCAAACUACUUCAGUUUACAAAAACGAAAAGUCAUCCAUAAUAAUAUAAAUCUUGGCAUCUAAAGUUGAGAAACGACCGAGUCCUGGUAAGGGGAAGGGAAAGAGGCAGGAAAAAGAUCAGGAAAGAAACAAAAACAAGUUGUAGAGACUGUCUUAUAAUAUAACAACAUCUAACUAUAUACACCUCAGCAAGCAAUUAAAUAAUAAUGUUAGAAAGUUCCAGCAGCUAGUGGUUAAUUACUAAUUAUUUUAGAAGUCAAGUUGUAAUUAAUUAGUAAUUUGCAUAAUUACUCUAGAGAAGUUGGUGAAGGUGUAACGGGAUUGAGAAUCUGAGAAAUUACAGCAAGCUUGUUGGUGAGAGGCUUCUUGCAGAUAGUCUGUAUGCAGUGAUGGAGGGAAAUAUAAUGUUUAGAGGAGCAGAGGCUGCUCGUUGUAAUAUGUUUAGAGGAGUAGAGGAGCAGAGGCUGCUCGCAACGAGCAGCCUCUAGGUGAGAGGCUUCUUGCAGAUAGUCGAGCAGCCUUGCAACGAGCAGAGGCUGCUCGCCGAAAGCAUAGCCUCUAGUCGAGCAGCCUCGCAAUGAGCAUCGCCUCCAACCGAGCAUUCUCGUAACGUGUGAUACCUCUAGCCGAGUAUUGCUUUAUGUUGAGCAUUGCCUUGGGUUGAGUACUGGUUCAAGACAUUUAGCCACCUCGGCCCUUACAUGGAUUGGAUUUGAAGUCUUCAGCCAAAAGACUCUCUUGACUGAAGACUUGGAGGACUACUGUUGGUACCACAUAUAUUGGGCCUCAGUCCUUGACACAUUGGGCCUCAACAUUUGGGCCUCAUUACCCAGCCCAUAAUUAUGUAAAAGGAGGAGCCUCUUAUUCUAUAAAAGGGGACUCCUCCCCUCUUCAUACAUCGGACUCUGUGAACCCAACAGAGGGCAAUACCCUCACAAACUCAACAACACUCUCUUUCUUUGGGGGACUCCCCCUCACCUUUGUAAUCCAUACAUACAGUCAGAGAAAUACAAUCAGUGUGGACGUAGCCCAAAUAUUAGGGUGAACCACGAUACAUCUUGUGUUAUUUACAUUUUCUGCAGAUUCACAGUUGGAUUUACGUUGUUCCAAGACCUCCGAUUUUGUGCAUCAACAUCGCUCAUCCCAAAGACCCUUCAAUUUGGUAUAGUAAUCACCAAUAUUCAUAUUGCCUUGAACGCAUCCAUGUAUCUCUUGUUCAAUAUGAAAGAGAUGUACGUUAUUCACAUGUGAAAAACGUUCCUUCAAAUCAUCCCAGAUAUCAUGAGCAAUGUUAUUGUAAAUCACACUUGCUCUAAUAUCUUGGGAGACCGAGUUGAGAAGCCAUGACUUGACAAGAUUAUUGCUGCGUGUCCACCGUUGAAGUUAUGUGGCAGAAGUUCCUCUUGGCCUUUUGAUGGUCCCAUCAAUAAAACCUUCCUUAUUUUUAGCACUGAGAGCCGUGAUCAUGGCACGACUCUAGGUUGGAUAGUUUUCUUCAUUUAGUUGUUAAGUAACUAAGAUAACUCCAGGCUGAUCAGAGUGAUGGAGAUAAAGCGGAUCACUGGGAUCAUCAUACUUGCUCAUCUCAGGCUUGGCUAAGGAUUUGGUUAUGGUGGUAUCUUCGAGCGCCAUGGAUGUCGGCGAGAAGAAAUAUGGUUGUUAGGGUUUCUUGCUGUGUUGUAAACGGCAAAGAAAUUGGUUAUCAGAGGCCCAGAAGCUCUAGUACCAUGUAAAGAAUUCGAUAAUUGUAUAUAUGAAUUCAUUCACUUUACAAUAGAUCAAUACAAGGAUAUUUAUACAAUACAAUGAUCAAUUAAGAUCCUACAAUCAUGCCUACAUAAGUUGUUCCUUAUUCUACACAUCCAUAUAGAGGGAAAGCACUCAAUCUAGGUGAUUGAUAUCAUAUUACAUCAAAUUAGCCCUAACAUGCUUUACUUUCCUCAACAAAUGCAAGUAGCUAUUUACCACAAUGGUGAAAAUGAGUUAAGCCUUUGCAUAAUAGUGUGGGUUAGAAUCCUGUCGGCGGCUAAUUAACAUUUAAUAUAACAAAAUCUAAUGUUUGACAAAUAAAAAAAAUAUUAAAAACAAUUAUUCAAUGUAAGCGGUAAGCCAUUUACAAAAGGGAAAUUUUAUUUAAACCCAUUUAACCUCUUUUUACACCCAACUUAAAUUUUAAAUGUUAAUUGUUUAUUUUACCCUAUUGCAUAAUUACUAUUGAGUACAAAAUGAAAUUAAUAAUAAAACUCAAAUUUAUCAAUAAACCCAAACACUAUAAUUAAACCCUACGAUCACUCUUUGUUUGUCCUACGUUCAUCUUGGCUAAAACCCUAAUAAUUGUCAUGGAGAAAAAUAAGUUUUUUUUAUUGAUGGAUUGUGAUUUUGAAGUUUUGAAUCCUCCAACCAAGGUAUAACUCAAUUUAUGAUUUUUUUUUAUCCGAUCGUAUUGUUAACUACCUCUCUAAUUCGAGUUUUCCUUUCUCACCGUACUGAUAAGAGCGAUUUCAUCCACUCAUAUAUCACCCCAAGUCUACGGUAUAUAAUAUAGCAACACUCCUUAAAUUAUUGAAAAUUGAAUUAGAACAAGGCUGCAAUUGCAAUAUGAUAUGAUGGAUAACCAAAGUCAAUGGAUGAGCCAACCACUGCCUUAUCAAAUCACUUUCAUAUUUUCGUUCUCCUUGCAAUCCAGAAAGUCGUCUGCAACCUAACCAGAAAUAUUGCACACAUAAUUCUAAAAUGUUCAUAGUUUCAUGUAAAGCACAUAUUUUGUGCAUGUAAUACGCCUGCCAGAAAAGGCAGGGUACAAAAAUGGCAGAAUUAGUUGUAUGCUUUGUGAUCGAUAAGUUAAUUUCACUGCUCAUCACCACAGUAUCACAUGAAUGAUGGGUCAACUGAAUGCCCAUCUUUAGGAUAAAGCCUAUUUAGAUAUUAACUUAUGAAGCAAUUGUUGAAGAAAUGUGUGUAAAAAUAAAUCCACAUAUUGAAUUGGGUUUAUGAGGAUAUAUUAGGUAUUAAAUAUGGGUUUAAAGAGAUAUUAAUAGUUUAGUUAAAAAUCAAAUGGGUGCAAAGAGUAUGUUGGGUGUAGAAAUAGGUUAAAUGAGUUUAAAUAAAAUUUCCCUUUACAAAAUUUCAAGUUAAGACCAUGAUGUACUAGAUCAUUAUAUUACGUAUUUGGUGGUGUUGUACUAUACUUAUUAGGGAUUUUAAGGAGGCAUAUGAGGGUGGACCAUAUAAUACACCCCAAAUGGACCACUUUUAGGCCCCACUGCUAAAAACUAUUGCAAAAAUGCGCAUUAGGAUUAAACGACUAUUAGCUAUCUUUCCUUAAUAGUCAAAUCAACCAUACAAUACACCCAAAUGGAUGCCAGAUAUGCAUAUAUAAAUAAAGAUUUUUAUCACAAAUGGUUACUGAGAUUGAUCAAACUACUUCAGUCUACAAAAACAAAAAAUCGUCCAUAAUAAUAUAAAUCUUGGCAUCUAAAGUUGAGAAACGACCGAGUCCUGGUAUGGGGAAGGGAAAGAGGCAGGAAAAAGAUCAGGAAAGAAACAAACACAAGUUGUAGAGACUAUGUCUUAUAAUAUAACAACAGCUAACUAUAUACACCUCAGCAAGCAAUUAAAAAAUACAGUUAGAAAGUUCCAGCAGCUAGUGGUUAAUUACUAAUUAUUUUAGAAGUCAAGUUGUAAUUAAUUAGUAAUUUGCAUAAUUGCUCUAGAGAAGUUGGUGAUGGUGUAACGGGAUUGAGAAUCUGAGAAAUUACAGCAAGCUUAUUGGUGAGAGGCUUCUUGCAGAUAGUCUGUAUGCAGUGAUGGAGGGAAAUAUAAUGUUUAGAGGAGUGGUGAAUGGGACAUGGGACCCCGGUUCGAAGAAAGGAUUUUCGAUAAAUGAAGCGGAGUAAAUAGUGAAUGAGGAACACAAGUGAUUACACAAAUUACGAUAAUCUGCUCUAAUUUACAGAGAAGGAUCAAACUAAGUUGCAAUAGGUAAAUUGAUUCAAGAAAAGGCAGCCUAGAAGACAAGGAAAUUGAGGGUCACCGGAGUAAACGUAGAAGUGCUAAGUGUAUAAGUGGUCUCACAAAUCAUUCAAUCAUAUCGAAUUGCAACAAUCUGUGAUAAAUUUGUAUAUGCUAAUAAAUAAUAAAAUGUAAAUAGUGUAUGAACAAUGAAAUAAUAUUUAACAGAAAUAUUGAAGAUCAAAGCUUGCGUACCGCAAUGUCCUUGAAACAGAAAUUUCGCCCCUACUCAGUGCUUGUAGUUUUACGGACGUCUGCUUCAUCAAGAUUCAACGAUCAAGUCAGAAUUCCAACACCGGAAAACUUGACUUCUGGCGAAUUUCUGUGUGGUUCUCACAGAAAUGAUAUUUGUGAUUGUAGAAGAAGAAUGUUAAUUUUCUAUGUUCUAAAUGCCAUACAGAUAGAUGUAUAUAUAAUAUGAUUAUGCCUGUUCGCAACAGGUAUGAGGAAGGGAUGCAUAUGUUUAGAGACAUCUUCUCAGAUGGGUGUUUUCUUUCUGUGUUCUUUCACACUUCAAACUUCAUCUGAAAGGAUGAGUCUGUUGAUAAAAUAAUAAAAAAUUAAUUAAUUAAUUAAAUUUAAAAUUAAUUAAAAAUAAUUAAUUAAAUCCGAAAAUAAUUAAUCAAAAGAAUUGAUUGUUCUUAUGGAGAGUGGAAAGAACAAGGGGCUUUUAGAUCCAGGUCCAAAAACAUAUAGUAUUUUUAGGAGUAAGUUCAGUUAUCUAAUUAUUCAUGGUAAGCGGUAAGCCAUUUACAAAAUUUGAACUUAAGACCACAAUGUACUAGAUCAUUAUAUUACCUAUUUAGUGGUGCUCUACUAUACUUAAUAGAGAUUUUAAGGAUGAAUAUGAGGGUGGACCAUAUAAUACACCCUAAAUCGACCACUUUUAGACCCCACUGUUAAAACUACUGCAAAAUGCGCAUUAGGAUUAAACUUCGAUUAGCUAUCUUUCUUAAUAGUCAAAUGAACCAUAUAAUACACCCAAAUGGAUGCCAGAUAUGCAUGUAUAAACAAGGGUUUUUAUCACAAAUGGUUUCUGAGAUUGAUCAAACUUAUCAUUUUGGUCCCUUACAUUCAAAAUCAAUCAAUGUCAUCCUUAACAUUCACUAUCGCACAUCAAUUUGGUCCUUAUGUUAAUAUUCCGUUAAGGGAUACUUUGGAUACGGUCCCUAAUCCUUAACAUUCUUUGACUAAAACCUUAAUGAUAUUCAAAGUUUGAUCAAAAUCCCUUGAUUUUGUACACCUCAUUAUAUUACAAUUAAUAUUUAUGUUUUUAUAGUUUUGACAUUAAUUGUUUGAUAUUUUAUGAGAGUUAUAAUCCUAUAAAUUUAAAAUCCCUCGUUAUAAUACUAUUAGAAACGGUUACAACAAAAAAAAUCAAACAUUUUGAUUGAAUAAAUGGAUAAAAACUAUGUAAAAAUAAGAAAUAAUAAAUGGCAAAAGAAUGUAUCCAUAGUGUUAAAAAAAAUUGGUACAUAUCACAUAUAACAAAGUGGUACAUUAAUAAAGAAGAAUGGGUACAUUAUAAAUAAAUUAGGGUAUAGAUAAAAGAUUAAAAAAUUAUGAGUACAAAUGAAUUUUUAAAAAAUAUAGGCACUAAAAGAAAUUAAUACACUGGUACAAAAUAAAACUAAAAAGAAAAUAGUACAAAUUUAAAAAAAUGUAGCAAAUUAAAAGUGGGUACAAACUAAAAAUAUAAAUAUAUGAUACAAAGUUUAGGCAUAAAGCAUAAACAUACCAUAUGUAAUUUUUCUAUUAUUGAUUAAAUAUACAAUGUCACGUGAUGGUAUACACAUGAGUACAAGCACAAAUAAAACUUUAAAAAAUAUGGGCACAAAAAGAAACUAAUAUAUGGGUACAAAUUAAAAAUGAAAAAAAAAUUGGUACAAAUUAAAAAUAAAAAUAUAUGAUAAAAAAUUUAGCCAUAAAUAUAAAUAUACUAAUUGUAACAUUUUUAACACUAAAGGAAUAUAUUUUAAAAUAAAAAUAUUUUAUUAUUCAAAUAAUUAAUGAUGUUAUUAACAUCCAAGGACCUUGAUCAAAAAUUGAAAAUAAAUAGGAUUCUAAUCAAUGGAGUAGCAAAAAGAAGGAUGUGAACCUAAUUUCUCAUUCCGUUAACUAUUAUGUUAGUUUGUACGUAGGACCCACAAAUCCAAUGAAAUUGUGACACGUGGAUUACACAAAAUAAGGGUUUUUAUCGCAUAUGAUCCAUGACAUUUAUCAAACUCCUCAUUUUGGUCACUGAGUUUCAAAAAUCAAUAAAUUUGGUCCCUUACUUUCAAUACCACAUGUCAAUUUAAUCAUUCCGUUAAAGUUUCGUCAAUAUUUUUAUCUCACUAAUCCAAUCAUAUGACAUCACGUGGAUUAACUAUAAGAAACAAUUUUUUUGAGAUUUAAAACUUAAAGUAAAAUAAGAAACUAAAAAUCAAAACUAAAAGAAAAAAAAAAGUCAUCGUCGUCUUCAUCAGGAUAUCUCAAAAAGAAAAUGAAGGCACCAUGACACCACUAAAGUACUUAAUUGGCCUCCUUAACUCACUCUUCAUUCUCUAUAGUUAGUUAUAAUCAUAUCAAAUUUGAAUUGAACUUGGAUUUGAUUUUAUCAAAUUUAGAUUGAGUUUUUUUUCUUCAAUUGGGAUGCAAGAAAUGUCAGUGCGGAAUACUCGUUCGUCGGUUCACUUUGAAAAAAAUAGUUUCUGAUAAUUAAUCCAAGUGGAGCCAUAUGGUUGGAUUAAUGGGACCACAUCAGCACACAAACGAAAACUAUUGACGAAAUUUUAAAGGAAAUACUAAAUUGAUGUGUGGUAGUGAAAGUCAUGGACCAAAUUUAUCGCUUUUUGAAACUCAGGGACCAAAAUGAGGAGUUAGAUCAAUGUUAGAGACCAUUAACGAUAAAAACCCUUAUUUUGUGUAAUCCACAUGUUACUAUUUCAUUGGACUUGUGGGUCCCACAUACAAACUAAUAGAAUAGUUGACAGAAUCUUAACGGAAUGACUAAAUUGAUAUGCGGUAGUGAAUGUUAGGGACGAUAUUGAUUUAUUUUGAAAGUGGGAUCAAAAUGAUGAGUUUGAUCAAUCUUAUGAACCAUUUGUGAUAAAAAUCCUAUAAACAAUGUUUUGAAAGGACGAGGAGCUAACAGUGUCUUUUUAUAUGACUUGGACUUGGAGUUCUGGUUGCAAAUUGCAUGCAAUGACUUCUUGGCGGGCAAGUUGCCAAAUCAGUUCGAGCAAUUAUAAGGAAGAUAGAUUUCCAAAUGCAAGAUUCGACACUACUACAAAGGGCCUUAUAGUGUUAGUGAGUGAUGUCGAUUUAAUAUAAUAUAGUGGCGGACAAGACAUUUAUGACACUUACGAAACAUGACGUUGGAUUUACUGUCGCUUGUAAGCAUCAUAAACUGUCUAUGUCGCUUUUAACCAACGUAAACAUUUAAUGUCGCUUAUGACCGACACACAUUUUAAUAAUUUUUAAAUAAUGGUGUCGUUUUAAAAAAAAUAGUGUCGCUUUUAAGCGAUAUAAAGUAUUAGUGUUGCUUCUAGCCGACACUAACUAUUGUUUUUAAAUAUUUUAAAGCUUGUGUGGGUUCUGAGCGACAUAGAUUUUAGUUUUUUUUUUAAUAUUUUGAAACCCCGAUGUUGGUUGAAAGUGUAACAUCCCACAUCGCCCAGGGGAGUGAUCAUUAAAUGUAUAUUCCCAUCCCUACCUAGCACAAGGCCUUUUGGAAGCUCACUGGCUUCGGGUUCCGUCUGAACUCUGAAGUUAAGCGAGAAUGUGGCCAGAGCACUCCCAUGAUGGAUGACCCACUGGGAAGUUGUUCGUGAGUUCCCAGAAACAAAACCGUGAGGGCGUGGUCAGGACCCAAAGCGGACAAUAUCGUGCUACGGUGGUAGAGCAGGCCUGGGAAGUGGUCCGUCCCAGGGUCGAGAUGUGACAGUAAGCGAUAGAUUGAUGGUACUCUCCCACGUGUUUUCUUCUGUCGUUUUCGUGUAACACUCGUUAAGAAAAAUAUAUUUUUUUUCUUAAAUUUGCACAUAACACACAUUGCCACAUAAAUAUUACUUCAAAACAUUAAAACACAUUUGUCAUUUAAGUACUACAUCUACACUUGAAAAUAAAGGUCUAAUAAACAAACAUCCAUACACUACUAGUCUAUUACAAAAUGUUAAAUGUGCAAGGAUAUACAAAAUGAAAGAGUUUUUUUUUUUCAAGGUUGUGAAGCCUUUCGCAAAAGUUUAAAUCUUGCCAAUGGAACUCAAAGCUUGCAUGUUAUUGCUUUUACAAAAUCCUCAAUUUUCAUUGAUCAUCAUGACAUAAGAUUUUGUGGUAUCCAUUUCUGUAAAUAUUUUAAAUUGACGAUCACAUUAGUUCAUUGUAUUCAUAUAGGAUCAAGGAGUGUAGCUGUAAAAAAUCAUCAAAAUCAGAGUUAAAAUAACCGUUAAAUCGUGAUUUUUCGUUUAUAACUGUCGAAAAGUUUUGUCUCGUUACUUGAUCUCUAAAUAUUUAUUUUUGCGAUUUUUGGCGUAUACUAUCUCGAAGUAUAUACAAACAUGUUUGACGGUUGGAUAGUUGAAACUAGUUUAGUAAAAUGCGUAUCCUAUCAAAACAAUAGAUUCACUAACACUUAAGAGCUUAUUCGUACUUUCAUUAAGUAUAACAUAAGAUUUUGUGAUAUCCACUAGUGUAAAUAUUUUAAAUUGAAGAUUGAGUUCAUUCAUUGUAUUCAUAUAGGGUCAAGGAGUGUAGUUGUAAAAAAUCAUCAAAAUCGGAGUUAAAAUAACCGUUAAAUCGUGAUUUUUCGUUGAUAACCGUUGAAAUUUUUUGUCCCAUUACUUGAGCUCUAAAUGUUUGUUUUUUUCGAUUUUUAGCGUAUGCGAUCUCGAAGCAUAUACAAACAAGUUUGACAGUUGGAUCGUUGAAACUAGUUUCGUAGAAUGUGUAUCCCAUCAAAACGAUAGAUUCACUAACACUUAGAGUUUAUUUAUACUUUCAUUCAUCCACUAGUGUAAAUAUUUUAAAUUGAAGAUCGAAUUCAUUCAUUGUAGGGUAAAUUACACCUUCAUACCUCAGGUUUGGGGUCUAUUUCAAUUCCUUACAACAUCUUCAAAACAUUUCACUUUUAUACUUAAGUACUAUUUUAUUUCAAAAUAAUACAUCCAUUACAUUUUCCAUCUAUUGAUCUAUUAAAUGCUGACGUGGUUGCCAAAUGUUUGCCAUGUGGCAAAUAAAAUAUUUUUUUAAUUUUUUUUUAAAACCUAAAUUUUCUCAAAAAAAUUGAAACCCACUAUCCCCCCAGUGACCCACAUCCUUAUCCCUAACCCAAAACCCAAAAAACUUGCAGCAGCAGCAACAAGAAGAAGAAAAAACCUGCAGCGGCAGCAGCAAGAAAAAGAAGAAGAAGAGGGAGGAAGAAGGAGAAGAAGAAAAAAAAAAACCUGCAGCAGCAGCAGCAGGAGGAAGAAGAAGAAGGAAAAAAAAUCCCAAACCCAGUUCGUCCCCCUCCCCCCCCCCACAACCCGCGACCCAAACCCAGUUCUUCCUCCCCCAUCUCGCGACCCACCUCCCUUCCCCCCCUCCGGCGUCGCGCCACCUUCCCCUUUUCCCCUUCCCCGCGGGUUAGGAUCUCGUGAUUUUCAGUAUGGGUGAGUUUUGAAAAUACUUUGAGUUUGAGAUGAUUUUUGGACUGGUUUUGUAGUAGAUCCACCUAAUGUCAGGUGGAAUUUUUGGGGGUGGGUGAUUGGGGAUUUUUGGGAGGGGUGAUAGGGGAUGGGAGAAAGGGGUGGCUUGGGUGGGAUGAAUUGGGGCUUUUUUUUUUGAGAAAAUUCAGGUUUUUAAAAAAAAUUAUUUUAUUUGCCACGUGGCAGACAUUUGGCUGCCACGUCAGCAUUUAACAGAUCAAUGAAUGAAAAAUGUAACGGAUGUAUUAUUUUGAAAUAAAAUAGUACUUAAGGUAUGAAAGUGAAAUGUUUUGAAGAUGUUGUAAGGAAUUGAAAUAAACCCCAAACCUAAGGUAUAAAAGUGUAAUUUACCCUUCAUUGUAUUCAUAUAGGGUCAAAGAGUGUAACUGUAAAAAAAUCAUCAAAAUCGGAGUUAAAAUAACCGUUAAAUCGUGAUUUUUUGUUGAUAAACGUGAAAAAGUUGUGUCCCGUUACUUGAUCUCUGAAUGUUUAUUUUUUGCUAUUUUUAGCGUAUGCAAUCUCGAAGCAUAUACAAAUAAGUUUGACGGUUGGAUCGUUAAAAUUAGUUUCGUGGGAGAUUAUUUAUACUUUCAUUAAGUAUAACAUAAGAUUUUGUGGUAUCCACUAGUGUAAAUAUUUUAAAUUGAAGAUCGAAUUCAUUCAUUGUAUUCAUAUAGGAUCAAGGAGUGUAGCUAUAAUAAAUAAUCAAAAUCGGAGUUAAAAUAUAUUAAUUAUUUUAUGUAUUUUAAGUAUUAAUUAGACUAUAUUUCAAUUAGAAUGUGAUGAUAUUAUAUAAUAAAAUUAUAUUUAUGUUUUAUAUUACGUAUUUUAUUUAUUAAAAUCUUAAAUGUAAAAGCUGGUUAUUUUUUCUUUGGAUUAAACAUUUUUUUAAAACUAGUAUGUUGUUGCUUUUAGCCGACGGCAUUGGUCGGAUAAUUUGAAAUAUUAGGCGGGAAAUUUCCCACUUGUUCUGCACGAGGAAAUGGAUGGAGAGACUUAAUGUCGGUUUUUACCGAAGCUAUCAUCUUUGAAUUCGACGCUAGUUUCAUUAAACUAACGUUACGUGAAUUUCAAAAGGUGUGUCAAAAUUAGGACCAAUGAGCUGUUGGAUCACUUGUUUACAUGCUCCAGUAUUAGGACCAGUGACCAAAAUGUCAUCCACAUAGAUGAUAAUGAAAACCAAAUAUGGAGCUUUUUUAAUGAACAGAGAAUGAUCACUGUGAGAUCCUACAAAUCCAAGAGAGUGAAGAGCCCCAUGGAGCUUCUCAUACCAAGCUCUCGGAGCUUGUUUUAAACCGUACAAUGAUUUGUGCAAGUGACACACAUAAGAAGGCUUAGUAGAAUCUUCAAAACCAGGAGGUUGGUGCAUGAACACUUAUUCAGAUAGGCUACCAUGUAAAAAGGCAUACUAACAUCAAGUUGGUUUAAGAACCAAUCAUACUGAGCUGCAAGAGUAAGGAGAAGCCGAAUAGUCACUGGUUUGGCAACAUGACUAAAUGUUUCUUUAUAGUCAAGACCUUCCUGUUGGUUGAAACCCUCUGCAACUAACCGAGCUUUAUACCGGUCAACAGAACCAUCAGGUUUCCUCUUAAUACGAAACACCCAUUUGCAUCCGACAACAUUCUGUGAAGAAGAUUUAGGAACAAGGGACCAGGUUCCAGUAGUGAGAAGUGCAGUGACUUCUUCCUACAUUGCUUUGCGCCAAUGAGGAUACUUUGAAGCUUGAAGAUAGGUUGCAGGUAGAUAAUCUACUGAAAGAUGAGAAGGUAAGGGGUGUUUAGUAGCAGUGAGGGCUUUAGGCUUGAAAAUUCCCGAUUUGGACCUUGUUUGCAUUGAAUGAGUGUUAAUGGGUUGGGUGGGGUUGGUGGUUAUAGGUUCGGAGACUGCUACAGGAGGACUUGGAAGACGAGUGAUGAAAGGAGCAGAGUGUAAGGAAGAAGGUAAAGGUGUAUUGAGGAAGUGAUAGGUGAAGUGGUAGGUGAAGAAUGAAAAGUAAAGGUUAAAGUUGAAGGAAUGGAGGAUCCGGAGCUAGAAGGUGAAUUUGUGGCAGGUUUGAGAGGCAAUAUAUGAUGAAAAGGAAAGCUGGAUUCAUUAAACAAAACAUGUCUGGAAAUGUACAGUCUUUUGGUGGCAAUAUCAAACUAUAGCCAAGAAAGACACAAGCCUUGCUUUUAGGAUCUAACUUGGCGGAUGUAUAAGGCUUUAACCAAGGGAAACACGCACAUCCAAAUAUUUUCAAAAAAACAUAAUUGGGUGGGCGAUGAAACAAUGAUUCCCAAGGAGAUGAUCUAGAAACUGUAGGCAAUCGAUUGAUGAGAUAGAUUGCAGUGGUAAAGGCCUCAACCCAGUAAAUGUGAGGAACUUUAGAAGCUGCCAAAAGGGUUCGAGCAGUCUCCACUAAAUGGCGAUGCUUGCGUUCUGCACACCCAUUCUGUUUGGGGGUGUGAGGACAAGUAAGUUGGUGCUGAAUGCCAUGUUGAGCCAAGAAAGUUGAGAAAAAGGUAUUCAAGAAUUCUCCACCAGAGUUAGACCUUAAGGCAAUAAUCUUUGUGCACAAAGCAUUUUCAACCAUAGAUUUGUAUUGACUAAAAGUGGACAGUACAUCAGACUUGUAUUUCAAGGGAUAGAACCAGCAAUAUCUUGUAUAGUCAUCCACAAAAAUGACAUAGUACUUGAAACCUUGAUAAGAUGUGAUGGGUAAGAGGCCCCAAACAUCAGUAUGAAUGAGUUCUAAAGGUUUGCUAGUUGUAGAAAUAGUAGAUACAAAAGGAAGCCGAGAGCAUUUGCCUAACGCACAAUCUGAGCAAAAAAACUUAGCAGCAUUAGGUAAAACUGAAAUACAAGAUUGAGAGACUAGUUUAUUGAUAAUCUUUACAGAAGGGUGACCCAAUCUGUUGUGCCAGAGAUCUUUUGAGGCUUUCACAAAGGCAGUAAGAGCUUUAGGAGAACCAGUUGUUGAGGAUGAGAAUGGAAAUGGAUAGAGACCAUGCUGAACAGGUCCUUUAAAAUGCAUCCUCCCCGAAGAAAGAUCAUUCACAGUGAAGUAAGAUGGAUAAAGAUGCAAUGAACAAUGAUUGUCAAUCAGAAACUAAUUUGCAGAUAAAAGAUUGUGUUUUAAAUCAGGAACAUAUAAGACUUUAUUCAUAUUAAACACACUAUUGGGAGUAUACAAAAUAGAAGAACUAGAGUGAGUGAUGGGCAAACCUUUGCCAUCACCAAUGUACACUUAUUCAGGACCAGUAUAGGCUUCAGGGUUUUACAGAGUAGCAUAAGAAUUGGUCAUGUGUGAAGUGGCUCCAGAGUCCACAAUCCAAGUAGGAGGGUAUGAUGAUGUGUUUGCCACCAUUGCUGAAUGAGAAGAUUUGCCACCAUAGGCCGGAUUCAUGCGAUGAGGAAAAUCACAAGCCUCAUGAUCAAACUGAUGAUAGAUUUGACAAGAGUUCUUCUUAUUGUAAGAGAAAGUAGUUCGACCUCCACGAUUAGAACGCUGAUUAGUAUUCUUAAAGUGAUUGAAGUUACUUGACCUUUGAUUGUUAAAGAAUCGGGAGUUGCCACAAUUGUGAUUACGAGCCAGUCUAUGGCCUUGAUUAGUGAAGGUAGAAGACUGAGCAACAAAGGCCUGAGAGUUAGGGUUUGAUGCAGGAAGUGGAAGAAUACUAGCAUAGGUUUGUAGAGCUUGAAACGGUGAUAAAUCAGAUCCACUUUUCUUGCAAUUGGCCAACUGGAUCUCUUUGCUGAGGAGCAGACUAUAUAGUUCAUCAAUUGUGGUGGAUCCAAGGCGAAAUUGAAUAGCAUCAACAAACGAAUCAUACUCAGGAGGAAGACUAUGAAGAGUGACCAAGAUCAAAUCGGAGUCUUCAACCGGAAAACCAGCACUAGCAAGGGCGUCAGCAAUGGUCUCAAUUUGCUGAAGAUAAUGAGCAGCAGUGGAUUCACCUUUGGUAAGAUUACGAAGGCGAGAUCGAAGCUCAUGAAUGUGGGAUUGAGAAGCCGUGGCAAGUCUGGAUUCCAAUUUCGCCCAAAGUUCUGAGUCGAAUUCACACCGACAAUAUAAAGAAUGAGAGAUUUGGAGAGCGUAGAGUUGAUCCAGAUGAGCAUAUUCUGAUCAUUCUCAUACCAAGAAACAUAGGCAGGAUUGAGGAUGCGAUUUCCUGAAGAAUCAAAAGUAAACUGAGGCGGCGCCGCCAUGGAUCCAUCAAUGAGACCAAUCAGAUUAUACCGACAAAAAAUUGGAGCAGAGAGAGCACUCCAGGUUAAGUAAUUGGUGGUGGUGAGCUUGAUCGGCACCAUGGAUCCAAUGUUUUGGAUCGUAAUGGAGGAAGAAACGAAAGAAUUAGGGUUUAAAGGUACAUUCGGAGAAACCGAUUCCGACGAAGGAGAUGCAGAGGUCGCCAUUGAUAGAUAACGAUGAAGGAGGAUCGAAGAACACAAACGAUGAUCAAGAAAUUAGAGACGAAGAUCGUGCUGCGACCAAGAAUCAGAGAAGAUCGCAUAAGGAAGCGCGACGGUUGGGAUCGAAGAAAGAGGAGUCGUGAGACAGAAAGCUGGGUGAUACCAUAUUAGGAAAAAUAUGAUUUCAUUUCAUGAAAAAUAAAAUUACACUUUGGGUAUUUAUAUACAAGUAUAUUGUAACCACUAGACAAGCAAAAUGUAACAAUCUAAUAGAAAACUUAACCACUAAGUAAUAUCUCUAGAUAGUGUAGUUACAAUAUUAUCCUUUAUACUCAGCUCACAGGUAUCAAACUUUCAACAGAAAUAUCUGAUUUGAUGAUGAUUUUGGGAAAUGGUUUCCUCACAAACCUGUUUAUUUCCAUCUCUUGAUUCUCCUUUGAUUUAUUUAAUCCAAAGACUAGAAAUAAAGAUGGGAGUCCAGGGGGAGAAUAUGAGUUUGCGGAAAUCACAUCCCAUGUUUACUUCUAGCUACUAACUUUUCUCUCAACUCAUUUGUAAAAGUCAUUGUAGCCGCAACAACCCAACAUAGAAUUCGGAAGUCUGAUGAACAAGAUGGUCACUCACGAACGUAAACUAGCGGUGCAGAAGACGAAGGUUUACAGGUCCUACUUGAAACUGAAUGAGAUUGAAAAGUACAUUGCCUACAUGGAAUGGUACAAGAAGUCGUCCAAAGAAAUGGGAAUUGGAUACUAUGACAGGUACAGAAACAAGCACUACAACAAAACAUUAUAUUUACCACGACAAUUUUAUCAUGGACUUUAGAAGCUCAUGGUAGAAAGGAAGCAAUUAUCACGGUCAAAGUCGGCCCGUGGUAAAUAUGAUUAAUUCAUCGUGGUUAUAUUCACGUCCGUUUUCUUUUAAGCAUUACGCGAGUGACAUUAUGGCCGAAGAGUACAAGAGGACGCUCUCAAGGUAUUGGCAUGACACGGUUGCAGAAGCUGGGAACAAGCGAGUAAUCCAGAUGCUAAGCCAAUGACCGAAUUUGAGCUUUACGUUCUGAAUAUGCUCGAGAAUUUCGCAGUUACGGUAGAUAUUUUCUUGGAGAAUAGUAGCUUCAUGCAUUGGUGGAACAAGUAUAAAGUAAUUGUGGGAAGCAACUACUCCUCAGCAUUUACCGAGGUCAUGAAGCGUAAGACAUAUCGCAAAUAUGCGGAUUGGGUCUCAAUUCGUACUGAUCAAUAAUCCAAGAUAAUUAAGUUUUAAGCAAGCAAUUAAAUCAGAUAAAGCAAGAUUAAUUUUGUUGUAUUGCUUAUGAUCUUCAUAGAGAGACGUGCAUUACUUUUUUUUAUUAUUUAUUUAAUUCUUUUUUUUGGAAAACCUCAACGGUACGAGAGGAAUUUUAUUGAUAACGAAAAAACAAGUUACACCUAGUCAGCGGGGACAUAAACCUUACCCCUAAAAAACAGAGACAACGAAAAGGAAUACACUAGAAAGAAGGGGGGAUAUAAAUCUUACCCUUCUAGAAACAAAAAACGAGAAUGAUACAAAUAAAAGAGGGGGGAACAUGAAACCUAACAUCUCUAGAACCAAACAUGAAGGUCUAAACCUGCAAAACAAGUUAAACAACACCAUAAAGAUAGGAGAAAAAAAAAGAAAGUGAGGCAAACCUAGAUGCCGACAUGCACAUUAAUUUGAGAAGCGGUAACCAGUCAAGUCAACAUAGUCAGAAAACAAAGCAGCACGAACUGCCAUCGAAGGAGAAUCAUGUCAUGUUAAAGAUGGAGAAGAAAAGCCCAUGUUCGCAAAAUUAUCCACAACAAGAUUUCCUUCGCGAUAUAUGUGAGGUGCGUAGAAAGUCAUUUUCCGAAUGCGAUCCAAACAAAUAGACCAUUGCUUAUUAAGAGGCCAAGGAGGAUCAAAAUUAGACGAUUGAUGAGCAAAAAUAACACUAGAACUAUCACUUUCCAACCAAAGACAAUGCCAACCCCGCUGAUAAGAAAACUCAAUACCAAUAAUAAUUGCUGAUAACUCUACAAAAAAAGAGUUGCAAUGACCAAUCCGUUGACAGAAACCUCCAAGAAAACGACCAUGGCAAUUCCUGAAAACUCCUCCACAUGCAGCAGGACCAGGAUUUCCUUUAGACAAACCAUCUUAAAUUUUGUGGUUUUCAACAUUUAGUACAUAAAGUUAUUUUUGUCCCCGAGUUAUACUAAAGUGUUAAUUUUGGGAUAGUCUCAUACAUUCGUUAGUAUAGCUGUUAAGUCUCCCGUUAAUUGAUGAUGUGAUGCUUAUGUGAACAAUAACUGGACGCCAUGUGUCAUUAAAAGGUCUACGUGGAAAUUCAAAAAAAAAAAAAAAUCGAAAUUUCAAAAUUCAAAAUUUAAAAACUUCAAAAAUUAAUAAAUUAAAAAAAAGGUGGGGAUAAUUUCUUCCUCUCUCACCGUCCUUUUUUCUCUCUUCUGCAAUUAUUGAGCUCUCUUUUGAAUCUCAGAUCCCCAGCAACCCUUGCCCUAGCGACCUUGUAACCCUCAGAAAAGGUUUGCAAACCUCGUAACCAUCGCCCUUUGUUAUGAUCCAAUUCUCUAAGCCCUUAAUCAAUUGGCAAGUAACAUAGAGGGUAGAGAGGAGGAGGGAAGGAGGAAGGUAGAAGGAGCAGAGCUCCAAUAUUUUUGUUUAUAUUUCUUUUUGUGUAAAUUCUCAUCUGAUUACAAUAGUGAGAGCUAGUGCUCUUAUACAAGUCACAACUCAUCAUGCCAGCUGGCUAAUUAUAACAAACUUCACUAAAACAGGAAUAGGCCUAAUAAUCCCAAGAUUAAAACCUUUAAUAAUGAUUAAGCUAAUCACUAAUUACAGAUCAUAUCAUUACUCACCCUCUUGAAAAACAACCUUGUCCUCAAGGUUAGGAUUAGCACUUGAAAUCUGGAACUUUUUCGCAGUGAAUUCAUCAUAAGCCUCUCUGCUUUUAUUGUCUAACCAAGGCACUGCACCAAAACUUGGAUUGCAAAAAUCUUGGUUGAUAUCUGCAACCCAUCCCAAAUGCUGAAAAAAAAAAGAACAAGCUUUGGAGAUGACUCCCCGCGAAGCCUUGAUGUCUUAGCUGGAAAGAAUUUAUCCCCGUCAUCGGAUGUAUGCAAAUUAUCCCUUACAAUCAAUUCUGAACCUUCCAAGCUGAGUCUCCUCGAAACAGAUGGGAAAUUUAUUAGAAAAAUAGAUCAGCCCACAUGUGUGUAAUCUAUAUACAAAAAAUCUCUCUCUUCAUUAGCCAAAUCGUUUCACAAAUCCCAAAACACAUAAUUAUAUCUUGAACAAUGCUAAUUAAUGAUUUCCCAUUUACUUAAGCCCAACAUCAACGCCAAUGAACUGAUGAAAGAGCGAAAAGGAGAAACAAAAAAACCUCAAUGAAGCAAUUAAAUGGAGAAUUACUUGAUAAUGCUGGAAAAUUACUACAAAAGGUUUGAAAAUUACCCGGUAAGAUUUAAAAAAAAAAAUAAAAAUAAAAAGAGUUGAUGUGGAGUGGAGUGGGAAUCACAUACCGCCAUCACCUUUAAAUAUGUAGUGCUCCCCUGAGAGAGCAUCAAUAGUGACUGUGCAGAGAAACAAAUGAUUGAGAAAUUCAAGCUAUGAGCUCAGAGUUGGGGCUUCCACUUUCCAACUGGGUAAGAAAUAAUAGAGAAAACACAGAGAGCCAAUCCACCAAAAAUAUUAAUCAAAUGGGUUUCUUCCAAUUCAAAAUUCGGACCACCCAAAUUCUGAUGAAGCAAUAACCAUUCAAAAUUCCAAUAGAUUGAAGCUCUCACAGACCACAAAUUAUCAAUACCCAGCAAUGAAAAAUUUGAUAACAGUAAUAAUGAAGGAAAAAGAAAUUAAAGCAACGAGCCAUUCUCUAAAUCUCAGGCACCAAUCCAAAUUUACAGAUGUGUUUUUCUUUUCUGUAAUCUGAUUAGAAAUUAUUAAAGAUGAUUACAUGAACCACCAAAUUCACCACCAAAUUUCAACAAAGAAGUAGCAAAGCACAACAAAAAAAAAAAAAAAAAAAAAAAUCAAAUAUUUGGCUUUCGGGUAGUUGAGAAGAAGUGAGAUUUAAUUACCUGUCAAAGGCUACAGUAAUUGGGAGCACAAUGGGGUGGCGAGGAGAUUGAACAGAUGAGGAAGCAAAGAACGAACAGAUCUCACAAAGCGAAAUCGAAAUCGCCAAUCGUGUUGCAGAGAACAGUUUUUUCCUUUUAGUAAAUAUAAUAUAAUAUAAUUUCUAUGCUAAAACCCAUGGUUCGGAGAAGAAUCUUGCAUGAUCACUAACAACGUAAGGGAAAAUCAAACUUCGUGGUGCUUGUUUUAUGAAUCUCUUUAUUUUUUAUUCCAAAUUUAAGAGUGUCUCACUUUUCCACAGUUUCUAAUCUGUUAUUGUUUUGGGAAAGUGGCUAAAAUGGUCUGAAAUCAUAUCUCAAUUCUCAAUUUAUGAACUUAUCAAAAUUAAAUAUCAACAACAUAUUGAAAAACUGAUAAUUUUAGUGAUUGGGUAAAAAAAUGAUCAUUUUAGCCAAAUUCCCUCUUAUUUUCUGUCGUCGUAAUUUUAGAUUGCAACUUUUGUAAGUUUUUCUGAUUUUGGUGUUGGUUUUUGUAGUUAAGAAUCAAGAAAUGUGUCACGCCCCGAUCUCGACAUUCGUCCAGGAUUGACACGUGACGUCACCAAAUACCUGUACAUCUACCAUACCACUCCUCCGGGAUACGGGCCAAACACAACUCACGAUCCAAAAGCGUAGUAAUUUUUUUCGUAUACUUUAUGGCUGCAUCUAACCUUCUCAUUAGAUUGCCUACGUACCCUAAACAGGGAUCAAGCCAUUCGUAGUUCGUCCUUCACUACCCUAGAACAAUCAUCACAUAAAUCAAUAUGUCUCAACAUAAUACCUUCAUCUAUAGCAUGUAACAUAUCAAAUAACCAAUGAAGCACAAUAAUAUUCUUUAGUCAUCAUGCCAUUCACCCACACAUAUGUUUUCCAACACCAUCCAACAAUCACACCAAUCAAUAACACAUACAAUACAUCGAAAUGCAGGGCUAGAGUGACAAAGUUCGGUCGAAUCCUACAUCCCUGAAGCUGAAAUCGAAUCCAAGGAGCCCAAACCACCCCUAGCCCGUCCCAUAUUCCUUCCCGAGCCCAGAGCUUAAACUCGAGCAACUCUCGGACCUCACAUCGGAGAAAACAGGAAAUGGAGAACUCCGGCAAGUUAUCAAAUUUUUCCGAUCGAGGUAAACUCGAAAUACCUUCAAUCUCUACCUUUUUGAUGUUCUGAUUCAAUUUUUGAGUUGUAUACGUGUUGUGACGACGUUUGGGUGCAAAAAUCAACUCUGGGAUGAACUCCUCGGUUUUCUGGCGAAGUUCGCAAGUUUCAGACCAUUUUUCUGGCCAAAACCUUUGGGCCAUUGUUCUAACCCAACCCAAUAACUCAGUUAACCUAAUCCAACCUAGCAAACCUAGCCCAACCCAGUGACUUGGAUAUGUGAAAUCGGCCCAAGCCCAGAUUCGUGGGCUAGAUCCGACUUGGGAUCCAGCCCGAUCCAAUUCCCAAAUGGAUUUGGAAUAUUCUUGGAAAUAUUCCUUGUGUUGACUUUUAUGAUAUUUUCUCAGGAACCUUCCUAGACUAAUUUCGACGCCUUGAGUCCCUUUUUUACAUCUAUUUAGUGAAAUUCUAAAGAUUUAGUGUAGUUGAUCAGCUCGGUGUCUCAGUUCACUUUUUGGGUCAAUUGUUGACUUUUUCGUUGACUUUUUACAAAAUUUACCCGAAACUACUCUUAGGGUAAUUUGACGCGCUGAUUCCGAUCCGCCAUCUGUUUCUCCAAAUUCAAAUGUUUUAAUUAAGUUUUUACUAAUGGGCCUCUAUUAUGCUUAGGUACUAUUUAGCAUUGGCGAAUUCGUAUUUACAUGUUCGAAUGGCAGUAACCUCGCAAGUACCUGUGAGUGGACCCCUUCUCAAAUUGCAUGCUUUCAUAACUAUUAGGCUUGCAUUCAUGAAAAUAAUAUUUUUAUAAUUCUAUAUUUUAUGAAUUAUUUAUGCUUUAUAUUUGAUUUAUAUUGCUUUCACGAAGUCUUUAUGAAUUAUCUUAAUAGCUUUUGAAGAAUUAUUUAUAAUCCAUUGGUUUAAUGUUUAUGAGAACUUGUAUUUAUGGAAAUCACGUUUAUGGAUUUAUAAGAUUUGAGAUAUGUUUUUUAUACUUAUCUAGUGGGUUAUUAUACAACACAUACACACAACUCGACUAUGUAGACUGACACACCCCGUUCCGAAGGAGGGCAUGCUGGCCGUCACGUAAGAGUGACGUAACCAUUUACACAGUUCGGAAGCUUUAAAGAUACAAUUACUAAGAUAUAACACCCGAGGGUGAAUCCUACUUUUGUGAAUUCUGUCAGAACACCGUUGGAUUCCUCGUGGCUACCAAAGCUCUGUUAACUUGAACCUGGAGGGGCGCAAACAAAAUUGAGUGGGUCAGUACAACAAAGUUUUUCGAAAACAUUUCAUUUAAAACAUUACUAACCCCUCGCCGUAAAACCUAAAUACUUUCCCAGAAAAUAACAUAAUAGUAUAUAAACAUAUAUAUAUAUAUAUAUAUAUAUAUAUCUAUAUAUAUCACCAAAAGCUCAAUUUAUAAUCCUUCAACGCUUUUCAGAAAGAAUAUGCCAUGCCAAGCCAUAUGCCAAAAUAUAAUAAAAAUGCAUCAAUAUAAAUCAGGUGAAAUAAUAAAUCAACCGGAGAUCCUACAGUGGUCCUGUACGGCUGAUUCUAUAGCUCAAUAUUCCAACCAGCCGGAGUCACCAACUGUGACCUGUACGGCCCUGCCGGAGUCACCAACUAUGACCUGUACGGCACUACACUGCACAUAUGCCGGAACUACCUAUAGUAGUCUGUACGACUAAGAUGGUGAAAUAAUACGCUCUAGUGCUUCUCUUAUUAAUCAUAUGUGCACAUAAUCUAAGGUCACCUACCAGUCGGAACCCCUCUAAUGGUCUGUACGACUGGCAUGUCGGAACCACCUCUAGUGGUCUGUACGACUAGCAUCUACUUGGAUCCUAGGUGAGCGUGUGAUGCAGGGUGAAUAACAUAAGCACUAACACCAGGGUUGCAGGUUACGAGCUCUCAACGUAAUUCACAUCAUCAUUCAUUCAUAUAAACCAUAUAAACUCACCUAAUACUCACAUGUGCGUCCACAGCACCAAUUCACAUAUAUAUAUGCAUCAAUAUCAAUUCAUAUAAUUUAUAAUAUGCAUCAUGGCAAUUGAAAACAUACUUUCAUAUAAUUUCAAUUUCUGGGACAAUUAAUAGUAUAUAGGUAAUACGAAAAAUAAAAACUGCCCACUCACCUGGAGUUCGCCCUACAACUCCCUAGCACAACACAUCAAGGCGUCAAGACGAUCGGCGCCUAGAACAAUAAUCAAAUCCAACCUCAGAAUCAUAUCGAUAGAAUAUAUAACUUAUAUAAAACACGUCAUUACGUAGUUCGAUCCGGAAGAUUUGCAAUUCAGAUUUCAAAUCCAUAACUUCCAGAGGUCCACAAUAUACCUCUAGGACAACAUCCUAAAAUUUCAUUAUCAUCCAAUGGUCGGAUCUCCGUCAAUCCCAAAACUAAGUGACGGUUAACAUUCUAUAUUAUGAACUUACAACUCCAAUUCCGAAAGAUCCAUAAAUCAGAUUCCCGAUCCGUAAUAUUUGAGGAUUAUAGGAUCGUGCUACGGUGGUAAAGUGGGCCGGGAUGUGAUCCACCCCGGGCCAGGAUGUGACAAAUGGUAUCAGAGCUAAUCCCUGGCCGGAAGUGUGCCGACGAGGACGUCGGGCCCCUAAUGAGGGUGGAUUGUAACAUUCCACAUUGCCUAGGGGAGUGAUCCUUAAAUGUAUAUUCUCAUCCCUACCUAGCACGAGGCCUUUUGAGAGCUCAAUGGCUUCGGGUUCCGUAGGAACUCCGAAGUUAAGCGAGAAGGAGGCCAGAGCACUCCCAGGAUGGGUGACCCACUGGGAAGUUGCUCGUGAGUUCCCAAAAACAAAAUCGUGAGGGAAUGGUAAGCCCAAAGCGGACAAUAUCGUGCUACGGUGGUAGAGUGGGCCCGUGAUGUGAUCCGCCCCGGGCCAGGAUGUGACAUAGACGUCUAUGGCCAUAGGACACAGUUGAGGAUAUUUAUGACAUACUCUCAGCUUCAUUGAAAAAAUCAGUGUUGGACAGCUUCACUAGCCACGACUAGUGUCGGUGUGUUAUGUUUAUAGUUAUAUUCUCUUCUCUAGCAUAACCCAGAGUCGUACAGCUUCACCUUAGGGUGAUGGGACCUACCAUGUUUCUUCACUAGCGUAACCCAGUGUCGUACAGCUUCACCUCUGGGUGAUGAUUAUGCCUUCAGGCGACUAUGAUACCUAUAGUUGAGUAUAUCACAGAGUUUAUUUACAAGAUUCUCAUAUCUACCUUCGGGUGUUACGAUACGAUUUCCAGAGAUGAUUUUAUCGUUACAAAAUUUUUAGCAUGCUAGAGUUUCCAGAAAAAACUAUUAUGUAGUAUUAUAUGGGUUUUCAAAUAGAGAGUUAAUAUGUUCAGAAAAAGAAAACGGUUUUAGUAUUAUCACUAUUAUUAUAAAUUAUGGUCCACUCACCCUUUCAUUCUUGUGCCUCUUUUAGGAUUUAGAAUCGAGGAGCAUGAUCCCGGCGUCAGUGCACUUCCGCAUAGGUAUCUUCGAGUCUUCUCAGUGUAUGACCUAUUUCCCUUGUUCGUACCUUUUUAUAAUAAUUCAUUCACAUUAUUCUUGCUUAGUUGUAGGUUUUGAACACGUUUCUUUCUUUAUAGUUACAUAUUUUAGUCACUUUCGUUUACUGAUACCACUUGCAUGCAUGUUAAAAUGGUUUCGUCACCUUCGGGUGUCAGCUAGCACGUGCCUACCCUGGUAUUUGAGGAUAUCGGGGUUGGGGCAUGUCAGCCUGGGUGGUCGUACUAUGCACAGGGGCGCGUGUGGGCCAGCAGACCUUGGGCCUACGCUGCGUGCUGGGCUAGUGCUUGCUCCUCAUGGGUCUAGGCCUAGCUAGUAGUGAGUUGGGCUCGACUGGCAACGAGUUGGCCUUGGGUCGUCUGCCCAUGGGCUCAUAUUGCUAGUUGGCUAGCGAUCUUUCGUGCACCUGGACCUGCUGCAGUGGCUUAUGCCUCAUUCCUUGGGCCUAAUAUGGCAGUUGUCACGCUUUCGGCCUCUUACAUGUGGUCCGUGAGUUCAUGUUCAGUGCAAGUGGCCAUUGUAGCACGCGUCUGGGCCUCGGCUUGGGCUGCUGUUGUGAAAUCACAUUCUUGGAUUUCACUAUUAUAAUUUCCAUGCUUCAUAUUCGUGAAAUUUUAUAUUAUUUUUUUGCAAAUUUAAUUUAAUUUAGUUAAUUUAGAAUAUUAAUUCCCUUGUUACAAAGUUUGAAAUUUUGAAAAUAAUCAUUUAAAAUUUGUAGACCUUUUAUGGUCAAAAUUAAUGUUUUCAAAAAGAGAUCAAUCAUACGAACGUGUAGGCGAAGGCCGUUCACGAAUCGAAGCUAUAACAAAGAAGUUAUGAGCAACGGAAGUUUGAGAUAAAUGUUAAUUUAGGACUUUCUCUAAAUGAAAGGUUACUAUGUUUAUUUGGAAGAGGGACCAAUUAGAUUGGGGGAAAGCCCAUUUAAUGGGAGGAUGGACCAAUCAGAAAGGGGAUGAGGGUUAACCAAUCAGAAAAGAGAGAACCAGCAGAGCCGGAUCCUCCCUCAACCCGCAUGACUCGGUUUCUGGCGACUUUUGCUUCCUUUUCUUUUGUCGAUUUUUUUGACGAGUUGGAGACAUCCAUCACCACCACAUGACUCACUAGCCUCCCCUCUUCAAUUCUCAACCAAACUCAACUCAGUUUUACUCUAAUUUCAUGAUGACCUCAUUCGGCGAGUCCAUGAGUCCUGUGUUGGUGAUCUGCCGUUUUUGAAAGUUAUUCUUUUGACCACCACCACCCACAGACACCCCUUAAGCCCAGGAACAUGACCCAAACAAGUUUGGGAUGGGCAGAGUAACAAAGAUGACGAAUCAAAGUGCACCAUUUUUAGGGUUUUCCGAUGGAUCAUGGUAUUAUCAGGCCUUAGACCUCGACCCAUGUAUAAAACUUACUCCCUUCUUCAAGAUCUUUAUUUUGGUAUACUUUGAGAAAUUUUGGAGUUAGGUGGAUUUUCCGGCAAAUCAGGGCGAUUAACCACCUCGUGCGGUGGUGCAUGCCGGUGGCGCGUAGCUCGAGGACCCAGUUGAUCAUUCUUGAGUACAUUCGAUGUCCAAUUCCAUAUUUGAUAUCCGAUUGACAAAAUUUUGUUUCUUGAACAUAUUUUCGUUAGGGUUGUUUGUACCAUACUUGAUCAAUCCCGAAACUACCGAGCAUCGAUUAACGUUAUACCGUCAAGGACCCAGAAGAGUUUCCCACUAACCAGGAGGCCAAUCACAGCGAGACACGUGUCGACAUCAGAAGCCAAUUAUAGCAUGACACGUGUCAACAUUGGAAGUCAAUCACAACACGACAUGUGUCAAUGUCAGAACAAAGCUAGAAACUCUCUUCUAUAAAAGGAGAUCAUUCUCCCACAAUAUUGCCUAAUGUCACUUGUACUAAAUCAUUCACUAGUACUCACUAAAGGAGAGCUUGAACCUAUGUACUUGUGUAAACCUUUCACAAUUAAUGAUAACUCAUCUACUCCGUGGACGUAGCCAAUCUGGGUGAACCACAUAUAUCUUGUGUUUGCUUCAUUGUCUCUAUCCAUUUGCAUACUUAUCCACACUAGUGACUGGAGCAAUCUAGCGAAAGUCACAAACUUAACACUUUCUGUUGUACCAAAGUCCUCACUGAUUUUAUGCAUAAACAUUUGGCGCCGUCUGUGGGAACGACACUUAUUCCCACUCUCUUCAGCUUUGUCAAGCUGGUUUCCACCAUUCGUACACUCUCUUUUGACCAAGCAUCCCUCUCUAACAUGGGGAGCGAAAGAAGCCACAGCACACAGAAUGACACCCAUCUUGCACCUAGUGCGAAGCAACGAAAGAAUGAAGGAAAGAGGGUUGCUCUUCAAGCUAAAGUAAAUGAGCUAGAAGCUCAGAACAACAAGUUAGCAAUGAAGAAUGAGGUCCUUUAGGAGCAGUAUGAGAAGCUCUUUAAGACUCUCCACGAAACUAGGCGUACUCAAACACGCGAGCUCGUUACCCCUGUGGACAUCAACCAUCAUCUGGAUGCCCCCCAACACAGAGGGUCACAUUCAUUCGACAUGGGUAUCCCUGAUAAGGAGUGAGCUAAUCAUCAAAACAUUGAUCAACAUGAGACUUCUCUUAACCCAGCUGCUUCGACCUGAAGCAGGAGAAGUGGAGGAAGACACAUCCUUGUAGAAGGGUUAGAAAGAUCGAAAGCCGUUUAUCGUGACUGCCGAGACUUCCUAAAGUAACGUCGAGAGAAUCCCUCCCCCACAUAAGCUCGAAGAUCAAUGACCCAAGAGUUUCUAAAAGACUCGGUCCUCUCCCACGACCCAGGCCAGCUGCCAAUCUAGGGAAGGAAUGACAUGUCCCAGAGGAACAUGAAGGUACAGAAGACUCGGAGGUAUUCCGACAGACUCACCUUAGAAGUCAAUACGGCAAGUCCAAGGAAAAACCACACGCUCUUGCUCAAACUUUCCUACUUCCAAAAGGCGAUGGAAACUUGCGGAAGAAAAUUCCAGUGGUACAUGACUCCACUCAGGACCCCUUUGUCCUACAGCUUCUUGAAGAAGUAAACAAGUUGAAGGCCAAACAUCAGGCCGAGAUACCUGACUGGAACCAACCCAGGCCUGACCCUCUCACAAGAAGGAUCCUUGACACCCCCUUCAAGCGAAGACAAAACAAAAGCUUGAUUUACAACUCUAUACUGAAAUAGAGGACUCGAUUGAACACCUUAACCUCUUUGAGUCCACCAUGGCAUAUCAGAUGCUCUAAACUGAUGACUUGUACAAUAUUAGCCAAAAGUUGGAUGAGUUACUACGUUCAGCCAUAAGUAUUCUCGCUGCGUUGAGGCAGAUGACAAGACCGCCCUCAAGGCCUACGUGAUUGUUUCUUCAAGUACAUGAUCAAUGCCAACACUUAGAGGACUUACUCUGAGGUGAUGGCACAGGCUUACAACCACGCCUCUGCCUAAGCAAGGACAUACCAAAGGAACCCCCAUAUGGUUAACCCCUAUCAACAAGUAGGAAGUGGAAGUCAAGUUCUACCAAGUGAGGAUAUAUUGACCAUUCAGACACCCAUUGCAUUAUCUCCUAGCUCAUUUAGCUACUCGCUAAGUCACCAAACGUAUUUGUCUCUUGGUAAGAGGAAUGAUUUUUACUCUCAGCAAGCCCAUUACAACAAGAGGGAUAAUAGUUCGUAUCAAGACAACCAGGGGUGAAUGUACCAUUGACUAUUAUGACUAUGGGGCCAAGCCUCACUCUUUCAAAGCAGAGGACUAGGUACUGAAGGAAAUGCUAUUAUAAGAAGGCAUAUACAUUACAAAUGUUUUGACCCUUAAUCGCUUGAGAUAUUUUGUCACACAAGCCAUUCGGCAACUAUUUAAAGAAGAAGGAAUUCAGACAACUUCUCUUGAGUCUUUUGCAUUCCUAGCACUGGAACACUUGGUCUAUGCUGACUACCCCUAUACUCCAACUCAGAGCUUCAACAUGCAUACUUUGACACAAAGUAUGUGAUACUAAGUGUUACAACCAACAUGAUUCACAUAUCGAAAGCAUGGAUCCCUUCAUGCAUAGCAAAACAUUCAUAAGCAUCACUCAUGUCAAUCAACAUAAACAUCAUACGUUCCAAUACAUUCAUACAUAAACAUCAUACAUUCCAACACAUCCAUACAUAUGCCAACUGUGCUUCGAAAAGGUUCAACAUACUUUGUGUCAUUCAACAUUUGCUACAAUGUGCCUCGACACCUUGUCCUUAUUCUAACUAACCAGGUGAUGAAAUGUAAAAGAAGGAACUCAUCUUCAUGCCACCAACCAGGUGAUGAAAUGUACAACCCGUACUCUAAUAUCAUUUGGCAACUUGCCACUCAUGCCACCAACCUGGUGAAGAAGAAACUCAUCUUCAUACCACCAACCAGGUGAUAAAAUGUACAACCCGUACUCUCCUUCAUGCCAUCAACCAGGUAAUGAAAUGUACAACCCGUACUCUAAUAUCAUUUGUCAACUUGCCACCCAUGCCACCAACCAGGUGAAGAAGGAACUCAUCUUCGUGCCACCAACCAGGUGAUGAAAUGUACAACCCGUACUCUUCUUCAUGCCACCAACUAGGUGAUGAAAUGUACAACCCGUACUCUAAUAUCAUUUGGCAACUUUCUAUUCAUGCCACCAACCAGGUGAAGAAGGAACUCAUCUUCAUGCCACCAACCAGGUGAUGAAAUGUGAUGAAAGGUAAUGAAGGAACUCACCUUCGUACCACCAACCAAGUGAUGAAAGCAACUCACCAUUCAUUCCACCAACCAAAAGACGAGUGGUACAACUUGUACAUGUGAACUCCUAGCAUUCACAAAUAAUAAAAAACCCUCAAGCUUCACACAGUCUUAUGCCUAACAAGAGUUAUAGUCACCAACAAAGUCUUAUUGCAAGCCAACAAUGGCUUCAGUGCAUGGUAUACGAAGAUCAAGCUCUUCAGCCCUCUUGCAUCUGCUCCAGACAUUUCUCUUCUGUAACAAUGCCAACACUACAACUCGUAGAAAGCUUCACACACUCUUGAUCAAGAUUGUUCGAAGCAAAUUAAAUUUAUAUGGUUCAUCCAAACCUUCGACUACUACAAGGUGUGGCUUGCAUCACAAUCUCUUGCUCAAUAGUGUAGAAGCAAAAUUUGUAAAUGUUAUCUCUCCCACAUUUUCAAAUUUCUAGUUUCCAAAAAAAAAAAAAAAUUGGGAAAUUCAACAAAACUUCAUUAAUGGAGGACAACUACAAAUUCUCAAAAGCUUCAUACUAUCUUGAUCAAGAUAGUGUGAAGCAAAAUCAAUUCAUGGUACCUAACAAAGCUUCAACCUCAAAGCUUCACAUACAAAGCUUCAACAAAUGGAGGGCAACUACAAAUUCUCAAAAGCUUCACACUAUCUUGAUCAAGAUAGUGUGAAGCAAAAUCAAUUCAUGGUACCCAACAAAGCUUCACCUACAAAGCUUCACCACAAAAGGUUCACCAACAAAAGCUUCAACAAAUGGAGGGCAACUACAAAUUCUCAAAAGCUUCACACUAUCUUGAUCAAGAUAGUGUGAAGCAAAAUCAAUUCAUGGUAUCCAACAAAGCUUCACCUACAAAAGAUUCAACACCAAAGCUUCACCUACAAAAGCUUCAACACCAAAGUUUCACCUACAAAAGCUUUACCUACAAAAGCUUCAACACCAAAGCUUCACCUAUAAAGUUCAACACCAAAGCUUCACCUACAAAGCUUCAACACCAAAGCUUCACCUACAAAGCUUCAACUCCAAAGCUUCACCUACAAAAGUUUCAACCCCAAAGCUUCACCUACAAAGCUUCAACAUCAAAGCUUCACCUACAAAGUUUCACCUACAAAGCUUCAACAUCAAAGCUUCACCUACAAAGCUUCAACUCCAAAAGUUGCUUCACCUACAUAAGCUUCAACUCCAAAAGCUGCUUCACCUACAAAGCUUCAACUCCAAAGCUUUACCUACAAAAGCUUCAACUCCAAAAGCUUCACCUACAAAGCUUAUAUAUAUAUAUAUAUAUAUAUAUAUAUAUAUAUAUUUUUUUUUUUUUUUGAAAAUUCGAAAAAAAUAAAAUAAAAAUUCCAAAAUUUGAAGAAAAAAAAAUUCAAAAAAUUCAAAAAAAAAGAAAAGAGAGCCUAUACCUCACAUUUCUUUGGGCGUAACAACUUUCAUAACAAAUGUACAUGAAAGAGAGGGGUUUUGGGGCUACCACUUAGAAAGGAAAAUGGUGAAGUUUUGUUACUUUUGAAAACUUGGCUACUAGCAAGACACCUCCUUCGUCAACUCCCUCGACCGAAGACUUGGGGGACUCCUACCAUAAGCUACUACACCUCGGUACUUAGAAGUUUCACGACUACUCAGUGACUUGGAUCUUUCAAGUCUCCAAACGAGAAGUUUUCCUCACUCGGGAAAUUAAGGGAGCACUACCUUAACCUACAUGCUUCACUCACAAAGCUUCAACAUACAAGCUUCAACAAAAGAAAAAAAAAUUAAAGAACUUAGUGAAGGAGGCCUUGGUGUAUUUAACACAAUACGUUGAAAUGAAGCAAAGCUUAUUUAUUGAUAUCUCCGAUAAGUUACAAAUAUGUAUAUAUACAUGAAUCAAAAUAAACAAACAAAAGGGAGCCUUCACAAAAGUUGCUCAGGAGAAGUCUCAGCAGUCGGCAGAGCCCCAGAAAAAGAAGGCACCAGAGGGUGAUCAUUCGGAGCCUCAGUACUGGACAGAACCCCAAAAUGAGGAGGCAUCAGAGGUUGAUCAUUUAGAGCUUCAUUACGCGAUACAGCCCCAGAAGACGAAGGCAAUAAAUGCCUUUGGAACAAACCCACAAACCUCUGAUGAUCAAGCAAAAUCUGACCAUCAGAUUCCUGCAUCUGGUUAAGCUUUCUCUUCAUGUUUGUAACAAAGUCAUGUGCGAGCCUGUGCAAUUGUUUAUUCUCAUGCUUAAGCCCUUUAAUCUCCUGUUUGAGACUUAUCACUUCAGCCGCCAAUGAUUCAACUUGGUGGGUUCGAGCAAAUAGGCGUUGGGCCAUAUUAGACACAAAACCUGCACACUGAACACUGAGAGCCAGAGAAUCCUUAACAGCCAACUCAUCAGACCAUUUGGAAAGUAGUCUGUUAUCUUUGGGAGUGAGAAGGUUCCUGGCCACCACCGCAGCGGUCAUAUCAUUCUUCAUCACAGAGUCCCCAAUGGUAAGAUGACCAGUAAGGGAUAAGAAGGAUGGGCAUCAUAUGUUGUCUUGAAGAGGUAUGGUUGCCUCUUCACCAAAGUUCAAGUCAAAACGACGGUCGGAUGGGCCAGACAUUUUCAGAAAUGAUGAAAGAGAAAUGAGGUCCAAUAAAUCUCUGAAGUACGAAAAUAAAGGGAAAAUUCCUACAAGCAAUAACUAUUUAAACGUACUUCUUGCACAUAAUUGGUGGUCCUAUAAAAGAAAGGGCAGCAGGGCCGUUUGUUCAAAAAUAGAAGAGGCACCAUUAUCUGGAUUUCGAGAAGCAGAUUUUUCCUGAGUAAAAUAUGUCGACAAUCCCCACACACAACAUCAGCUCAUCGGGUACCACAGAUAACUUUUGCGAAAGAUCUCUGACAAAGUUUAUACACAUAAAUUUUGAAGGUCCAGCUACCUUACCAUUACCCACACUGGUAAAGGAACAGCACCACUGCUUGAUAACUGGAAAGUCCCUAUGUGUGUCAACCUCCGUGCUCCGUGGCAAGGUACACAACAAACAACAACAACAAAGCCUUUUCCCACUAAGUGGGGUCGGCUAUAUGAAUCCUAGAGAACGCCAUUGCGCUCGGUUUUGUGUCAUGUCCUCCGUUAGAUCCAAGUACUCUAAGUCUUUUCUUAGAGUCUCUUCCAAAAGUUUUCCUAGGUCUUCCUCUACCCCUUCGGCCCUGAACCUCUGUCCCGUAGUCACAUCUUCGAANAAAGUCUUAUUGCAAGCCAACAAUGGCUUCAGUGCAUGGUAUACGAAAGAUCAAGCUCUUCAGCCCUCUUGCAUCUGCUCCAGACAUUUCUCUUCUGUAACAAUGCCAACACUACAACUCGUAGAAAGCUUCACACACUCUUGAUCAAGAUUGUUCGAAGCAAAUUAAAUUUAUAUGGUUCAUCCAAACCUUCGACUACUACAAGGUGUGGCUUGCAUCACAAUCUCUUGCUCAAUAGUGUAGAAGCAAAAUUUGUAAAUGUUAUCUCUCCCACAUUUUCAAAUUUCUAGUUUCCAAAAAAAAAAAAAAAUUGGGAAAUUCAACAAAACUUCAUUAAUGGAGGACAACUACAAAUUCUCAAAAGCUUCAUACUAUCUUGAUUCAAGAUAGUGUGAAGCAAAAUCAAUUCAUGGUACCUAACAAAGCUUCAACCUCAAAGCUUCACAUACAAGCUUCAACAAAUGGAGGGCAACUACAAAUUCUCAAAAGCUUCACACUAUCUUGAUCAAGAUAGUGUGAAGCAAAAUCAAUUCAUGGUACCAACAAAGCUUCACCUACAAAGCUUCACCACAAAAGGUUCACCAACAAAAGCUUCAACAAAUGGAGGGCAACUACAAAUUCUCAAAAGCUUCACACUAUCUUGAUCAAGAUAGUGUGAAGCAAAAUCAAUUCAUGGUAUCCAACAAAGCUUCACCUACAAAAGAUUCAACACCAAAGCUUCACCUACAAAAGCUUCAAACACCAAAGUUUCACCUACAAAAGCUUUUACCUACAAAAGCUUCAACACCAAAAGCUUCACCUAUAAAAGUUCAACACCAAAGCUUCACCUACAAAGCUUCAACACCAAAGCUUCACCUACAAAGCUUCAACUCCAAAGCUUCACCUACAAAAGUUUCAACCCCAAAGCUUCACCUACAAAGCUUCAACAUCAAAGCUUCACCUACAAAGUUUCACCUACAAAGCUUCAACAUCAAAGCUUCACCUACAAAGCUUCAACUCCAAAAGUUGCUUCACCUACAUAAGCUUCAACUCCAAAAGCUGCUUCACCUACAAAGCUUCAACUCCAAAGCUUUACCUACAAAAGCUUCAACUCCAAAAGCUUCACCUACAAAGCUUAUAUAUAUUAUAUAUAUAUAUAUAUAUAUAUAUAUAUUUUUUUUUUUUUUUUUGAAAAUUCGAAAAAAAUAAAAUAAAAAAUUCCAAAAUUUGAAGAAAAAAAAAUUCAAAAAUUCAAAAAAAAAGAAAGAGAGCCUAUACCUCACAUUCUUUGGGCGUAACAACUUUCAUAACAAAUGUACAUGAAAGAGGGGUUUUGGGCUACCACUUAGAAAGGAAAAUGGUGAAGUUUUGUUACUUUGAAAACUUGGCUACUAGCAAGACACCUCCUUCGUCAACUCCCUCGACCGAAGACUUGGGGGACUCCUACCAUAAGCUACUACACCUCGGUACUUAGAAGUUUCACGACUACUCAGUGACUUGGAUCUUUCAAGUCUCCAAACGAGAAGUUUUCCUCACUCGGGAAAUUAAGGGAGCACUACCUUAACCUACAUGCUUCACUCACAAAGCUUCAACAUACAAGCUUCAACAAAAGAAAAAAAAAUUAAAGAACUUAGUGAAGGAGGCCUUGGUGUAUUUAACACAAUACGUUGAAAUGAAGCAAAGCUUAUUUAUUGAUAUCUCCGAUAAGUUACAAAUAUGUAUAUAUACAUGAAUCAAAAUAAACAAACAAAAGGGAGCCUUCACAAAAGUUGCUCAGGAGAAGUCUCAGCAGUCGGCAGAGCCCCAGAAAAAGAAGGCACCAGAGGGUGAUCAUUCGGAGCCUCAGUACUGGACAGAACCCCAAAAAUGAGGAGGCAUCAGAGGUUGAUCAUUUAGAGCUUCAUUACGCGAUACAGCCCCAGAAGACGAAGGCAAUAAAUGCCUUUGGAACAAACCCACAAACCUCUGAUGAUCAAGCAAAAUCUGACCAUCAGAUUCCUGCAUCUGGUUAAGCUUUCUCUUCAUGUUUGUAACAAAGUCAUGUGCGAGCCUGUGCAAUUGUUUAUUCUCAUGCUUAAGCCCUUUAAUCUCCUGUUUGAGACUUAUCACUUCAGCCGCCAAUGAUUCAACUUGGUGGGUUCGAGCAAAUAGGCGUUGGGCCAUAUUAGACACAAAACCUGCACACUGAACACUGAGAGCCAGAGAAUCCUUAACAGCCAACUCAUCAGACCAUUUGGAAAGUAGUCUGUUAUCUUUAUCUUGGGGAGUGAGAAGGUUCCUGGCCACCACCGCAGCGGUCAUAUCAUUCUUCAUCACAGAGUCCCCAAUGGUAAGAUGACCAGUAAGGGAUAAGAAGGAUGGGCAUCAUAUGUUGUCUUGAAGAGGUAUGGUUGCCUCUUCACCAAAGUUCAAGUCAAAACGACGGUCGGAUGGGCCAGACAUUUUCAGAAAUGAUGAAAGAGAAAUGAGGUCCAAUAAAUCUCUGAAGUACGAAAAUAAAGGGAAAAUUCCUACAAGCAAUAACUAUUUAAACGUACUUCUUGCACAUAAUUGGUGGUCCUAUAAAAGAAAGGGCAGCAGGGCCGUUUGUUCAAAAAUAGAAGAGGCACCAUUAUCUGGAUUUCGAGAAGCAGAUUUUUCCUGAGUAAAAUAUGUCGACAAUCCCCACACACAACAUCAGCUCAUCGGGUACCACAGAUAACUUUGCGAAAGAUCUCUGACAAAGUUUAUACACAUAAAUUUUGAAGGUCCAGCUACCUUACCAUUACCCACACUGGUAAAGGAACAGCACCACUGCUUGAUAACUGGAAAGUCCCUAUGUGUGUCAACCUCCGUGCUCCGUGGCAAGGUACACAACAACAACAACAACAAAGCCUUUUCCCACUAAGUGGGGUCGGCUAUAUGAAUCCUAGAACGCCAUUGCGCUCGGUUUUGUGUCAUGUCCUCCGUUAGAUCCAAGUACUCUAAGUCUUUUCUUAGAGUCUCUUCCAAAGUUUUCCUAGGUCUUCCUCUACCCCUUCGGCCCUGAACCUCUGUCCCGUAGUCACAUCUUCGAACCGGAGCGUCAGUCGGCCUUCUUUGCACAUGUCCAAAUCACCAGAGCUGAUUUUCUCUCAUCUUUCCUACAAUUUCGGCUACUCCUACUGUACCUCGGAUAUCCUCAUUCCCAAUCUUAUCCUUUCUCGUGUGCCCACACAUCCCACGAAGCAUCCUCAUCUCCGCUACACCCAUUUUGUGUACGUGUUGAUGCUUCACCACCCAACAUUCUCUGCCAUACAACAUCGCUGGCCUUAUUGCCGUCCUAUAAAAUUUUCCCUUGAGCUUCAGUGGCCUACGACGGUCACACAACACGUCGGAUGCACUCUUUCCAUCCAGCUCGUAUUCUAUGGUUGAGAUCUCCAUCUAAUUCUCCGUUCUCUUGCAAGAUAGAUCAUAGGUAACGAAAACGGUCGCUUUUUGUGAUCUUCGCUAGAUUGCUCCGGUCAUUAGUGUGGAUAAGUAAAUAAAUGGAUAGAGAUAGGAAAGCAAACACAAGAUGUACGUGGUUCACCCAGAUUGGCUACGUCCACGGAAUAGAAGAGUUCUCAUUAAUUGUGAAGGGUUUACACAAGUACAUAGGUUCAAGCUCUCCUUUAGUGAGUACGAGUGAAUGAUUUAGUACAAAUGACAUUAGGAAAUAUUGUGGGAGAAUGAUCUCGUAAUCACGAAACUUCUAAGUAUCGGAGUGUGGUGUCGUCUUGACUUGCCUUAUCUGUCUCAUAGGUAGAUGUGGCAUCUUCUCUGGAAGUACUCUUCCUCCAUCCAGGGGUGGUAUCUUUAACUGGUGGAGAUGCACAAGGUAAUGUAUCAAUUUCACUUGAAGCUUACUUGUAGUUUCAGGCUUGGUCAAGCGCGAUACAAACCAUGUAGUAGAAGUCCCCCAAGUCGCCGAGCUAGGGGGUCUGCUGAAAGAGGUGACAGACAAGGUAAGCAAUCAGAGCUCCGACUGAUUGUUCACCUUCUCCCCAUCUUGCAGCAGCAUGAAGGAUAAAGAGAAGAAAAAUGAGAAGAGAUGAUAUGAGAUACUUUUGCUUUUGAAGAAGUAACUUUCCACAGGCUUAUUCUUGAACUAAGCUGGAGGGUUUUCUGGUUUCCUCCAGAGUAUAAGGCCGACUGAAGAAUUUGAGGGUCAAAACAAGUCCAUCAAAUCUAGAGUACGUUCCACCCUGCUGAUAUGGGAUACUUUUGCUUUUGACAGAGUAAUGGAUGUAUCGGCACGUGUGCUGUUACGCUUGUCUCCACAUGCUUCCUUGUAUCCUUCGCACUUGCCCUAUCUGUUCCUCAAGCAGAUGCGGAAUCUUCCCUGGAAACAUAAGAUGUUGAAGAUGAGUACUCGAGAGCAAUGCCAGGUAAGUAAUCAGGUAAGGGGUUCCAGGCAGUCAGUUCCUGGCUGGAAGCUUGAUUCCAAGUGCUGACUGAUUGCUCUCUUUCUCCUUGUCUUGCAGGUAAAAACAAGGCCAAAAGAAAAAACAGGAAAAAAAGCAUGAUAUGGGAUACUCUUGCUUUUAACCCUGAUGAUAUGAGAUAUUCUUGCUCUAGUAUAGCUUGUUUGCAGAGGUAUUAUCGGGGGGGAAAAGAAAGCUGAAUAUUUCGAAAGGCUUUGUUGGGAGUGCCCUCUCAGAUAUGAUGAAGGGUUGAGCAUUUUUGCAGGUCUGCCUGUCCGUUGGGGAUGGAGGUCGACAUAUAUAGGAGUCUCCCUAACAACAAGUAGUAAUGCUAUUCCUUUACCCUGCUUGGUCAUAGCACGGUAGUGGGAGCUGCCAGUUUCACAUGUUUUAACUCUGUCAGAGCACUUUGAAAAAAGUGGUCUGUGGUAUCUGGCUCUCGAGAUUCGAAGAACGAUGCCUCUUCGAUUUUUGAGAAAGCAAUCAUGUUGGGGGUCUGACUCUCGAGAUUCGGAGAGUAGUGUCUCUUCGAUUUUUGAGGAAGUAAUCAUGUUGGGAGUCUGGCUCUCGAGAUUCGGAGGGCGGUGCCUCUUCGAUUUUGGAGCAAGCAAUCUUGUUGGGAGUGUUGUCUCGAAUGUGAGUAAAGGUUGGACAUGUUUGCUAGUCUACCUUGCCACGAAGCACAAAGGUUGACACAUAGGGACUUUCCAAUUAUCCAGCAAUGGUACUGUUCCUUUACCCUCUCUUCGAUUUUGAGAAAGUAGUCAUGUUGGGAGUCUGACUCUCGAGAUUCGGAGGACGGUGCCUCUUCGAUUUUGGAGCAAGCAAUCUUGUUGGGACUGUUUUCUCGAAUGUGAGUAAAGGUUGGGCAUGUUUGCUAGUCUACCUUGCCACGAAGCACAGAGGUUGACACACAGGGACUUUCCAAUUAUCCAGCAGUGGUACUGUUCCUUUACCCUUGUGGGUAAUAAUAUGGUAGCUAGACCUUCAAAAUUUAUGUGUCGACAUGACACAGGAUCGAGCACAAUGGCGUUCUAAGAUUCAUAUAGCCGAUCCCACUCAGUGACUUGGAUUUUCCAAGUCUCAAACCAAGAAGUUUUCCUCACUCGGGAAAUUAAGGGAACACUACCCCAACCUACAUGCUCCACUCAGAAAGCUUCAACAUACAAGCUUCAACAAAAGAAAAUUCAAAGAACUUAGCGAAGAAGGCUUUGGUGUAUUUAACACAAUACGUUGAAAUGAAGGAAAGCUUAUUUAUUGAUAUCCCCGAUAAGCUACAAAUAUGUACAUAUACAUGAGUCAAAAUAAACACACAAGAGGGAGCCUUCACAAAGGUUGCUUAGGAGAAGUCUCAGCAGUCGGUAGAGCCCCAGAAAGAGAAGGCACCGGAGGGGGAUCAUUUGGAGCCUCAGUACUGGACAGAACCCUAGAAGGAGGAGGCAUCAGAGGUUGAUCAUUUGGAGCUUCAUUACGCGGUACAGCCCCAGAAGACGAAGGCAAUAAAUGCCUUUGGAACAAACCCACAAAUCUCUGAUGAUCAAGUAAAACCUGACCAUCAGUUUCCUUCAUCUGGUCAAGCUUCCUCUUCAUGUUUGUAGCAUAGUCAUGUGCGAGCCGGUGCAACUGUUUAUUCUCAUGCUUGAGCCCUCUAAUCUCCUGUUUGAGACUCAUCACUUCAGCCGCCAAUGAUUCAACUUGGCGGGUUCGAGCAAAUAGGCGUUGUGCCAUAUUAGACACAGAACUUGCACUCUGAACACUGAGAGCCAGCGAAUCCUUAACAGCUAACUCAUCAGACCGUUUGGAAAGUAGUCUGUUAUCUUUGGGAGUGAGAAGGUUCCUGGCCACCACCGCAGCGGUCAUAUCAUUCUUCAUCACGGAAUCCCCAACGGUAAGAGGACCAGUUGGGGAGACGAAGGAUGGGCGCCAUAUGUUGUCUGGAGAAGGCGGGGCUGCCUCUUCAACAAGGUUCAAGUCAAAACGACGGUCGGAGGGGCCAGACAUUUUCAAAGGUGUUGGAGAGAGAAGAGGUCGGACAAAUCAAGAUCUUAGAAGUGCAAGAAUGAAGCUUCUACUGGUGGAGAUUCAAGUGUGCUUUGGAACUUAAUGUCAGCCCCUAUAAAAAUCUGCACUCGACGGAGCUUCAGAAAUCAAAGAGGCGCCUGCUCAGAAAUCGAAGAGGCGUUUGCUUUCUCAAAAGUUGGGCUGCUUAGAGAUCACGAGGGUUGAUCUCAGAAAUCGAAGAGCCGUUUGCUUUCUCAAAAGUUGGGCUGCUCAAAGACCACGAAGGCCGAUCUCAGAAAUCGAAGAGGCGCUCGCUUUCUCAAAAGCUGGGCUCCCUAGAGACCACGAGGGCCGAUCUCAGAAAUCGAAGCUGCACCUACUUUUCCAGCCUUGUCAGCACCUGUCACACGCACACUCAGCUUUGCGGAAAUUAUGGGCAUUCUGUCAAAAGACUUCUGGGGAAGUAGAAAACACAUGAAUCUUACUGUUCAAUCACCCACUUCCCACACGCAACAAUAGCUCAUGGGUACCACAGAUAACUUUGCCAAAGUUCUCUGCCAAAGUUGAGCACGUGAAGCUUGCAGCUCCCACUACAUCGCUCUGACCAAGAAGGGUAAAAGAAUAGCAAAGAAACAGCACUAACAAAGUUUAGACCCAUAAAUUUUGAAGGUCUAGCUACCAUAUUAUUACCCACAAGGGUAAAGGAACAGUACCACUGCUGGAUAAUUGGAAAGUCCAUGUAUGUCAACCUCUGUGCUUCGUGGCAAGGUAGACUAGCAAACAUGCCCAACCUUUACUCACAUUCGAGAAAACACUCCCAACAAGAUUGCUUGCUCCAAAAUCGAAGAGGCACCGCCCUCCGAAUCUCGAGAGCCACUCUCCCAACAUGAUUACUUUCUCAAAAAUCGAAGAGACACUGCUCCCCGAAUCUCGAGAGCCAGACCCCCAGCAUGAUUGCUUUCUCAAAAAUCGGUGAGGCACCGUUCUCCGAAUCAAUCGAAGAGGCGCUCGCUUUCUCAAAAGCUGGGCUGCUCAGAGACCACGAGGGCCGAUCUCAGAAAUCAAAGAGGCACCUACUUUUCUAGCCUUGUCAGCACCUGUCACACGCACAUUCAGUUUUGCAGAAAUUAUGGGCAUUCUGUCGAAGACUUGCCCAACCUUUACUCAUAUCGAGAAAACACUCCCAACAUGAUUACUUUCUUAAAAAUUAAAGAGGCACCGCUCCCCGACUCUCGAGAGCCAGACUCUCACCAUGAUUGCUUUCUCAAAAAUCGAAGAGGCACCGCUAUCCGAAUCUCAAGAACCAGACUCCCACCAGGAUUACUUUCUCAAAAAUCGAAGAGGCACCGCUAUCCGAAUCUCGAGAGACAGACUCCCACCAUGAUCGCUUUCUCAAAAAUCAAAGAAGCGCCGCUAUUUAAAUCUCGAGAGCCAAAUCCCCAAUAGGAUUUCUUGUUCAAAAAUUGAAGAGGCAACGCUCUCCGAAUCUCAAGAGCUAAAUCCCCAACAGGAUUGCUUGUUCAAAAACCAAAGAGGCACCGCUCUCCGAACUUCGAGAGCCAGAUUUCCUUGGAUAGAAUUUGUCUGCAAUCUUCACACGCAACAUCAGCUUUCCAGAUACCACAUACCACUUUUUCAAAGUGCUCUGACAAAGUUACACAUGAAGCUUGCAACUCCCACUACAUUGCUAUGACCAAGACGGGUAAAUGAAUAGCAUUACUAUUUGUUGUUAGGAAGACUCCUAUAUAUGUCGACCUUCAUCCUCCACGGACAGGCAGACAUACAAAAAUGCUCAACCCUUCCUCAUAUCUGAGAGGGCACUCCCAACGAAGCCUCUCGAAAUACUCAGCUUUCUUCCCCCCAAUAAUACCUAUGCAAACCAGCCACACCAGAGCAAGAGUAUCUCAUAUCAUCAGGGUCAAAAGCAAGAGUAUCUCAUAUCAUGCUUUUUCCCUUCCAUUUCCUUUGCCCUUGUUCUUACCUGCAAGACAAUGAGAAAGAGAGCAAUCAGUCAACACUUGGAAUCAAGCUUCUAGUCAGGAACUGACUGCCUGGAACCCCUUGCAUGAUUACUUACCUGGCAUUGCUCUCGAUUACUCAACUUCAACAUCUUAUGCUUCUAGAGAAGAUACCACAUCUAUCUGAGGAACAGAUAGGGCAAGUGAGAAGGAUAUAAGAAAGCAUGUGGAAACAAGCAUAACAGAACACGUGCUGAUACAUCCACUACUUUGUCAACAGAAAAAGUAUCUCAUAUCAUCAGGGUCAAACGUACUCUAGAUUUGAUGGACUUGUUUUGACCCUCAAAUUCUUGAGUCGGCCUUAUACUCUGGAGGAAACCAGAAAACCUUCCAGCCCAGUUCAAGAAUAAGUCUGUGGAAAGUUACUUCUUCAAAAGCAAAAGUAUCUCAUAUCAUCUCUUCUCAUUUUUCUUCUCUUUAUCCUUCUUGCUGCCUGCAAGAUAAGGAGAAUGAGAACAAUCAGCCGGAACUCGAAAUCAAACUUCUAAUCUGGGACUGAUUGCUUGGAACUCUGAUUGCUUACCUUAUCUGUCACCUCUUUCGGUAAAUCUCCUAACUCGGCGACUUGAGGGACUCCUACUACAUGGUUUGUAUCGCGCUUGACCAAGCCUGAAACUACAAGUAAGCUUCAAGUCAAAUUGAUACAUUACCUUGUGCAUCUCCACCGGUUAAAGAUACCACCUCUAGAUGGAGGAAAAGUACUUCCAGAGAAGAUGCCACAUCUACCUAUGAGACAGAUAAGGCAAGUGAAGAUGAUACCACACUUCAGUACUUAAAAGCUUCAUGAUUACUCAGCUGCUUGGAUCUUGCAAGUCCCCAACCGAGGAGCUUCCCUCACUCGGGAACUUAGGGGAGCACUGUUUGUACCAUACUUAACCAAUCCCGAAACUACCGAGCACCGGUCAACGUUAUACCGUCAAAGACCCAGAAGAGUUUCCUUCCAACCAGGAGGCCAAUCACAGCGCGACACGUGUUGACAUCAGUAGCCAAUUAUAGCGCGACACGUGUCGACAUCAGAAGCCAAUCACAACACGACACGUGUCAAUGUCAAAACAAAGCUAGAAACUCUCUUCUAUAAAAGGAGAUCAUUCUCCCACAAUAUUGCCUAAUGUCAUUUGUACUACAUCACUCACUAGUACUCACUAAAGGAGAGCUUGAACCAAUGUACUUGUGUAAACCCUUCACAAUUAAUGAGAACUCCUCUACUCCGUGAACGUAGCCAAUCUGGGUGAACCACGUACAUCUUGUGUUUGCUUCCCUGUCUCUAUCCAUUUGCAUACUUAUCCACACUAAUGAUUGGAGCAAUCUAGCGAAAGUCACAAACUUAACACUUUCUGUUGUACCAAAGUCCUCACUGAUUUUGUGCAUCAACAAGGGUCUACCACUUGAAUAUUGUAACAUUGAGAUGUGGAGGCAAUUGAAGAUUAGAGUUUGAUUAUCAAGGAAAUGGAAACAAGCUUCAGGCUUGGUUUGAGAUGUGGAGGCAACUGCUGAUACAUAUAUGUUUGGAUGUUAUGUUUAGAAUUAUUUAAUUUUGCAUUGACAUGGUUAAAAUUCUAGAAAGAAAAAAACAUGAGAUUAUUCCUUGUUAUGAUGUUCAAGAUAUGAACUGUGAUAGCCACAACUAUUAUGUCGUAUUUUAGAAGAAUUACUUGUUGCCUUUAGCAACAAUUUGAUUUUGUUGAAAAGAAGGAAGAAAGAUGCUAUUUGUGGCAUUUGUUAUGCUAUUUGUUUCAUAGGAAAUCUGGAAAAAUCUACCAUAAAUCCCUCCAAUUUUUUUUUUCGUCAGCAAAAUCAAUUCCAAAUGAAAGAUUAAUGAGGCUUUCAAAAAAAAAAGUUUAAAAAAUGAAAAUGCUCAAAGUCCAAGCAUUCUCACCAAUUUAUUUUAGUCAUUAAAAGUAUACUUAAUGAGGUUUUCAAAAUUCUAGGCACAUUAAAAACAAUAUAAGGGAAAAUUCAGAAAUCAUAUUAAAAUAAUUAAAAUAGAUAAAUCAGAAAUAUGUAAGGAGUGUGGAUUGAGAUUUUGGGGGUGUCAAUAACAGCUUCCUAUGAAAUUUUCUUGGUUAUUCUGUACUAAAAUAUAUAAAUACAAAUAUAUAUAUAUAGAACUGUUAUUAGCACUCCAAAAAUCUCAUUUUACACUCCUCACAAGUGUAUUUUUCUUUCCAAUUAUAGAAAGUUUGGAGGGUCAAAUGAAAUUUUUGAAGUGCUAAUAACAAUUAUAUAUAUAUAUAUAUAUAUUUGUUAAAUAGUUUUAUUAUUUUUUUAAAUUUUGGAAAAUAAUUUAUAACGGACAUUAGCUGUGGUCAAUUAGUAAUCGACAAUGGUCAUAGCACAUGGUGUUAAACCCCAAUCCACCAAGGGUACAAUCCAUGGUUAUAUUGCAAUUGACAACGGGUAUAGCCUAUCCUAGAAAUUGAGACUUUUUAUUACAUCUAGAAUACUAACGGACACAGUAUCCGUGGUGGAUUGUAAUUUAUCACGAGUAGGGGUAGUAUUGGUACAAUUACCGUACCAAAACCCAUGUACCAACCAUAUGAUAUGACAAAUCUAUUACCAUUACCAUGCCAAACUCUCGGUAUACCGAAUUUCGGCAUGCCAAAUGGUUUGAUUGGCAUGGUAUGGUAAUGAUAAUUACCACUUUGUUUUGGGCCAAAAUUUGAUUUUUUCUUUUUCUUUUUCAACCCAAUUCAAGGCCCAAACGUGUUUUGGCCACUCUUUUUGGCUUUCUAAAACUUUUUAAUUUAAUUAUGAGAAUUUUAUAGAGAUUCAUUUAAGAAACAAGAAGUAAAUAGAUAGAAGAAUUGCUGAGAAAACCCAACAUCCCUAAAAAAAAUAGUACAAAGAUUCUUAAAUUCCAUCUCUACAUUCUUUGUACAAAAAUUAACUUGAUAGACGAAGCUAGGGCGAAAGACAUCCCAAUUUGAUGAAGGAGAAGAUGAGAUGGACUGCGAAAAGAGAGAGUCGCUGGAAUGGGAGCAAUAGAGAUGAAGCAUAUGGCUAAGAGUCGCAGAGCAAGAAGGCUUAUGUUUUUAUUGGGAAAGUAGAGGUUAAACGGUGAGAUGAUUUGAUAAAUGACUAGGAAAAAAAAUAUAACAUGCAUAUAUAAUGAUAAUAAUACAUAAUUAUAUAUAUAAAUGAAUAAAUAAAUGAUAUAAUAUUAAUAGUAGUGGCACGGUACGGUAUACCAUUGGUAAGUUUUAAGUAUCAUUAUCGUACCGAAAAUGUAUGGUACGAUAUAAAUACCAUACCAUUACCAAUGGUACAAAUUUUUUGACACAACUUUAGUAUGGUACGGUUGGUAAUUCAGUUGGUAUGAUAAUUUGGCAAAAAAUCCACCCCUCACAGGCAUUCAUCGUAAUGGAUGGACUUUUUUUUCCUAAUAUAUACCACUUAUGUUACGAGCAUAAAGAAAAAUUUCUCUAAACAAGGAGCAAGUGGGAAUAAUAAAUCUCAACUUUAGCACGUAAACGUAGAUAACAAGACGAGUAAAAGCAUCGAGGCAACGUUCUCCGAGAAGCUUUCAGGAACAAGAUCCGUUGACCACGAAGUAGACUUUCCUGUGCAUAGUCGACUUGGUGGGAGGUUUGCUCGUGGGGCCAUUUGAUUGGUGGGACAAAGACGUCCGUAAUUAUAAUUAUAAUGAUAGGAUUGAUUCCUCUACUCUAGAUUGAAUUGGAGCUGAAUGAUUGAAUUUGUACGGCCCUGAUUGGGCGGAUUCCGCAUUGGUCAUCAUGGCUUUGAUUGAUUAAAUGGACGUCCAGCUAGCUUGAAUUGGAACUGAAUGAUUGAACUUAAACGGUCCUGAUUGGGCGGACUCCUCUUUGGUCAUCAUGGCUCUGAUUGAUAUCAGUAUAAAGAAAGACAUUGACCAUUCUGGUUUCCAAUUCUCUCCAUCUACUGUUUUUGAGCAGAUCGGCAAAACUUGAAGAUGAACAAGUAAGUCAACUUCAAACUCCUCCGAUCCUUAUUUUUCUUUGAAUCCUUUGUCGUUGAUUGAUCUUAUAUUGUCUUGAUUAAGCAGACAUUGUUCUGAAAUGGCUGAAGGUGUUUUUUAAAAUCGUUGAUUGAACAAGUUAAAGCUCUUACGGUUAAAUCUGGCAAAAGAAAAUUACAAAACGCUUUUAGAUAGUGUAAGCUCUUUUCGGAAAAGCACUUGCUAUGGCUAGACUUUUACCAAACACAAUUUUAGCUCCAACUUUUCUAAAAACUGUUUUUAAAAAUAAAAUUGAGCAACCUCAGACCCGCCCAUGUCAACCUUCAAGUUUUCAAGUGCUUUUUGAAAGAGCACUUGAGUAUUUAAUAAAUAUGUCUAAUCUGUUCAUAGUAAAAGAGAACUGCUUAUGAGUAGAGUGUUUCUUACGAGUACAAUGGCUUUAUAAUCGUCCUUAUAAUUUACCAAUGUGUUUUGCUAAAGUGACUUCACUAGAAAUACGACGAAAGUUCUUUAGAAAACACUUCUCCGACUCGUGUACAUUUUUAAGUUUUUCUUUCAAUAUAAUGAAAAACACUUUUGAUCGUUAGAGUGACAUUGUUAGCUAUUUCAAAAACAGUUUCAAACGUAUUUGUUAUGGUUGGGUGUUAUUGGCUUACAUCCUCCAUUUAACUUUGCUUCAAUAUUUUGUUGGUGAUGACAGUAUUAGCAGUGCUGGGCUUGAACUAGCAAAUGUGCUGGUGACUUCUCCUCCCCUGCACCAGUCAUGGGCAGCUGUUCAGAAGCAAAAGCUCAACACAGCUCCUGAUCCGAAUACGCAAACGGCCUUAUAUGUUACUGAAACCAAGCAUUCAAACACCACCAUCAUAUCUUUUCUUACUUCACCCGUCAUGCUUCAAGAUCCACAAGCAAUGAUUUCGUCGUUGACUCUGAGGGACAAAAAUUUUCCCCUCUUUGAGUUUUUGUGCAGCAAAAACGCCCCAAUUUUCUCCGUCAAUGAAUUGGCAAUCGAAUUCUUCGCCUUGAAUCACAACGACCUCAACCUCGAUCUUCUGAGGACAAAGGUGCAUAUUGUUGUCUCUCUGAUAACUGAUUGUGUUUAACUGCUUAGACUAUUAAUGUUAGUGAGAAACAUUUAAAAAUCAUGUUUAUAAAUGUUAGAUUAUGUUGGCGCGAAACACUUACAAACCCUUGAUUAAUACUGUUAUAAGGGGCAUUUAUUGCAUCGUAUUAUCUCAGACUUGACUAGCUUGCUUGGUUUGGACUUAAGCAUGAUAAGAAUAGGGGCUCAAAAAAUUAAUUUCAAUUUUCUUUUAGUUUUUUUACUUCUCCCUCCACCAGUUACACACCUCACUCAAUAAAAUGUCCUACGAACACCAGAACUUCACUAUGCACUACGUGCAACGAACAUAAUUAUAUUUUCCACUUUGUAAUUGUGCAGAGACUUUCAUAAUUUUCUUUCAAAUUAACACUACCAAUCUUUAUUAGAACCAAAAAAUGGAAAAACUUAUUGAUUUGCACAAUUUACUAGAUUUUAAAAUUGCCAGAUACUUUUUAUGAAGGGAAAAAAAAACAAACUUUAACGAAAAGCAUUCGGUACUGUUCACUUUAACGAAAAACCACAUUUUUGCCCUAAAAAAUCAAUCCUGGUACUAUUCACUUUAUCAUUUAUUUUGUCCUUAUCAUUAAAACUCAAAGUUUUCAAGUCUCUUUCAUUAGUUUUCUUAAAAAAAAAUUAUGCGUGAACAACACUUCUCACAAAAAAAAAAAAUAAUGAAAUAUAUAAAUACAUACCAAAGUAAAUGUUUGCACACACUAACAUGCAAUAUAUGCAGUUUUUCAUUUUGUCAAACAAAUACAACAUAGCACAUUAAAGACAUUUUGUAAAUCCUAUGGGUUGGUUAAUAUGGGCAACAACCUUGGGUUUGGUUGUCAAGUACUUAGCAGGAUCUUCGAAAUUGUUCCAUAACACUGCUCCGAAAUUGCAUUCUUUAAUCCCUGCUUGCAAAUGCAAAAGUGGUUAUCAAUCGCUCCCUACUACUGUAAAAGGGAGAUAAUGAUAGAACUAAUUCAAUGUGAAAAACUAUAAGCUUCAAUGAAAUCAAAUGACAGGAGAAAAUUAAUGCAAGUCACCACUUCUUGAGGAUGAAGAGGGAGAGCAUCGAUGAAUAUUUUACUUCAAAUUAAGGGAUUUCUUCUAAGGAGGUUUAUAGGGUUACCUAUUUGCAAGAUGACAUUUAUGUAAACCUGUGUGGAUAACGGAGAACAUGUAGUUAAUAUAUUAUAGUUGAGAAAAGCUAUCUUUCUUCUUGUAGUUCAUUUGUAAAUUUAUAAGAAUACCUCAUGUUUAUGUAUUACCAUCACCCAGCUUUAAACCAUAUAAACAUGUGUGGAUGACUGAUUUUGUAACGUAAAAGAUAGAAAAUCAAGAUGACAUUUAGAAGUCAAGAUAAGUAGGAAAGGGAUGCAAAAAAGAAGUGGGAAAGGGAUGCAAGAUAAGUGGAAGUCACAAAGCGGAUAGCUUUUCAUAUGGCCUCAAGGUUGAUAAAUUUACAAUGGUUAAGGAUGCAAAUCCGAUAUCUCCAUAAGUUUGAGUCAGUAGAGGCACUUGAAAAUAGAAUGAUAAGAUGGUAACUUCAUUCUGGUUAAUCGAAUGUUUUAGCUAGCAGCAAGUGGGUCAAGGCUCGAUGCCAAAGUCAUAAACUAUGGUUUUAAAGCACAUUUCAGCCACCAAAACCCAGAGUACUCAUGUCAAAUAUUAACAGCCAAAAUCCUGAGUACACACGAUAAACUAUAAUUCAUUAAUGGGAAUGAAACAUCUGAGAAAAUGUGAACUCAACAACCAAAACCCAGUGUACCCAUGUCAAAUAUUAACAACAAAGGAAUUUAUGUAUGUAUGUCAGGAAUCAAACAAAAAAUUAUCACCCAAAAUAAAAAUCAAUCAGGGGUGCUUUAUGUAAUAGGAAGCCCAGAACCACUGUUCUAAGUGUUAGGCGGUUGGCCACCACCCCGAUUAAUGCCUAGACAUUUGAAAAUUAAGAAAGGGCGUAUUGACUUGUUGAGGCACCCUCCUAGACCGCCUCGAGACCCGCCUAGACCGCCUAACCCGUCUAGAUCUGCCUAGGCAUCCGCCUAGGUCACAACUCACUUAAACAGAAAAUAGAUCACUUUCAUUUUGCAUUUUAUUUUUCAAUAAAUUGUAAGAGACUUGUUGCAUACUUAAAUGAACACACAUUAUAUCCUUGUUCCCCAUGAUUUCAUUAUGUUUCAAUACUUCAUAAUGUAUAUGUCAUUCUAUUUUGUAGUUUAUGAUGAAAUUAUAUAUAUUUUAAAUAUAAAUACGUACUUAUUUACACGAAAUAUAAUAGAUUUUACUUAAAUCCGCCUAGUCCGCCUAGGCCCCGUCUAGCCGCCUAGGUUCUUGGUCCAAACCCGCCGCCCUACUAGCGCCUUUUAGAACCUUACCCAAAACAAAAUAAAAAAACGGCUAUAUGGGUUAUAGAUCAGAAAAUGGUGCUUUUGCAUGCUCAAAAGAUUGUUAAAAGGCCAUAAAAUGGUGAUUAUUAUGUAACCAAAUUGGAGAAUUUUGGAUAAGAUUAAACAACAAUAAGCAGGGAACAAAGAAAAAAUUGCAAUCAAUUUACAAAAACUUAGCAAUAAGUUCACAUAAGGAAAAAUAGCAGAUAAAUUGGGUAGCAAUCAAUUAAAAAGCGCACCCAAUCACAGAACACAAAUGUACACGCACCCAAUUUUUGUGCUAGAAAUUCAAAAUUUUUAGAGAUUUCGCAUGCAAACAAUGAAAUCAAUCAAAACCCAAUAAUAAUUACGAUCUGCAAAACAAAAUUGAAGAAAUUGAUUGUCAAAUUCAGAAUUUACCAAACAGGACGAGGAUGAAGGAGCGGGACGAGGAUGAGGGAGCAGAAUGAGCAUGACCAGGAUGGGUUAGCAGGACCAGGACGAGCGAGCAACUGUCUCGAAGAUGGUCGUAGCAAUCCGAUGAUAUUGGGGUUCUCGCUAAGAACUUCUAGUGAAGCAGUUUGUUGGAGCAAGUUUGACUUAAUCCCAUUAAACUUAAUUCUUCUGUCUAACAAACACAAGAUUACACUAACAAUUAGUCCUAUUCAGUUCAAUGAGAUCUAGUGAGCCUAAACAAACACACCCUAAGAGCUUAAUGUAGUAACAGUUGAGUCCCUUCCCCCUUUAAAGAAAAUUAAUGAAAAAUGCUUCAAAACUUUACAUUUUAAUAAAAAAUUAUUUAGUAACUUUAUUUAAUGAUAAAGAUAAAAAAAAUAAAAAAUUUAAACAUGCAUGUGCCUAGCCCGCGUCCCCCUCUCCCCCCCCCCCCAAUAUAACCAAAUAAGAAAAAGUAAAUGAAAACACACUACACAUACAUAUGAUAUUAUGUAUGAAUUAGCUAACUGUAACAACGAUGACACCUAUUUUUAGGCCUUUGACAAAAUAAGUUAACACAAACACACGUCUGGUGCUAUAAUCUCGUAAGUUUCACAAACAGUGUAGUACUAUUAAAUUUCAUAAACAAUGUUAAGUUUCAUAAACAGUAUAGUAAGUUUCAUAAACAAUGUGUAUGUAGACGCACGGUCCCCUGCGUUAGUUUUUUUUUUUUUUAAAUUAUGUCUUUUUCAUUAAAAUUUAAAGUUCUUUUGUCAUUUUUAUUAAAGUUUAAGAGUUUUUCAUUAAUAUUUAAGUAUUUUUUAUUAAAUAAAGUUAUAGCAUGAUUUUUUGUUAAAAUAAAUUUAAUCAAAUGCCUUUUCAUGAAAGUUCCCUUUCUUUAUUGUUUCAAAACCGAGUUUUAAGUAUUUUUUUUUUUCUAAUAUGAAUGAAGUUCUGAGGACCUUAUUCGUAGAGACGUCUCCGAACUGAUUAAAUGGCAGUUCAGUAAUUGACUAACUUUUAUGUAAUAUUUCAGCUGGUAGAAAGAAGCAAAUCCAACUCAUUGGUACUUGUCACUGGACAAUCUUUUGGAGGCGCUGUAGCUACCCUUUUCACCUUAUGGCUGCUAGAAAGCCUCGACUUAUCGAAAGUGAAACGUCCCCUUUGUAUCGCUUUUGGUUCACCUUUGAUCGGUGACAAACAAUUCGGACAAUGUGUGUUGCAAUUCCCAUUGUGGAGUUCUUGCUUCUUGAAUGUAGCCUCCAUCGAUGAUCCUGUACUUCAAUUCUUCCAAACCGCUUCGCAAGCGAGUGGUUAUAAGCCUUUCGGAACAUUCCUACUGUGCUCCUCUUCGGGUGGUUCUUGCUUUGAGGACCCUGAUGCCAUUUUGCAACUAUUGGUGGAAACCAGCUCUCGGUGUGCCCAAAAUCCAGGUCUGAAUUCAGGGAUUCAGUUGUUCGAUUACGGAAAGAUUUUGAAUGAUCUCAAGACUAAGGCAUUGUCUAGAGAUGUCUUUGAGUUGGUUGAAGAGGAUAGAGUUCCACUUAAAGCUGGAAUUAAAACACAGUUGGCAGCAAUAUUAGGAGUUCUCAGCUCACAGGUAUCAAACUUUCAACAGAAAUAUCUGAUUUGAUGAUGAUUUUGGGAAAUGGGUUCCGCACAAACCUGUUUAUUUCCAUCUCUUGAUUCUCCUUUGAUUUAUUUAAUCCAAAGACUAGAAAUAAACACGGGUGUGCAGGGGGGGAAUAUGAGAUUGCGGAAAUCACACCCCAUGUUUUGCUUCUAGCUACUAACUUUUCUCUCAACUACUUUUGUAAAAGUCAUUGCAGCAGCAACAACCCAACAUAGAAUUCGAAAGUCUGAUGAAAAAGAUGGUCACUCACGAACGUAAACUAGCGAUGCAGAAGACGAAGGUUUACAGUUCCUACUUGAAACUGAAUGAGAUGGAAAAGUACAUGGCCUACAUGGAAUGGUACAAGAUGUCGUCCGAAGACAUGGGAAUAGGAUACUAUGACAGGUACAGAAACAAGCGUUACGCGAGUGACAUUAUGGCCGAAGAGUACAAGAGGACGCUCUCAAGGUAUUGGCAUGACACGGUUACAGAAGCUGCGAACAAGCCCCGGCAAGAAGGAGCCGCAAUGCCAGCCCCUUUUCUUUUUGCUGGAACGAAUUACAGAAAGAUGAUCGAACCACUUUGCAUUGCAGAGUACUACAAGGAAGGUGGAAAAGAUUACAUAGAGGAAAGGCCUGGACAUUUCGUUCUUUUGGAGCAAUGGUACAAUGAAGAGGAGGAAAAUAAGAAGAAAGAGAGGGAAGAAAAGGAGAACCCACAACUGCGCAGCGCAAGCAAGCCCAAUUCAAAAGCGAAGAACGAGGCUCCUAAUCUGAAUGAUGAUUCUUGUUUUUGGGCGCACGUCGAGGAAGCGCUUAUCUGGUGCAACGAACAAGCGAGUAAUCCAGAUGCUAAGCCAAUGACCGAAUAUGAGCUUUACGUUCUGAAUAUGCUCGAGAAUUUCGCAGUUACGGUUGAUAUUUUCUUGAAAAAUAGCAGCUUCAUGCAUUGGUGGAACAAGUAUAAAGUAAUUGUGGGAAGCAACUACUCCUCAGCAUUUACCGAGGUCAUGAAGCGUAAGACUUAUCGCAAAUAUGCGGAUGGGGUCUCAGUUCGUACUGAUCAAUAAUCCAAUAUAAUUAAGUUUUAAGCAAGCAAUUAAAUCAGAUAAAGCAAGAUUAAUUUUGCUGUAUCGCUUAUGAUCUUCAUAGAGAGACGUGCAUUACUUGCAGGGCUUGUUGGUGCUACUAGUACUACUUUUGGAUAUUUUAAUUUGUUUGUGGUUUCUUUUUGUGUGGGGGUAAUGUUUCAAGGGGUAAAUCUCAGUUUAGUAUUCUUAAAUUUUGUGUUUUUCAACAUGUAGUACAUUAAGUUAUUUUUGUCUCCGAGUUAUACUUAAAUUGUUAAUUUUGGGACAGUCUCAUACAUCCGUUAGUCUGACUGUUAAGUCUCCCAUUAAUUGAUGAUGCGACGCCUAUGUGAACAAUAACUGGACGUCAUGUGUCAUUAAAAGGUUCACGUGGAAAUUCAAAAAAAAAAAAAAAAAAAAACCGAAAUUUCAAAAUUCAAAAUUUUAAAAUUUCAAAAAUUAAUAAAUUAAAAAAAGGUGGGGAUAAUUUCUUCCUCUAUCCCCGUCCCUUUUUCUCUCUUAUGCAAUUAUUGAGCUCUCCUUUGAAUCUCAGAUCCCCAGCAACCCUUGCCCUUGCGACCUUGUAACCCUUAGCAGAGGUUUGCAAACCUCGUAACCAUCGCCUUUUGUUACGAUCCAAUUCUCUAAACCCUUAAUCAACUGGCAAGUAACACAGAGGGUCGAGAGGAGGAGGGAAGGAGGAAGGUAGAAGGAGCGGAGCUCCAAUAUUUUUGUUUAUAUUUCUUUUUGUGUAAAUUCUCAUCUGAUUACAAUAGUGAGAGCUAGUGCUCUUGAGUCUUAUACAAGUCACAACUCAUCAUGCCAGCUAGCUAAUUAUAACAAACUUCACUAAAACAGGAAUAAGCCUAAUAAUCCCAAGAUUAAAACCCUUAAUAGUGAUUAAGCUAAUCACUAAUUACAGAUCAUAUCAUUACUCCCCCCUUGAAAAACAACCUUGUCCUCAAGGUUAGGAUUAGCACUUGAAAUCUGGAACUUUUUCGCAGUGAAUUCAUCAUAAGCCUCUUUGCUUUUAUUGUCUGACCAAGGCACUGCACCAAAACUUGGACUGCAAAAACCUUGGUUGAUAUCUGCAACCUAUCCCAGAUGCUGAAAAAAAAAAAAAAGAGAACAAGCUUUGGAGAUGACUCCCCGCGAAGCCUUGAUGUCUCAGCUGGAAAGAAUUUCUCCCCGUCAUGUGAUGUAUGCAGAUUAUCCCUUACAAUCAAUUCUGGACCUUCCAAGCUGAGUCUCCCUGAAACAGAUGGGAAAUUUAUUAGAAAAAUAGAUCAGCCCACAUGUGUGUAAUCUAUAUACAAAAAAUCACUCUCUUCAUUAGCCAAAUCGUUUCACAAAUCCCAAAACACAGAACUAUAUCUUGAACAGUGCUAAUUAAUGAUUUCCCAUUUACUUAAGCCCAACAUCAGCGCCAAUGAACUGAUGAAAGAGCGAAAAAGAGAAACAAAAAACCUCAAUGAAGCAAUUAAAUGGAGAAUUACUUGAUAGUGCUGGAAAAUUACUACAAAACGUUUGAAAAUUACCCAUUAAGAUUAUAAAAAAUUAAAAAAAAUUAAAAAAAAAAGAUGAUGUGGAGUGGAGUGGGAAUCACAUACCGCCAUCACCUUUAAAUAUGUAGUGCUCCCCUGAAAGAGCAUCAAGAGUGACUGUGCAGAGAAACGAAUGAUUGAAAAAUUCAAGCUCUGAGCUCAAAGUUGGGGCUUCCACUUUCCAACUGGGGAAGAAAUAAUAAAGAAAACACAGAAUCCAUCAAAAAUAUUAAUCAAAUGGGUUUCUUCUAAUUCAAAAUUUGGACCACCCAAAUUCUGAUGAAGAAAUAACCAUUCAAAAUUCCAACAGAUUGAAGCUCUCACAGACUACAAAUUAUCAAUACCCAGCAAUAAAAAAUUUGAAAACAGUAAUAAUGAAGGAAAAAGAAAUUAAAGCUGCGAGCCAUUCUCUAAAUCUCAGGCACCAAUCCAAAUCACCAGUAAUUUGCACAUAAUGAUAAGAAUCUAGCAGUAUUUCCAUUGUUUAAAACCCAAAUUCUAGAAAUCAUGAAAAAUGGAAACUUUAUAUGGAAAUUGAAGCUUUACCUGCAGAUUAGCAGCAGCAAACGAAUCCAACGGCAUAUACCUCAAAAGUGAGUGACAGAGAAAGAGAGAGCUAAGAGAUGAGUGAGAGAAUCGAUAAACAAAAACCCCCAUAACCACAAAAGGAAAUUUGAACAAAAACAAAUAUGCAAAUCCAAAAUCACAAAAACGAAAUGAAACACCCACACCGAGAAAGUUGUAAAACUCACCAGAAGCACAGUGCUUCCCAAAAUUCUAGUUGUUUCACUCCUCUCUUCCCCAAAUUUACAGGUAUGUUUUUCUUUUCUGUAAUCUGAUUAUAAAUUAUUAAAGAUGAUUACACGAACCACCGAAAUCACCACCAAAUUUCAACAAAGAAGUAACUAAGCACAACAAAAAGAAGAAGAAAAAAAAGGUUAAACUCUGUUUACUACCCUCAUGUUUCGUGGUUUUCAACAUUUAGUACAUCAAGUUUUUUUCGUCCCAGAGUCAUACCUAAAGUGUUAAUUUUGGAACAAUCUCAUACAUCUGUUAGUCAAACUGUUUAUUCUCCCGUUAAGUGAUGACGUGGCACCUAUAUGGACAAUGACUGGACUCCAGGUGUCAUUAAAUAUAUUAAAAUAAUUAAUUAAAUAAAAGUUUUAAAAAAAAAACCCAUCCCUCCUUCCCCCCUCCCCCAACCCAACCCAACCCAGAAGAAGAAAAAGGUGGAGGAAGAAAAGGGAGAAAAAGAAACCAAAUCUGGGAAGAAGAAGAAGGAAAAAAAAACCGAAUUUGGGAAGAAGAAGAAGAAGAAGAAGAAUGAGGAGGAAGAAGAUGAAGAAGACGAAGAAGAAGGAGGGAGAAGAAGAGAAAGAAGAGGAAGAAGAAGAAGAAGAAGAAGGAAGAAGAAGAAAAAAAAAACCGAAUCUGGGAAGAAAAAGAAGAAGAAGAAGAAAAAAAAAACCGAAUCUGGGAAGAAGAAGAAAGAAGAAGAAGAAGGAAGAAGAAGAGGAAGAAGAAGAAGGAGAAGGAGGAAGAAUGAUGAAGUAGAAGAAGAAGAAAAAAAAAACUGAAUAUGGGAAGAAGAAGAAGAAGAAGAAGAAGAAAAAGAAAAAAAACAGCAGCCCAAACCCAGUUCGUCCCCCUCCCCCCUGCAACCCACCUGCCUUCUCCCUCGUCCCGCGAACACGACCCACCUGUCUUCCUUCUUCUUCUUCUGGGUUACAAAUUCGAUUUUUUUUCUUCUUCUUCUUCUUCUUCUUCUUCUUCUUCUUCUAGGGGGGGCGGGGGAGAAGGAUGGGGUUUUUUUUUAAUUUAUAUUUAAUUAAUUAUUUUAAUUUUUUUUUAAUGAGACGUGGCACCCAGUCAUUGUCCACAUAGGCACCACGUUAUCACUUAAUGGGAUAAUUAACAGUUUGACUAACGGAUGUAUGAGACUGUCCCAAAAUUAACAUUUUAGGUAUGACUCUAGGAUGAAAAAAACUUGAUGUACUAAAUGUUGAAAACCACGAAACAUUAGGGUAGUAAACAGAGUUUAAUAAAAAAAAAUCAAAUAUUUGGCUUUUGGGUAUUUGAGAAAAAGUGAGAUUUAAUUACCUGUCACAGGCUACAGUAAUUGGGAGCACGAUGGGGCGGCGAGGAGAUUGAACAGAUAAGGAAGCAAAGAUCGAACAUAUAUCACGAAGCGGAAUCAAAAUCGUCAAUCGUGUUGCAGAGCACAGUUUUUUCCUUUUUGGAUUUCUGCGGUUUCUGAGGAAGAAGUCGAGAGACUUAUUGGACACCUAAGGUUAUAACCGACCUUUUAAUGUGUAAUGUACACAAAAAAGCAAGACUUGAAGAGCAACUGAAGGGCAAAAUGGGAAGAACAUUGUCGAAGGAACAGUGUUUCAGUUCUUUUUCUCUUUUAGUUAAUAUAAUAUAAUUGCUAUGCUAAAACCCAUAGUUCAGAGAAGAAUCUUGCAUGAUCACUAACAACGUAAGGGAAAAUCAAACUUUGUGUUGCUUGUUUUAUGAAUCUCUUUAUUUUUUAUUUCAAAUUUAUGAGUGUCUCACUUUUCCACAGUUUCUAAUCUGUUAUUGUUUUGGGAAAGUGGUUAAAAUGGUAUGAAAUCAUAUCUCAAUUCUCAAUUUCUGAACUUAUCAAAAUCAAAUAUCGACAACAUACUGAAAAAUUGAUAAUUUCAGUGAUUGGGUAAAAAAUGAUCAUUUUAGCCAAAUUCCCUCUUAUUUUCUGUUGUCGUAAUUUAGAUUGCAACUUUUGUAAGUUUUUCUGAUUUUGGUGUUGGUUUUUGUAGUUAAGUAUCAAGGAAUGUGUCAAGCCCCUAUUUGGACAUUCGUUUAGAAUCGACACGUGACGUCACCAAAUACCUGUACAUCUACCAUACCCUACUUCCAGGAUACGGGCCAAACACAACUCACGAUCCAAAAGCAUAGUAAUUUUUUUCGUAUACUUUAUGGCUGCAUCUAACCUCCUCAUUAGAUUGCCUACGUAUCAUAAACAGGGAUCAAGCCAUUCAUAGUUCGUCCUUCACUACCCUUGAACAAUCAUCACAUAAAUAAAUAUGUCUCAAUAUAAUACCUUCAUCCAUACCAUGUAACAUAUCAAAUAACAAACGAAGCACAGUAAUAUUCUCUAGUCAUGUUGCCAUUCACCCACACAUAUGUUUUCCAACACCAUCCAACAAUCACACCAAUCAAUAACACAUACAAUACAUCGACAUGCAGGGCUAAAGUGACAAAGUUCGGUCGAAACCUACAUCUCUAAAGCUGAAAUCGAAUCCAAGGAACCCAAACCACCCCUAGCUCGUCCCAUAUUCCUUCACGAGCCCAGAGCUUAAACUCGAGCAACUCUCGGACCUCACAUCAGAGAAAACAGGAAAUGGAGAACUACGACAAGUUCUCAAAUUCUUUCGACCGAGGUAAAACUCGAAAUACCUUCAAUCUCUACCCUUUUGAUGUUCUGAUUCAAUUUUUGAGUUGUAUACGUGUUGUGACGACGUUUAGGUGCAAAAAUCACUCGAGGAUGAACUCCCUAGUUUUCUGGCGAAGUCCGCAAGUUUCAGACCAUUUUUCUGGCCAAAACCUUUGGGCCAUUGUUCUAGCCCAACCCAACAACUCAGUCAACCUAAUCUAACCUAGCAAACCUGGCCUAACCUAGUGACCCGGAUCUGUGAAACCUGCCCAAGCCUAGAUUCGUGGGCCAGAUCCACCCUGGGAUCCGGCCCGACCCAAUUCCCAAAUGGAUUUGAAAUAUUCCAGAAUAUUCCAAGAAUAUUCUUUGGAAUAUUCCUUGUGUUGACUUUUAUGAUAUUUUCUCACGAACCUUCUUAGACUAAUUUCGACGCCUUGAGUCCGUUUUUGACAUCUAUUUAGUGAAAUUAUAAAGAUUUAAUAUGGUUGACCGGCUCGGUGUCUCGAUUCACUUUUUGGGUCAACUGUUGACUUUUCGUUGACUUUUUACAAAAUUUACCCGGGACUUCUCGUAGGGUAAUUCGACGCGCUGAUUCUGAAUCUGCUGUCUGUUUCUCCAAAUUCAAAUGUUUUAAUUAAGUUUUUACUAAUGGGCCUCUAUUAUGCUUAGGUACUCUUUAGCAUUGGCGAAUUCUUAUUUACAUGUCUGAAUGUCAGUAACCUUGCAAGUACCUGUGAGUGGACCCCUUCUCAAAUUGCAUGUUUUCAUAACUAUUAGGCUUGCAUUCAUGAAAAUAAUAUUUUUUAUAAUUCUACAUUUUAUGAAUUAUUUAUGCUUCAUAUUUGAUUUAUAUUGCUUUCACGAAGUCUUUAUGAAUUAUCUUAAUAGAUUUUGAAGAAUUAUUUAUAAUCCAUUGGUUUAAUGUUUAUGAGAACUCGUAUUUAUGGAAAUCACGUUUAUGGAUUUAUAAGAUUUGAGAUAUGUUUUAUAUACUUAUCUAGUGGGUUAUCAUACAACACAUACACACAACCUGACUAUGUAGACGUCUAUGGCCAUAGGACACAGUUGAGGAUAUUUAUGACAUACUCCCAGCUUUACUGGCGAAACCAGUGUCGGACAACUUUAAUAGCCACGGCUAGUGUCGGUAUGUUAUGUUUAUAGUUAUAUUUUCUUCUCUCGCGUAACCCAGAGUCGUAUAGCUUCACCUUCGGGUGAUGGGACCUACCAUGUUUCUUCACCGGCAUAACCUAGAGUCGUACAACUUCACCUCCAGGUGAUGAUUAUGCCUUCGGGCGACUAUGAUACCCCUAGUUGAGUAUAUCACAGAGUUUAUUUACGAGAUUCUCAUAUCUGCCUUCGGGUGUUACUAUCGAUUUCCAAAGAGGAUUUUAUCGUUACAAAAUUUUUAGCAUGCUAGAGUUUCCAAAAAAACUAUUAUGUAGUAUUAUAUGGGUUUUCAAAACAGAGAGUUAAUAUGUUCAGAAAAAGAAAACGUUUUUUGUAUUAUUACUACUAUUAUUAUAAAUUAUCGUCCACUUACCCUUUCAUUCUUGCGCCCCCUUCAGGAUUUAGAAUCGAGACGUACGAUCCCGGCGUCAGGGCACUUCCGUAUAGGUAUCUUUGAGUCUUCUCAGUGUAUGGCCCAUUUCCCUUGUUCGUGCCUUUUUAUAAUUAUUCUUUCACAUUAUUCUUGCUUAGUUGUAGGCUCUGAACACGUUUCCUUAAUUGCGUAUUUCUUUAUAGUUACAUAUUUUAGUCACUUUUGUUUACUGAUACCACUUGCAUGCAUGUUAAAAUGGCUUCGUCACCUUUAGGUGUCAGCCAGCAUGUGCCUACCCUAGUAUUCGAGGAUAUCGGGGUUGGGGCAUGUCAGCCUGGGUGGUCGUAGGUGCACAGGGGCGCGCGUGGGCCAUCAGACCUUGGGCCUGCGCUGCGUGCUGGGCUAGUGCUUGCUCUUCAUGGGUCUGGGCCUAGCUAGUAGUGAGUUGGGCUCGACUGGUAACGAGCUGGUCCUUAGUCGUCUGCCCAUGGGUUCUUUUUGCUGGUUGGCCAGCUCUGCUGGUCUUCCGUGCACCUGGACCUGCUGCAGUGGCUUAGGCCUCAUUCCCUGGGCCUAAUAUGGCAGCUGUCACGUUUUCGACCUCUUACAUGUGGUUCGUGAGCCCCUGUUUCAACGUAGUUGGCCAUUUGUAGCACGCGCUUGGGCCUCGGCUUAGGCUGCUACUAUGAAAUCACAUUCUUGGAUUUCACUAUUAUAAUUUCCAUGUUUUGUAUUCGCGAAAUUUUAUAUUAUUUUUUGCAAAUUUAAUUUAAUUUAGUUAAUUUAGAAUUUUAAUUCCUUAGUUACAAAGUUUGAAAUUUUGAAAAGAAUCAUUUAAAAUUUGUAGACCUUUCAAGUUCAAAAUUAAUGUUUUCAAAAAAGAUCAAUCAUACGAACGUGUAGGCAAAAGCCGUUCACGAACGGAGCUAUAACAAAGUUAUGAGUGACGAAAGUUGGAGAUAAAUGUUAAUUUAGGAAUUUCUCUAAAUGAAAACUUACUAUUUUUAUUUGGAAGAGGGACCAAUCAGAUUGGGGAAAAGCCCAUUUAAUGGGAGGAUGGACUAAUCAGAAAUGGGAGGAAGGUUGACCAAUCAGAAAAGAUAGAACCAACAGAGCCGAAUCCUCCCUCAACCCGCAGGACCCGGUUUCUGGCGACUUUUGCUUCCUUUUUUUUGUCAAUUUUUCGACGAGUUGGAGACAUCCAUCACCACCACAUGACUCAUCAACCUCCCCUCUUCAAUUCUCACCUAAACUCAACUCAGUUUUACUCUAAUUUCAUGAUGAACUCCUUCGGCGAGUUCAUGAGUCCUGCAUUGGUGAUCUGCCAUUUUUUAAAGUUAUUUUUUUUACCACCACCACCCACAAACACCCUUUAAGCCCAGGAACAUGACCCAAACAAGUUUGGGGUGAACAGAGCAACGAAGAGGAUGAAUCAAAGUGCACCAUUUUUAGGGUUUUCCGAUGGAUCGUGGUAUUAUCAGGCCUUAGACCUCGACCCAUGUAUAAAACUUACUCCCUUCUUCAAGAUCUUUAUUUUGGUAUAAUUUGAGAAAUUUUGGAGUUAGGUGAAUUUUCGAACAAAUCGGGGCGGUCAACCACCUCGUGCGGCAGCGCGUGCUGGUGGCGCAUAGCUCGAGGACCCAUUUGGUCCUUCUUGAGUACAUUUGAUGCCCAAUUCCAUAUUUGAUAUCUGAUUGAAAAAAAUUUGUCGCUUGAACAUAUUUUCGUUAGGGUCCGCCACUUGAAUAUUGUAACUUUGAGAUGUGGAGGCAAUUGAAGAUUAGAGUUUGAUUAUCAAGGAAAUGGAAACAGGCUUCAAGCUUGGUUUGAGAUGUGGAGGCAACUGCUGAUACAUAUAUGUUUGGAUGCUAUGUUUAGAAUUAUUUAAUUUUGCAUUGACAUGGUUAAAAUUCUAGAAGAAAAAAAAUGAGAAAUUUCCUUGUUAUGAUGUUCAAGAUAUGAACUGUGAUAGCCACAACUAUUAUGUCAUAUUUUAGAAGGAAUACUUUUUGCCUUUAGCAACAUUUUUAUUUUGUUGAAAAGAAGGAAGAAAGAUGCUAUUUGUGGCAUUUGUUAUGCUAUUUGUUUCAUAGGAAAUCUGGAAAAAUCUACCAAAAAUCCCUCCAAUUUUUUUUCGUCAGCAAAAUCAAUUCCAAAAGAAAGAUUAAUGAGGCUUUCAAAAAAAUUUUAAAAAAAUUAAAAUGCUCAAAGUCCAAGAAUUCUCACCAAUUUAUUUUAGUCAUUAAAAUUAUACUUAAUGAGGUUUCCAAAAUUCUAGGCACAUUAAAAACAAUAUAAGGGCAAAUUUGGAAAUCAAAUUAAAAUAAUUAAAAUAGAUAAAUCAGAAAUAUAGGAGUGUGGAUUGAGAUUUUGAGGGUGUCAAUAACAGCUACCUAUGCAAUUUUGUUGGUUAUUAUGUACUAAAAUAUAUAAAUACAAAUAUAUAUAGGGAACUGUUAUUAUCACUCCAAAAAUUUUAUUCUACACUCCUCAUAAGUGUAUUUUUUUUUUUAAUUAUAGAAAGUUUGGAGUGUCAAAUGAGAUUUUUUGAGUGUCUAUAUAUAUAUUGUUGAUGCACAAAACCGGAGGUCUUGGAACAACGUAAAUCCGACCGUGAAUCUGCAUAAAAUGUAAAUAACACAAGAUGUAUCGUGGUUCACCCCAAGGUUUGGGCUACGUCCACAUUGAUAGUUGAUUCUGUUUCUCUGUAAUUGUAUGGAUACAAGUGUUUGGGGGAAGUCCCCCGGAGGAGAAAGAAGAGAAGGGAGAGGAGAGCCUCGGUGGUGUGAGGUCUCUCCUGAAUGUAAUGAUAGCUUCUCUUAGCCUUCUUAGGCUUGGCUCUUUUGCCUCCUUUAGAAUGAGGGUAGGAGUCCCCUUUUAUAGAAUAAGGGGCUCCUCCUCUUUUACAAAGUAUGGGCUUUAGUGUGAGGCCCAAAUACAAGGCCCAAGGCCCAAAUAUACGAGGCCCUAAAUAUGGUAUAAACAUAUAUAUAUUUGUUAAAUAGUUUUUUUUUUAUUUUUUUUAUUUUUGGAAAAUAAUUUAUAACGGGCAUUAGCUGUGGUCAAUUAGUAAUCGACAAUGGUCAUAGCAUGUGGUGUUAAACCCCAAUCCACCAAGGGUACAAUCCAUGGUUAUAUUGCAAUUGACAACGGGUAUAGCCUGUCGUAGAAACUGAGACUUUUUAUUACAUCUAGAAUACUAAUGAACACAGUAUCCGUGGUGGAUUGUAAUUUAUCACGGGUAGGUGUAGUAUUGGUACAAUUACCAUACCAAAACCCAUGUACCAACCUUAUGAUAUGACAAAAUCUAUUACCAUUACCGUGCCAAACUUUCGGUAUACCGAAUUUCGGCAUGCCAAAUAGUUUGAUCGGCAUGGUAUGGUGAUGAUAAUUACCACUUUGUUUUGGGCCAAAAUUUGAUUUUCUUUUUCUUUUUCUUUUUCCACCCAAUUCAAGGCCCAAACGUGUUUUGGCCACUUUUUUUGGCUUUCUAAAACUUUUUAAUUUAAUUAUGAGAAUUUUAUAGAGAUUCAUUUAAGAAACAAGAAGUAAAUAAAUAGAAGAAUUGCUGAAAGAACCCAACAUCCCAGAAAAAAAAUACCUCAAAGAUUCUUAAAUUCCAUUUCUACAUUAUUUAAAAUUGUACAAAAAUUAACUUGAUAGACGAAGCUAGGGAGAAAGACAUCUCAAUUUGAUGAAGGAGAAGAUGAGAUGGAUUGCGAAGAGAGAGAAUCUUCGGAACGGGAGCAACAUAGAUGAAGCUGAUGGCUAGAUGAGAGAAAAAAUGAAGAGUCGCAGAAUAAGAAGGCUUAUGUUUUUUAUUGGGAAAGUAGAGGCUAAACGGUGAGAUGAUUUGAUAAAUGACUAGGAAAAAAAUAUAUAAAAUGCAUACAUAAUGAUAAUAAUACAUAAUUAUAUAUAAAAAUGAAUAAAUAAACGGUAUAAUAUUAAUAGUGGUGGUACGGUAGGGUAUACCAUUGGUAAUAGUUUUAAGUAUCAAUAUUGUACCGAAAAUGUAUGGUACGGUAUAAAUACCGUACCAUUACCAAUGGUACAAAUUUUUUGGCACAACUUCUGUAUGGUAGGGUUGGUAAUUCGGUUAGUAUGGUAAUUUGGCAAAAAAUUUCAUCCCUCACAGGCAUUCAUCUAGAUAGAUGAACUUUUUUUUCCUAAUGUGUACCACUUAUGUUAUGAGCAUAAAGAAAAAUUUCUCUGAACAAGGAGCAAGUGGGAAUAAUAAAUCUGAACUAUAGCACGUACACGUAGAUAACAAGACGAGGAAAAGCAUCGAGGCAACGUUCUCCGAGAAGCUUUCAGGAACAAGAUCCGUUGACGACGAAGUAGACUUUCCUGUGCAUAGUCGACUUGGUGGGAAGUUUCCUCGUGGGGCCAUUUGAUUGGUGGGACAAAGACGUCCGUAAUUAUAAUUAUAAUGAUAGGAUUGAUUCCUCUACUCUAGAUUGAAUUGGAGCUGAAUGAUUGAAUUUGUAAGGCCCUGAUUGGGGGGAUUCCUCAUUGGUCAUCAUGGCUUUGAUUGAUUAAAUGGACAUAUAGCUAGCUUGAAUUGGAACUGAAUGAUUGCACUUAAACGGUCCUGAUUGGGCGGACUCCUCUUUGGUCAUCAUGGCUCUGAUUGAUAUCAGUAUAAAGAAAGACAUUGACCAUUCUGGUUUCCAACUCUCUCCAUCUACUGUUUUUGAGCAGAUCGGCUAAAGCUUGAAGAUGAACAAGUUGAUAAAGUUUGUUUAUUUUGUGUUUUUGAUUGAGUGUUUGAAUCGGUUUCUUUUUGGUAGGAUAGUAGAGAAAUUGAAAAAGAUAACUUGGAGAUUGGUUUCUGCUAUGCAAAUAAUGCAGCAGCCUUGAUUGAAUAAGAAGAGUGAUUUUUACACAAGAGUAUGGUGCAUUUCCAUCACCCAUACUUUCUACAAAAGGUGAUUGACAAGAGGCCUUAACAACCAUUAAGCCUUACUACUCCAGAUUACAUCUUAACCCUUCAUUUUGGGGUUAAAUGAUUUAAUCUGGAGUGUACAUUUGUCACUCACACACUUACACAAACAUUUAAAAACAAAACUAGCCGUUGGAGACUAGAACCCUUCAUUUUCUUUCUUCUUCUUCGAUGCAGAUGACAUCCUUUUGCUCGGGAGUAUCUUGCUGCCUUCGACUCCCCGACUCCAGGAGCUGGUUAGCUUCCAACACUCCCUUCUAAACUGCUUCUGGGAGUCAAUCCGAGCAAACCCCUCAGGUAAUUGAAUCUCUCCUUCGGUAGUGCUUUUGUGAAUAUGUCUGCGAUCUGAUCUUCUGUGCUGCAAUAGAUUAGCUUGAUUGUGUUGUCUUGCAAUGCUUCUCUGAUGAAAUGAUAUCUUCUCUUGAUGUGUUUUGUUCUCUGAUGAAAUACUGGGUUUUUAGUCAUGGCAAUUGCAGAGGUGUUGUCACACAGAAGUGGUGUGGCUUCAACUUGCAAUUCGCCAAAAUCUUUAAGUAUGAACCUUAGCCAAAUGGCUUGAGAUGUAGCUUCUGAUGCACUUACAUACUCUGCCUCGGCUGUGGACAGUGCAACACUUUGUUGCUUCACAGAGGCCCAUGAAAAAACCCCUGAUCCGAAAGUGAAAGCAUAGCCCGAUGUGCUUCUACUAUCAUCCUCACUGCCACCCCAGUCACUGUCACAGAAUCCAAUUAGAAUAGAUGACUUUCCCAUCUCAUAUUUGAUCCCAUAAUCAAGAGUUCCUUGCACAUAUCUUAGCACUCUCUUAGCCGUGCCCAUAUGUAUCUUGCUAGGAUUCUGCAUAAACCUAGAAAGUAGGCUUGCUGAGAACAUCAGAUCCGGCCUUGUUGCUGUUAGAUACAAUAGACUGCCAACAAUGCUUUUAUAGAGACUAGCAUCUGCAGGUUCACUUCCAUCCUCCUUCUUGAGCUUCUCAUUUGCAAUUAAGGGUGUAGAAAACUGGUUUGCAACCUUUCAAACCAAACUUUUCAAGCAAAGUUUCAGCAUACUUCUUUUGAUGAAUAAAAAUGCUACUUGCUUUUUGAAUUACCCCAAUGCCAAGAAAAUGAUGCAAGAGGCCUAGGUCAGUCAUCUCGUACCUCUUCAUCAUUUCUUCCUUGAACUCUUCCAUCAUUGCAGCAUCAUUUCCAGUGUAGACAACAUCAUCCACAUAGAUUGAGACAAUGAGUGUCUUGUUGUUGCUUUCUGUCUUGGUGUAGAGUGUAGCUUCACUAGGACUUUUCUGAAAUCCUUUCUCAAUGAAAUAUGAAUCAAUCUCACUGUACCAAGCUCUUGGAGCUUGUUUUAGGCCAUAAAGAGCCUUCCUCAACUUGUACACUUUUUCUGGAAACUCUUGAUUUGUGAACCCUUGAGGUUGUUCCACAAACACUUCCUCCUCUAGCACUCCAUUUAGAAAUGCAGAUUUAACAUCCAAUUGAUGCAACUUCCAACCCUUCUUGGCUGCUAGUGCUAUCAAGGUCCUUAUGGUGUCUAACCUUGCUACUGGAGCAAAGGUUUCAUUGAAGUCUACACCAGGUUUCUGUGAGUAACCUUUGGCCACUAACCUGGCCUUGUUCUUUUGCACAGAACCAUCUAGAUUUAGCUUCACUUUGUACACCCAUUUUACACCAAUCACAGGCUUCUCACUUGGUCGAUUUACAAGUUCCCAAGUGUCAUUCUUUUCUAUCAUUUCAAGCUCUUCCUUCAUUGCUUUCUUCCAAGCUUUGUCUUUCUCAGCUUCUUCAUACGUUUCUGGUUCUACUACACAGUAAUUACAUGUAGCAUAAAUCUCAUCCAGAUUUCUCAAUCUUACUGGAGUUGAACUAGGAGUUGUUGUCUGUGAUUGACUUGAUUGUGGACUCAUAGUAGCUUGCUGUGGAGUCCCUUGUAUGUCACCAUUAUCUGUGACUUCUUCUUGAACUGAGGUCUCUAUAGGCUCCCUUGUUUGCCUUUUGUUUAGGUCAAUUUGUAGAGAGACACUGUCCUUUUCCUCUACCAUUGUAUCCCAGUUCCACAUUGAGUCUUCAUCAAAGAUAAUAUCCCUUGAUAGGAUUAUCUUUUGAGUCAAUACAUUAUAAACUCUGUAUCCUUUCUCACUGGUACCAUAGCCUACAAAAACACCCUUGUUACUUGAUUUCUCCAACUUGUGCCUUAGUUGAUGAGGGAUGAGAUUGUAGCAUACUGAGCCAAACACUCUCAGAUGCUUCACAGAAGGCUUCCUUCCACUGAACACUUCAAAUGGAGUCUUCUUCUCCAAUGCCUUAGUAGGACACCUAUUCAAUAGAUACACUGAGGUGUGUUCACAGCUUCACCCCAAAAUUUAUAAGGCAUGUUCUUCUCAUGCAUCAUAGACUUAGCCAUUUCGACUAUAGUCCUAUUCUUCCUUUCUGCAAUCCCAUUCUGUUGUGGUGUAUAUGCCACAGUGAGUUGCUUCUCUAACCCUACAUCUUCACAAAAUACAUUGAACUCAUGUGAGGUGUACUCACCACCCCUAUCACUUCUUAGUCUUUUGAUUUGGUAUCCACUUUGCAAUUCCACCAUUGCCUUAAACUUCUUGAAUAUUGUGAAUACCUCAGACUUGAACCUCAUGAAAUACACACCACACAUCCGUGAAUAAUCAUCAUCAUGAAGGUUAGGAAAUACCUGUUUCCACUGAUUGUUGUUGUUCUCAUUGGUCCACACACAUCUGAGUGAAUCAAUUCGAGUGGCUUUGUUGCCCUCCAAGCCUUUCCAGCUUCAAAUGAAUCUCUGUGAUGCUUGCCAAACACACACCCUUCACAGAUUUCAUUGCAUUGAUCCAUUUUUUGGUAUACCUUGCACCAUUUCAUCCUUUUGCAGAUUUUGUAAGCUUGUCAUGUUUAAAUGACCAAGUCUCUUGUGCCAUAGUUUCAUAGAACUUGUCACACUUGCUUUCUUUGCCACUUCUUCUAAGUACUUCAGUACAAGUGGAAAGCUUCUGUUUUUCACUUCCACUUUGGUCACCAAGUUUGAUAGGGAUCUGUCAUCAUAGAUCUCAACCACAGUCCCCCCAAAGAGUAGGAAAUAGCCAUGCUCCAUCAUUUGACCCACACUAAGUAGAUUCUCAUCCAAUCCAGGCACUAGCAUCACCUCCCUUAUACAUCUUCUUCCUUUCUUGGUGUUGAUAACCAGAGUUCCUCUUCCAGUGGCUUUGACAAUGUUUCCAUCACCCAUUUUCACUUUUCCAGUGAAGUUUGUGUCGAUGUCAAUAAGUAAAGACUCAUGUGCAGUCAUGUGGUUGCUGCAGCCACUGUCAAUGUACCACACUUCAUUGUUUCUCUCCAUUUUUGCAUUGAAAGCACAGAACACAUUUGCUUCUUCUUCCACUUGAUUUGCACAGUUUACUUGUUGCACAUUCUUUGAUCUGCAGUCCUUCAUAAUGUGCCCAAACCUGUUGCAUUUGUGGCAUCUAGGCUUGUCCUUGAACCAACACUCUCCAAGGUGGAAUUUAUCACAGUGCUUACAUUGCUGCUUGGUUCUUGGACCUACAUUGGUGUUGCUGCCUUGGUUAGGUCUUGAGUUGUGAUACCCUUUUCCUUCCCAUUUCUUGCUUUUGCCCUUCCACUGUGGUUUCUGAUUGCUUGCACUGGCUUGACUGCUAGAUCCAACAUUGAGUGUUUGAAAGGCUUUCUCAGGUGCAGAGUCAGCAUGCCUCUCGAGCCUUUGAUCAAAAGCUCUUAAGGAUGCCAUCACCUCUUGUACACUGAGUGUUUCAGUGUCUUUGGUUUCUUCUAUAACACUCACUAUUGAAUCAUAGGGUUUAGUCAAACUAAUCAACAGUUUUUGGACAAUUCUUUCAUUAGGCAGUUCCUCACCAUAUGUUUUCAUCUUGUUUACAACAUCAUCAAACAGCCUAGUGAAGUAGUCUUUUAACAGCUCAUUUUUCCCUCAUUCUUGUAUACUCAAAAUCUCUUCUAAGGGACUGAAGUUUUACCUUUCUAACUUUGGUGUCUCCUCUGUAUUCUUGCUGUAAAACUUCCCAAGCUCCCUUUGCAGUCUCUUCAUUUGCUAUCCUCGGAAAAAUGGUGUUGUCUGAGACAGCACCUUGAAUGAUUCCAAGUGCUCUAGCAUCCUCCAUCCGAUUCUGCUUCAGUGUUUUGAGUUGUGUUUCUGUGAGAUCCUCCUCUAGAGCAUCGAUCUCCAUCUCAGGUAGUUCAUACCCAUGUUGAACCAUAUAUCCCAUAGAUCAUAGGAUUUGAAAAUGGUUGUCAUUCUUAUUCUCCAAAAAUCAUAAUUCUCCCCAUCAAAGACUGGAGCUUUUAGCUCACUGCUACUGCUGGAUCCUUUCAUUUCCAGAAUUGUUUGUUGAUUAUUGUUAUAGAAGACACUACGUUGGUGCUCCCAAAGAUCUUAUCUUGCACAGAUUACGCCCCGAAAGUUGUAAGAUCAAUAACAAAGCUCUGAGGCCAUGAUAAAGUUUGUUUAUUUUGUGUUUUUGAUUGAGUGUUUGAAUCGGUUUCUUUUUGGUAGGAUAGUAGAGAAAUUGAAAAAGAUAACUUGGAGAUUGGUUUCUGCUAUGCAAAUAAUGCAGCAGCCUUGAUUGAAUAAGAAGAGUGAUUUUACACAAGAGUAUGGUGCAUUUCCAUCACCCAUACUUUCUACAAAAGGUGAUUGACAAGAGGCCUUAACAACCAUUAAGCCUUACUACUCCAGAUUACAUCUUAACCCUUCAUUUUGGGGUUAAAUGAUUUAAUCUGGAGUGUACAUUUGUCACUCACACACUUACACAAACAUUUAAAAACAAAACUAGCCGUUGGAGACUAGAACCCUUCAUUUUCUUUCUUCUUCUUCGAUGCAGAUGACAUCCUUUUGCUCGGGAGUAUCUUGCUGCCUUCGACUCCCCGACUCCAGGAGCUGGUUAGCUUCCAACACAAGUAAGUCAACUUCAAACUCCUCGUAUCCUUAUUUUUCUUUGAAUCCUUUGUCGUUGAUUGAUCUUAUACUGUCUUGAUUAAGCAGACAUUGUUCUGAAAUGGCUGAAGGGUGUUUUUCAACAAGUAAAAGCUCUUACGGUUAAAUCUGGCAAAAGAAACUUACAAAACGCUUUUAGAUAGUGUAAGCUCUUUUCGGAGAAGCACUUGCUAUGGCUAGACUUUUACCAAACACAAUUUUAGCUCCAACUUUUCUAAAAACUGUUUUUAAAAAUAAAAUUGAGCAACCUCAGACCCGCCCAUGUCAACAUUCAAGUUUUCAAGUGCUUUUUCAAAGAGCACUUGAGUAUUUAAUAAACAUGUCUAAUCUGUUCAUAGUAAAAGAGAACUGCUUAUGAGUAGAGUGUUUCUUACGAGUACAAUGGCUUUAUAAUCGUCCUUAUAAUUUACCCAUGUGGAAUUUCAUUCUUACUAGUGUUUUGCUAAAGUGACUUCACUAGAAAUACGGCGAAAGUUCUUUAGAAAACACUUCUCCUACUCGUAUACAUUUUUAAGUUUUUCUUUCAAUAUAAUGAAAAACAUUUUUUAUCGUUAGAUUGACAUUGUUAGCUAUUUCAAAAGCAGUUUCAAACGUGUUUAUUAUUAUAUGGUUGGGUGUUAUUUGCUUACAUACUCCAUUUAACUUUGUUUCAAUAUUUUGUUGGUGAUGACAGUAUUAGCAGUGCUGGGCUUGAACUAGAAAAUGUGCUGGUGACUUCUCCUCCCCUGCACCAGUCAUGGGACGCUGUUCAGAAGCAAAAGCUCAACACAGCUCCUGAUCCGAAUGCACAAACGGCCUUAUAUGUUACUGAAACCAAGCACUCAAACACCACCAUCAUAUCUUUUCUUACUUCACCCGUCACACUUCAAGAUCAACAAGCGAUGAUUUCGUCGUUGACUCUCAGGGACAAAAAAUUUCCCCUCUUUGAGUUUUUGUGCACCAAAUACAACACAAGUUUCACCGUCAAUGAUUUGGCAAUCAAAUUCUUCGCCUUGAAUUACGACAACCUCAACCUCGAUCUUCUGAGAACAAAGGUGCAUAUUGUUGUCUCUCUGAUAACUGAUAGUGUUUAACCGCUUAGACUAUUAAUGUUAGUGAGAAACAUUUAAAAAUCAUGUUUAUAAUGUUAGAUUAUGUUAGCGUGAUACACAUACAAACCCCUCAUUAAUACUGUUAUAAGGGUGCAUUUGUUAUCUCGGACUUGACUAGCUUGCUUGGUUUGGACUAUGCAGGAUAAGAAUAGUGGGCUCAAACAAUUAAUUUCAAUUUUCUUUUAAUUUUUUUACUUCUCCCUCCACCUGUUACACACCUCACUCAAUAAAAUGUCCUACGAACACCAGAACUUCACAAUGCACUACGUGCAACGAACAUAAUUAUAUUUUCCACUUUGUAAUUGUGCAGAGACUUUCAUAAUUUUCUUUCAAAUUAACACUACCAAUCUUUAUUAGAACCAAAAAAUGGAAAAACUUAUCGAUUUGCACAAUUUACUAGAUUUUAAAAUUGCCAGAUACUUUUUAUGAAGGGAAAAAAAAUGAUGCGUGAACAACACUUCUCACAAAAAAAAAUAAUGAAAUAUAUAAAUACAUACCAAAGUAAAUGUUUGCACACACUAACAUGCAAUAUAUGCAGUUUUUCAUUUUGUCAAACAAAUACAACAUAGCACAUUAAAGACAUUUUGUAAAUCCUAUGGGCUAGUUAAUAUGGGCAACAACCUUGUGUUUGGUUGUCAAGGACUUAGCAGGAUCUUCGAAAUUGUUCCAUAACACUGAUCCGAAAUUGCAUUCUUUAAUCCCUGCUUGCAAAUGCAAAAGUGGUUAUCAAUCUCUCCCUACUACUGUAAAAGGGAGAUAAUGAUAGAACUAAUUCAAUGUGAUAAACUAUAAGCUUCAAUGAAAUCAAAUGACAGGAGAAAAUUAAUGCAAGUCACCACUUCUUGAGGAUGAAGAGGGAGAGCAUCGAUGAAUAUUUUAGUUCAAAUUAAGGGAUUUCUUCUAAGGAGAUUUAUAGGGUUACUUAUAUGCAAGAUGACAUUUAUGUAAACCUGUGUGGAUGACGGAGAACAUAUAGUUAAUAUAUUAUAGUUGAGAAAAGCUAUCUUUCUUCUUGUAGUUCAUUUGUAAAUUUAUAAGAAUACCUCAGGUUUAUGUAUUACCAUCACCCAGCUUUAAACCAUAUAAACCUGUGUGGAUGACUGAUUUUGUAAUGUAAAAGAUAGAAAAUCAAGAUGACGUUUAGGAGUCAAGAUAAGUGGGAAAGGAAUGCAAGAUGAGUGGAAGUCACAAAGCGGAUAGCCUUUUAUAUGGCCUCAAGGUUGAUAAAUUUACAAUGGUUAAGGAUGCAAAUCCGAUAUCUCCAUAAGUUUGAGUCAGUAGAGGCACUUGAAAAUAGAAUGAUAAGAUGGUAACUUCAUUCUGGUUAAUCGAAUGUUUUAGCUAGCAGCAAGUGGGUCAAGGCUCGAUGCCAAAGUCAUAAACUACGGUUUUAAAGCACAUAUCAGCCACCAAAACCCAGAGUACUCAUGUCAAAUAUUAACAGCCAAAACCCUGAGUACACACAAUAAACUAUAAUUCAUUAAUGGGAAUGAAACAUCUGAGAAAAUGUGAACUCAACAACCAAAACCCAGUGUACCCAUGUCAAAUAUUAACAACAAAGGAAUUUAUGUAUGUAUGUCAAGAAUCAAACAAAAAAUUAUCACCCAAAAUAAAAAUCAAUCAGGGCUGCUUUAUGUAUUAGGAAGCCCAGAACCACUAUUCUAAGUGUUAGGCAGUUGGCCAUCACCCCGAUUAAUGCCUAGACGUUUAAAAAUUAAAAAAGGGUGCCUUGACUUGUUGAGGCACCCUCCUCGACCGCCUAACCCGUCCAGACCUGCCUAGGCAUCCGCCAAGGUCACGACUCACUUAAACAGAAAAAAUAUCACUUUCAUUUUGCAUUUUAUUUUUUCAAUAAAUUGUAAGAUUUGUUGCAUACUUAAAUGAACACACAUUUUAUCCUUGUUCCCCAUGAUUUCAUUAUGUUCCAAUACUUCAUAAUAUAUAUGUCAUUCUAUUUUGUAGUUUAUGAUGAAAUUAUAUAUAUUUUAAGUAUAAAUAGGCACUUAUUUACACGAAAUAUAAUAGAUUUUACUUAAAUCCGCCUAGUCCGCCUAGGCCCCGUCUAGCCGCCUAGGUUCUUGGUCCAAACCUGCCGCCCGACUAGCGCCUAGCGUCUUUUAGAACCUUGCCCAGAACAAUAUAAAAAAACGGCUAUGGGUUAUAGAUCAGAAAAUGGUGCUUUUGCAUGCUCAAAAGAUUGUUAAAAGGCCAUAAAAUGGUGAUUUUUAUGUAACCAAAUCGGAGAAUUUUGGAUAAGAUUAAACAACAAUAAGCAGGGAACAAAGAAAAAAUUGCAAUCAACUUACAAAAACUUAGCAAUUAGUUCACAGAAGGAAAAGUAGCAGAUAAAUUGGGUAGCAAUCAAUUAAAAAACACACCCAAUCACAGAACACAAAUGUACACGCACCCAAUUUUUGUGCUAGAAAUUCAAAAAAUUUAGAGAUUUCGCACGCAAACAACGAAAUCGAUCAAAACCCAAUAAUAAUUACGAUCUGCAAAACAAAAUUGAAGAAAUUGAUUGUUAGAUUCAGAAUUUACCAGACAGGACAAGGAUGAAGGAGCGGGACGAGGAUGAGGGAGAAGAUCGAGCGUGACAAGGAUGGGCGAGCAGGACCAGGACGAGCGAGCAACUAUCUCGAAGAUGGUCUUAGCAAUCCGGUGAUAUUGGGGUUCUCGCUAAGAACUUCUAGUGAAGCGGUUUGUUGGAGCGAGUCCGACUUAAUCCCAUUAAACUUAAUGUCUAACAAACACAAUAUUACACUAACAAUUAGUCAUAUUUAGUUCAAUGAGAGCUAGUGAGCCUAAACAAACACACCUUAAGAGCUUAAUGUAGUAACAGUUGAGUCUCUUCCCCUUUUAAAGAAAAUUAAUAAAAAAUGCUUUAAAACUUUGCAUUUUAAUCAAAAAUCAUUUAGUAACUUUAUUUAAUGAGAAAGAUAAAAAAAUAAAAAAUUUAAACAUGCAUGUGCCCAGCCCGCGUCCCCCCCCCCCCCCCAAUAUAACCAAAUAAGAAAAAGUAAAUGAAAACACACUACACAUACAUAUGAUAUUAUGUAUGAAUUAGCUAAUUGUAACAACGAUGACACCUAUUUUUAGGCCUUUGACAAAAUAAGCAAACACACGUCUAGUGCUAUAAUCUCGUAAGUUUCAUAAACAAUGAAGUAUUGUUAAGUUUCAUAAACAAUGUAGUACAGUUAAGUUUCAUAAACAGUGUAGUAAGUUUCAUAAAUAAUGUGUAUGUGGACGCACGGGUCCCCCGCGUUAGUUUUUCUUUUUAAAAAAAUUAUGUCUUUUUCAUUAAAAUUUAAAGUUCUUUUGUCUUUUUUAUUAAAAUUUAAGAGUUUUUCAUUAAUAUUUAAGUAUUUUUCAUUAAAUAAAGUUAUAGCAUGAUUUUUUGUUGAAAUAAAUUUAGUCAAAUGCCUUUUCAUGAAAGUUCCCUUUCUUUAUUGUUUCAAAACCGAGUUUUAAGUAUUUUUUUCUAAUAUGAAUGAAGUUCUGAGGACCUUAUUCGUAGAGACGUCUCCGAACUGAUUAAAUAGCAGUUCAGUAAUUGACUAACUUUUAUGUAAUAUUUCAGCUGGUAGAAAGCAGCAAAUCCAACUCAUUGGUACUUGUCACUGGACAAUCUUUUGGAGGCGCUGUAGCUACCCUUUUCACCUUAUGGCUGCUAGAAAGCCUCGACUUAUCGAAAGUGAAACGUCCCCUUUGCAUCGCUUUUGGUUCACCCUUGAUCGGUGACAAACAAUUCGGACAAUGUGUGUUGCAAUUCCCAUUGUGGAGUUCUUGCUUCUUGAAUGUAGCCUCCAUCGAUGAUCCUGUACUUCAAUUCUUCCUAACCGCUUCGCAAGCGAGUGGUUAUAAGCCUUUCGGAACAUUCCUACUGUGCUCCUCUUCGGGUGGUUCUUGCUUUGAGGACCCUGAUGCCAUUUUGCAACUAUUGGUGGAAACCAGCUCUCGGUGUGCCCAAAAU